GUGAAUAGUGUUCGCCAAAAGAUCUGCCAAAAAUCCCCCGAGUAUCAAGUGUUUUUGAAUGAUCUUCCUGGGAAUGACUUCAACACCAUUUUCAGGUCCUUGUCUAUCUUCCAGAACAAACUGAGGGAGCAACUUGGACCCGGCAUUGGACCAUGUUUUUUCACUGGAGUACCUGGUUCUUUCUACGGAAGGCUUUUCAGGAAAAACAGCCUUCAUUUUGUACACUCUUCCUAUAGUCUGCAAUGGCUCUCUCAGGUUUAGUUUAUAUUUUAAUGAAGUACAGUAUAAUAUAAUAUAUCUGUAAUCAUUUUAGAAUGAAAAAUAGCUUAAUUUAUGAGUGGACUAUUUUGAUUUGAUCCAGGUUCCUCGAGGGCUGGAAAAUAAUAAAGGGAACAUUUACAUGGCUAGCACAAGUCCACCAAACGUGCUUAAGGCAUACUAUGAGCAAUUCCAACAGGAUUUUUCCUUGUUUUUGAAGUGUAGAUCAGAGGAACUGGUGGAUGGAGGGCGUAUGGUUUUGACAUUUUUAGGGAGAAGAAGUGAUGAUCCUUCAAGCAAAGAGUGUUGUUACAUUUGGGAGCUUUUGGCCAUGGCUCUCAAUGAUAUGGUCCUUGAGGUAUAGAAUGAAUAAUUCUACUCACCGUUGCUGGGAAUUGAACCGUACAUUUGCAGGAUAGGAUAUACAAUCUUUUAAAGAUAACUAUAUGAAUCAAUCAUAUUUAGGUUAUUCCAUCAGGGAUAGUUAUCAAUUGGACACUAGUUGAUAUUAUCUAUAUAUAUGAGCCACCCCACCUACCUAUGUAUCUUAUCAUUUUCCGGAAGUGGAAAUCUGAUAGUGUCUGGCCAAUAAACUAGUAAACUAGGGAGUUAAUUUCCUAAAGUAUAUUUUGCUGCAUAUAUAUAUAUAUAUAUAAAGUUGAUAAACUAGAUAUUAAUUAGAUAAUAAAGAAAACAUGAAAUAAAUGCAGGGAGUGAUAGAAGAAGAGAAACUGAACAGCUUCAACAUCCCACAAUACACACCAUCGCCAGCAGAGGUUAAAUAUGAGGUUGAGAAGGAAGGGUCGUUCAGCAUCGAUCGACUGGAAGUAACUGAAGUGAAUUGGAAUGCUUAUCAAAACGAAACUGACUUAUCUGAUGCAUUUAAAGAUGGUGGGUACAACGUCGCCAAGUGCAUGAGAGCUGUGGCUGAACCACUGCUUUUCAGCCACUUUGGUGAAGCAAUCAUCGAUGAAGUGUUUCGAAGGUACAGAGAAAUUGUUGCUGAUCGCAUGUCCAAAGAGAAGACUGAGUUUGUCAAUGUCAUUAUUUCUCUUAAAAAAGCUUGAUUAUUAUUCAUCAGUGGUUAUCUACCGUGGAACCCCACCACCACCACAAAACAAAUAAAUAUUAUGUGGUACAAAUGAACUGUGCUACGCCACUGUAUUAUCCGAUCAAGAAUAAUUUCAUGCUUGCAAGUUGUUUGUAAAAUUUUACCACUCUUUUUUUUUAAUUUCUAAAUACAUUAAAUUAUAAAAUUUACAAACCAAUACCUAAAAUUACAAAGUCAAAGUUGACAAAUUAUCAGUUUUCUUUCUGGUUUCAAUGUCAAAAGUUUUAUAAUUAAAAGCUAAAGAAAAUCAACCUUAGCCACCAGCCCACCACCUCAUAAAGGAAAAGAAAAGACACUUUCAAUCCAAUGUAUUUUCAUCCAAGGAAACCACAAAAGUUCUAAAAUAGUUAAUAUAGACUAUAUAUCUAUGCAGGAUAAAAAUUUUACCUAUUCCAAAAUGUUAAAAUUUAUUCUUAAUGCUAUUAAUUUUGUAGAAUUUAAGAAAAUUGAAUUUUUUUUUAACAAGUUCACAAUGGAGUUGAUGGAAUUUGCAAUAGAGAUAUGGUUAAAUAUUAGUGCUUUUGUCGUUGAGCCACAGGUUCGAUUCUUCUUCUGGGAGGAAUUGAACUUAGGAUUUAAGAAUGAAAUCACAAUUAUCUAACCAUUUAACCAAAAAAGCCAAUGUGUCAAAAAUAUUAAUUAAAAAAAGAGAGAGUUUAAAACAACAUGAAAUAAAAAUAAAAAUGGGAGGGAGAGGAAUUGAACCUGAAAUUGAAGGACAAAAACACUAACAUUUAACUAAUUGACCAAAAAAGCUAAAUUAUCAAUUUUUAGUGAAAACGCAUCUUGUAGGGCACGUUUUCAGUAGAUGUGACUGAAAGCGCACCUUAUAAGACGUGUUUUCAUUGACACAAUAGAUAAGACGCGUUUUUCUUUUUUCUAAAAAAAUAGUAUAAAUCGAUAAAUUAAAAAAAAACUAAUUUCUCAAAUAAGUUUUUUAUGAAUUAACCCUGAUAAAUGAGAGGUAGGUAAAAGAAAAUUCGUGACACAUAAGCUAAGUAUUAUUAUUAUUUAAAAUUGGUUUCGUCUAAAAGGUAAAAAAACCUAAUUGUAGCACAUAAGCUAAGAAUGAAUAGUUUUUGUUAAUAAAUUAAGUACAGAAAAGUAUUACUUUAGUUGUAUGUUUAAGUAAAGAUAGAGAUUAAGUCCACGUAGUGUUAAAAUUCAACUACUUCAUAAAUAAUUUAAUGUAGUACUUCAUUUAAAUAACGUUAUUAAUAUGACGCCCGCGUUAAUGACAUGUUAUAACUACAUUAUUUUAUUUUAUUUUUCUUCAAUCGAAGAAUUUGCCUAUCUUCUGUCUAAACUUAAAUCUUAUUUUGUUUUUCUUCUCAUCAAAGAAAUGAAUUUUUUUUGGUUGUUUAUAUUAAAAAAAUAAAAAAAUAAAAGGGUUAUUUAACUAUAAAAAGUUUCAAAAUGGUUACACAACUAUUUAAUUUUAUCCUUUCUGGUCACUAGCUAGUUAAUAGUAAUGUCUUUUAAAAUUGACAUAAUAGUAACUUUAUCCCUUAAUAUUUAUACAUUUUGGAUCAACUAAGUCUUGAUUCUAAAAAACUUAACCCUCAACUUAUACAAAUUGUGUAAUUUGGGUAGUUCUAAACAUUAUAUAUAAAAAAACCCUCGGUAAAAAAAAUCAAUUGAGUUCUUAUGAAAAAGGUUCACUUAAUUGAGCCAUCAGUGACAAAAAAAAAAUAAAAAUCAAUUGACUUCUUUUGUUAACGGAAACUGUCAAUUGAACAGUUUGAUCGUUAACUGUAUCGAUGUGGCUAAUGAAAAACAUUAAAAGUUAACCACAUAGCUAUAUGUUCAUGAGGCAUGACAGGUCAGCAAAAUAUAAAAAUUAAUUUUUUUAAAAUAAUAAAAAUUGAAUUUCGACAUGGUUUUCUAAAAACUAAAAAAAUUCAAAAAUUAUGAACAAAAUUAUUGAUAAUUAUUUAAGAAUUAUAAGAUAUUAUAAAAAUAAAGUAUGAAAUUUUUUUAAAAAAAUUUAAAAAAUUAUUUAAAAAAACUAAUAAAAAUGUGCAUUCGAAUGUACCAAGACAAAUGGUUGUUCAGGUUUUAUUGAAAUUGGAUAAUUGAUUUUCCAGAUUCAUUUUAGAUGAGUUUAAAAUUAUAAAAAAAAUUAUAAAAUAUAAAAAAUAUUAAUAAUUAUUGAAAAUUUAUAAAAUUUUAUAAAAAUACAAAAAAUGUGAAAAUAUACUUAAAAAAUCGAUAUUUUAGAAAUUAUUUGAUUUUUUUGUAAUUAUAAAAUCGUUGGUCCAUAUUCUGAUGCAUGGUCUAAUCUUUUUUUUUUUUAAAUUUAUGCUUUAGCCUAAAAUUUUUAGUUAUAAUCUUUCUAAACUUUUAGUUUCUUAUACUUAUAAAUUGAAUUAAAAGUAAUUAUAUACAUUAAGAAUAAAUAAAAAAUUAUUUUUUUAGGUUUUACACAUUUGAAAAUUUUCAUAUAUAUUUUUUAAAUUUUUAAUAAUUAUUUAUAAUUAUUGAUUUCAUUUUUUUUAAUUUUGUACUUAUCCAAAAUAAUUCUAGAAAACCAAUUGUGGAGGCUGAAAUGAAUCUGGAAAACUUUUGUCCAGAUUAUUUUAUAUGUAAAUUCUUGCUAAUUUUUAAAAAGUUUUCCUUUUAAAAUUAUUUUUAUUUCUCAAGUCAGUAUACCACCAUACGACAACUUCUGGUGGUUUUUGUCUAACCACAAUUUAAUUGAUUGAUAGGUUUGAUUAAUGAAAGGGUCAAUUAAUUUUUUGAGUCACUAAAAAUUUAAUUAAAUGUAUUUUUUCAUAAAAGUUGAAUUAAUUUUUUAAAAUUUCACCUUUUAACUGAAAUAAUUUAAUGUAAAAUCUACGUAUGUAAAGCAAAGCUAUAUGUAGUACGUCAUUCAAAUAACGUUAUUUACAAAAGCCUUUUGGUUAAUGUAGCGACGUAAAAAUUUCUCUUUCGGUCACUAAAUGAGGCGAUUAUUUGAAAAUUUAAAAAUCGACUUUCGAUUUUAUUAAAAAAGGGAGUCGCCACCGAUCUUUUUUCUAAGUGUGACCGGACACCUAAUAAAUCAUCCUUUUUUAGAAAAGAAAACUUAUUCUUACACAAAAAUGAAGGCCGAAUUUAGGUCUACGUCAAAAGCCAGAGUAUCGUUGGGUUCGGGAGUCGGUUACGCGCGAGGAAGGUAUUAGCACCAUCGCGACGCCCAAAAUUGGUAUCUUAUUAAACACGUGUUGUCUUGAUUUUCAAAAAUACGAAUUCAAUUUGACAUUUAAGUGUGAUCCGAUUGACGGAAAUGAGAAGUUGUAAGUUUUUGGUUUUUUAGAAGAAUAUCCCGUUUUUAACACGAGCCGACUAACUUCACCCAACAUAGCGAUGAAAUCAAUGACUUAAUGUUAAAAUCGGUACAUUUCCUUAUUCUUAAAAUUAAAAUGUAAAAAGUUUCUAAAAUGAUAAUAAAAAAAAUCUAAGAAUAUUAUUGUAAAAAAUACGAAUAAUGAUGUGAAUAAUAUAAAAUAUUAAAAUAUCAAAAUAUUAGAAUAAUAAUAAUUAAUAUUGACAAAUAAAAAAAUAAAAUAGAUAUAAAAAGGUGUACAUAAUAUAUAUAUUAGAAAUAACAAUGAUGUUUAAAAAUAAUACUAUUAAUAAUACUACAUAAAUAUGUACAUAUAUAAAAAAUAAAUACGUGAUAAUAUUAAAAAUAUGUACAUAAUAUAGUGUAAAAAAUACAUACAUAAUAUAAUUAAAAUAUAUACAUAAGAUAACAUGUAAAUAUAUAUAUAAAUAAUAUAGUAUUAUAGAUAUAUACAUAAAAUAGUAUAAAAUAUAUAUACGUAAUAUAGAAUUUAGAAUAUACCUAAUAUAUUAAAAGAAUAUAUAUAUAAUAUAAUAUUAAGAAAUAUAAUAAUAACAAAAAAAAGAGAGAGGGAGAGAGUGGGUGAUUUCCAGCCACAAGGCCGGCCACCGUCUGGUCACCGGACCGCCGCCGGCCGCCAUCGGUGCCACCGUACACGGCAGCCGGACCUCCAAAAAAACUUUUUCGGUAAAAAUGGAUAAGCUUCCUCCUUUUAUUUUUACUUUCAGAUAAAAGAAACAAAAUAAGAUUGAAAGAAAAAAUGAUAAGCAAACAAAGAACUUAAAACGAGAAUAGACGAAGAAACCUCUUUUGCUUUGAUCUUUGAUUAAUCUCCAAAAAAACUACUCUCUCCAAAAACUAGCCUUUACAAUAACUCUUCUCCUUGAUUACUCUAAAAAAACCUCUCAAAAAUCCUUUACAAUAACUUUCUCCCCCAAAACUUCUUCCUCUUCCUUUAAAUACAAAAUAUGAGAAGGCUUAUAUAGCCAUUUACAAAAUAUUUUUUUAUUGUUUAUGUCUUCAUUUGUAGGUACAAGUGGUGGUGGAGCAAGUGUGGCUAGUGGAGUAGGUAGUGGAGCAAGUGUAGCUAGUGGAGUUGGUGGUGGAGCAAUUGUGGCUAGUGGAUUUGGUGGCGGCAAAGGCUAGGAUUUAGUUGAGGAAAGUUUAGGUUGUGGGCUAGGGUUUUUUAUUUUGAUUUGGGCUUAGGGUUUGGGCCAUUGGGGUUUUGAUGUAAAUUGGGCUUUGGGUAGUUAAGAUUUUGGGUUUUGGGUUUAAUUUUGGUGGGUUAGGUAAGGCUAAAUUGGGUUUUGAUGUAAAUGGGUUAAAAUUGGCCUACAACAGCUGCCCCUCUUUGCUUAUUAUUGUGUAACGGGAAUAGAGCAAAGACACAAAGAAAGGCCAAUUUUUCCCAGUCUUGCUAAGUAUGGACUUCUUUGGUGCUCUUCUCAUCCAGGUAGUCUCUUUCCAGUCCACCGCAUCUUGUAGCUUUGGUUCAAUCCACUGCAAAUUCAAAGAUAUGCCUCGUAGCUUCAAUCUACUCCAAUGUAACUUCAAGGGUAUGAGAUUUGUGGCUUCGAUCCGCUUCACUGUAACUUCAAAAAGAUAAGAUCUACAACUUCAAUCUGUUCUUCUAUUGCUUCAGUGAGAUAAGGUUUGUAGUCUUCUCUUCUACAACUUUAGAAAGGCAAGAUCUGAUAUCCUCGAUCAGCUCCACUGCAACUUCAGGGAGACAAAAUCUUGUGUCUUCAAUCAGCUCCAAUCUUUAUUCUUUAUUCAGCAUGUGAUCGUGAGCUCAACUCAUUUCUUGCAAUAUGAAUUGACUCUUUAAAAACAGACAUUAAAAUAGAAAUUGAAAAUAGCUCAGCACGUGAGCCAAGGCUCAACUCACUUCUCGCAAAAUGAGUUGAUUUUUAAAACAAAAUUUGUAAAACAGAUUUUGAAAAUACCUCGAUAUGUGACCCGAGGCUCAACUCAUUUCUCGUAAUAUGAGUUGAUUCUUGAAAAGCAUAAAUUGAAAAAUCAUUAAUUGAAAAUACCUCAGCGUGCCCCGAGACUCAACUCACCUCUCGCAAUAUGAGUUGAUUUUUUUGAAAAACAUAAAUUGAAAACACCUCAGCGUGUGACCCGAGGCUCAACUCACCUCUCGCAAUAUGAGUUGAUUUUUUGAUGAACAGAAAUUAAAACUACCUCAACGUGUCCUGAGGCUCAACUCACCUCUCGCAACAUGAGUUGAUUUUUUUGAAAAACAGAAGUUGAAAACACCUCAGCGUGUGACCCGAGGCUCAACUCACCUCUCACAAUAUGAGUUGAUUUUUUUGACAAACAGAAAUUGAAAAAUACCUUAGCGUGUAAGCCAAGGCUCAACUUACCUCUCGCAAUAUGAGUUGAUUUUUUGAAAAAUAGAAAUUGAAAACACCUCAGCAUGUGAGGCUCAACUCACCUCUCGCAAUAUGAGUUGAUUUUUGAAAAACAUAAAUUGAGCAGAAAUUGAAAAUACCUCAACGGGUCUUGAGGCUCAACUCACCUCUUGCAAUAUGAGUUGAUUUUUUGAUGAUAAAUUGAAAAUACCUCAAUGUGACUUGAGGUUCAACUCACCUCUCGCAAUAUGAGUUGAUUUUUUGAAUUAAAAUAGAAAUUGAAAAUAGAAAUGGAAAACACCUCAGCGUCUUGAGGUUCAACUCACCUCUCGCAAUAUGAGCUGAUUUUUUUGAAACACAUAAAUUAAAAAAAAAAAGAAAUUAAAAACAGAAUUUGAAAGGACUUCGACGUGUGGCCCGAGACUCAACUCACCUCUCGCAAUAUGAGUUGAUUCUUUUAAAAAGCAGAAAUUGAAAAUACCUCAGCGUGUCCCGAGGCUCAACUCACCUCUCGCAAUAUGAGUUGAUUUUUUUGAUAAAAAUAGAAUUUGAAAAUAUCUCAACGUGUCCUGAGGCUCAACUCACCUCUCGCAAUAUGAGUUGAUUUUUGACAAACAAAAAUUGAAAUUACCUCAGCGUCUUGAGGCUCAACUCACUUCUCGCAAUAUGAGUUGAUUUUUUUGAAACAUAAAUUAAAAAAACGAAAAUUGAAAAUACCUCAGCGUGUCCUGAGGCUCAACUCACCUCUCGCAAUAUGAGUUGAUUUGAAAAGCAGAAUUUGUAAGGCAAAAAUUGAAAAACAGAAAUUGAAAAUACCUCAGCGUGCCCUGAGGCUCAACUCACCUAUCGCAAUAUGAGUUGAUUUUUAAAAAAAUAGAAAUUAAAAGCAGAAAUUGAAAAACAGAAAUUAAAAAUACCUCGGCGUGCCCCGAGGCUCAGUUCACCUCUCGCAAUAUGAGUUGAUUUUUGAAAAGCAUAAAUUGAAAUUACCUCAGCGUGUCCUGAGGCUCAACUCACCUCUCGCAAUAUGAGUUGAUUUUUUUGAAAAGCAUAAAUUGAAAAAACGGAAAUUGAAAAUACCUCAGCGUGUGACCUGAUGCCCAACUCACCUCUCACAAUAUGAGUUGAUUUUUUUGAAAGACAGAAAUAAAAACAUCAAAAUACCAAAAGAUGUCAUAUGGUGGAACUCAAGUGUCCUGUCCUUUGAUUCAGUACAGCUAUCAUCGAAACCUCUUGUUCUGCUGAAAUACAUGUAUAUGUCAUGCAUGAUGUUAUCAUGAUAUGCACAUGUUUGCCUUAAAUGCCUUUAUGCCUAUAUGAUCAUGCUAUGCGCCUUGGGCUUGCUUGUCAUAUGUCCCUUUCCGUCAUGAUUUUUGAUUAUCUGCGUUCAUUGCUUUGACUCUUGACUUUCUCUUCAGGCCCUGUACCCGUCCUCUAGCUUCACGACUAAUCUGCGUUUCUCAGAUAUCGCUCUUUUGCCCCUGGUUGAACUUUGUUCUUGCUUUGAGGCUCUUGUACUUAUCAAAUUCUUAUCCGGGUAAUGCUUAGCACUUCUUUUGUUUAGAGUAUGUCAUUUCACUAUUUAUCAUGUAAAUGAACCACAUAAUGAGAUGCAUGAAAAUGGUCAGGUAGGGGACAAAAGGAUACCUCACAUUUAUUCAUUUCAAAUGUAGCAAACAAAGAAAGUUAAUCAAUGAUAGUAAAAAAAGUGUCAUAAAGAGAAAGGGAUCGCAUUUCAACAAAUACAAAUGCUCUAGAUAUUUAACGCAUGAACUCUUCCACUUUCCUCAAUCAAGAAUCUUUUCGAGCAUGGCUUUCUUGCGUAAGAGAUUUCGAGUUUUCAGAAAUGCUUCAAAUACUGUAGUCUCUCUGUUUGACCCAUCGUUCAAAACGCCUUACUUUUUAAGCCAGUGCUUGCUUCAUUAGAUCGCCCUUUCGGGUUUUCAUCCUAAUCUUUUGUGUUAAUCAAGACGCCCUUUUCGGGUUUUCACCUUGAUCCCUCUCUCUUUUUCUUUUUUCUUUUCUUUUCUUUUUUUUUAAGAUGCCCUUUUUCGGGUUUUCAUCUUGAUUUUCCUUUUUUUAAGCAUAAUAUUUCUUCACAGCAUCUGAAUUCACUGGAUUCGGUAACUCCUUCCCAUCCAUCUCAGUGAGAAUAAGAGCUCCACCCGAGAAUGCUUUCUUUACGGCGUAUGGUCCUUCCCAAUUUGGGGCCCAUUUUCCUCGGAAGUCCUUUUGUAUUGGGAGAAUCUUUCUCAGCACAAGUUCUCCUUCGUGGAAUUCUCUUGGCCGUACUUUCUUGUCAUAGGCCGUGAUCAUUCUCUUCUGGUACAUCUGUCUGUGACAAAUUGCCUUUAGACGUUUUUCUUUGAUGAUGUUUAAUUGAUCAUAUUGAGCUCGAACCCAUUCUACUUCUUCUAGUUUCGAUUCUAUUAAGACUCGUAGAGAGGGGAUCUCAACAUCGAUAGGUAGCACAGCUUCCAUUUCAUAUACCAGAGAGAAAGGAGUUGCUCCCGUAGAUGUCCGCACAGAUGUACGAUAUGCAUACAAAGAAAAUGGUAGCUUCUCGUGCCAAUCUUUAUAUGUCUCGGUCAUUUUCCCAAUAAUCUUCUUAAUAUUCUUGUUGGCCGCUUCAACAGUUUCAUUCAUUUUCGGGCAAUAGGGUGAUGAAUUAUGAUGCUUUAUUUAAAAUUGUUCACACACCUCCUUCAUCAUCUUGUUGUUCAGAUUCAUGGCGUUAUCUGAAAUGAUUCUUUCAGGCAAACCAUAUCGACAAAUGAUUUCCUUUUUCAAAAACUUGCAAACUGCAGUCUUCGUCACGUUGGCAAACGAAGCGGCUUCUAUCUAUUUUGUGAAAUAAUCAAUGACCACAAAAAUAAAUCGGUGUCCAUUAGAAGCUUUUGGGGGAAUUGGCCCUAUAACAUCCAUGCCCCACAUAGAAAAAGGCCACGGAGAAGUCAUGACGUGAAGGGACGAAGGGUCGCAUGAAUUUUAUCACCAUAAAUUUGACAUUUGUGGCAUUUUCGUGCAAAACUAAUGCAGUCACUUUCCAUUGUCAGCCAGUAAUAACCAAGUCUCAUAAUCUUUCUAGCCAUAGUGAAACCAUUGGCAUGUGUCUCACAAAUUCCCUCAUGGACAUCUUCAAGUAUUUUUCUGGCUUCAACAACAUCUACGCAUCUCAAGAGCACCUGAUCUUUUUCUCUUUUGUACAGGAUGUCCCCAUCAAGAACGAAUCUCGCUGCCAUUCUUCUGAUUGUUCUUUUGUCGUUCUCAUUUGCUUGUUCGGGGUACUUUUGAUUCUUGACGUAUUCUAAGAUAUCAUGGAACCAUGGUCGUCCAUCUGGCUCUUUCUCAAUGCUGAAACAACGUGCAGGGAUUUCAUAUAUGCUCAUUUGAAGAGGCAUUAUUUCUGUUUCUCUGUUUGCUUUGAACAUUGAAGCCAAAGUGGCCAGGGCAUCAGCCAAUUGGUUUUCUUCUCGUGGGAAGUAAUUAAAAGUUAUUUCUUCGAAUUCUUUAAUUAGCUCUGCCAUUAGAUCACUGUAUUUAACCAAUUUCGGAUCUCUCACUUCCCAAUCUCCACGGAUUUGGUAAAUCACCAACGCUGAGUCUCUAUAUACCUCUAAAGUUUUGACGUUUCGUUCAAUAGCUGCACGAAGUCCCAUGAUACAGGCCUCAUAUUCUGCUAUGUUAUUGGUACAGAAGAAAUUCAGCCUGGCAGUGAACGGAUAAUGAUUCCCGUCUGGUGAGACUAGGAUUGCUCCAAUUCCAUGCCCUAAGGCAUUUGACGCACCAUCAAAACUGAUCUUCCAUGGAUUCUCUUUUGAUGACUCGGAUUCCUUUUCUGUGAUGCACAAUAAGUCUUCAUCUGGGAAAUCGAAUCUCAAGGGCUCAUAUUCCUCUGUCGUUCGAGUCGCUAAGAAAUCAGCUAUUGUGCUCCUUUUUUAUCGACUUCUGACUUACAUAGGCAAUGUCGUAUUCCGAUAGGAGGAUUUGCCAUCGUUCUAUUCUUCCUGAGAGUACCGGUGAUUCCAUCAUGUAUUUUAUUGGGUCCAGCUUUGAAAUUAGCCAUGUCGUAUGAUACAACAUAUAUUGCCUGAGUCUCCGAGCUACCCAAAUUAGAGCGCAACAGUAUUUUUCAAUAGACGGAUACUUUUCCUCAUAUUCAGUGAACUUUUUAUUGAGGUAGCAGAUCGCCUUUUCUUUCUUUCCUGACUCAUCGUGUUGCCCCAGUACGCAACCCAUUGAAUUUUCAAACACAGUCAAAUACAAUAUCAAUGGUAUUCCUAGAGUUGGCGGUACUAGCACUGGAGGAUUAGACAAAUAUUGUUUUAUCUUAUCAAAGGCCACCUGACAUUCCUCAUUCCAUUCUCCCGGGUUAUGUUUUCGAAGAAGCUGAAAAAUUGGGUCGCAUUGGUUGGUAAGUUGAGCGAUGAAUCGGGCGAUGUAGUUUAACCUCCCUAAAAAUUCUCUAACUUCCUUUUGCGUGCGCGGAGGUGGUAGCUCUUGAAUGGAUUUUAUUUUAUUUGGAUCAACCUCGAUACCUCUUUCACUGACAAUGAAGCCCAGUAAUUUUCCCGAGGUAGCCCCAAACGUACAUUUGGCUGGAUUGAGCUUUAGCUGAAACUUUCUCAAUCUGUCGAACAAUUUCUUCAGGUUCACUACAUGCUCUUCUUCCCCUCGGGAUUUAGCAAUUAUAUCGUCGACGUAGACCUCUAUUUCUUUAUGCAUCAUGUCAUGGAAUAAUGUCACCAUAGCCCUCUGAUAUGUUGCCCCAGCAUUCUUUAACGCAAAUGGCAUCACCUUGUAGCAGAAUGUUCCCCACAUUGUUACGAAGGUAGUUUUCUCCAUAUCCUCAAGGGCCAUCUUGAUCUGAUUAUACCCUGAGAAUCCGUCCAUGAAAGAAAACAAUGAAUGUUUUGCUGUGUUAUCCACCAAUGUAUCAAUAUGUGGUAAGGGAAAAUUAUUUGUAGGACUUGCUCGAUUCAGGUCACGAUAAUCCACGCACAUCCGUACUUUUUCGUCUUUCUUUGGUACCGGGACUAUGUUAGCCACCCAUUCUGGAUAUUUGGAGGCUUGUAGGAAGCCAGCAUCAAAUUGCUUCUUGACUUCCUCUUUUAUCUUCAACAACAUUUCAGGUCUCAUCCGUCUUAGCUUUUGUUGAAUGGGCUUGCAUUCUGGUUUUAAUGGGAGUUUGUGGACCACUAUCUCUUCAUCCAAUCCAGGCAUGUCCUGGUAUGACCAUGCAAAUACAUCUUUGUAUUCGCGGAGCAAAGCAAUCAAAUUAUACCUGGUGCCCCCUGAAAUAGAAGUCCCAAUCUUCACUUCUUGCUUCCUUUCUUCAGUUCCCAGAUUUAUUGUUUCAACAGAUUCUUGAUGAGGCAAAAUCUGUUUAUCCUCUUGUUCCACCAUUCUUAGCAAGUCAGGAGACGAGACAUAGUCUUCAGUAUUUUUUUCGGCUUCGAAUUCUCCUAAACAAACACCUUCUCAAAAUCGAUUCCAGGACUCGUAACAGGUUUGUUCAUGCUGUUGACAUUUGAGCACCUGAAAGUUAGAUGGAAAAGGAAACUAUAAAAGGGCAUCCAAGUAUUAGAACCAACAAAUGAAAUGUUAUGGCAUGGCAUGAGGUAAAUGUAAGGAUUGGCUAUGAAAUGAGAAAUUGAUUAUGAAAUUAGUGAUAAUGUAAAAGAUUAUGACAAAAUGCAUCUUCAUUGAUAUUCAUUUGAAUGAUAAAGAGCGAAUGCAGGCUCUUACAAAAGAAUUCUAUUAUAUCUAAGGACAUAACAGAAUGUUAACGUUUGAGCAUUACUCUGAAGACUUAUAAACUAUAAGAAGAUCCUCGGUAGUCCAAUUAUUUAACCUGAAACCCAAGGGACAAGGGCGUAUCCUUGAGACGUCUUUACUUGUGUUAGCUCCUUUAUCAAUGACGUUUAUACUGAUAUUCUGACAACCCUUUUCGAUCAUUAACAUUGUGCCCUGUGCAUUAUCCUGCCUCAGGUAUAUCAUUCCCGUAGACGUAAAUGUUCUUGACAAAAGAGGGAAUUCCAUAGGCUGCCAUUCUGGUUCUCGGCCUAAGGUUCUCGCGAUCCUUCUUUCCUGAUCUUUCUUCCACUGCCUUAUUCUUUGACGCAUGUCCGGCUGGAAACCUAAACCGUAUCGAGCCUUAUGGUGUACUGGCCUUAGAGCCCUAACUAUUCCUUGCAGAUAUCUCCCUAAACCUUUUCUCGCUCGAGCUCCCCUUCCUAUAGUCAACUUGAUACCCAUCCUGGUAUUUCUCGACAGUUUUGGCUCGGGAAUUUUGUUACCCUCAGCGAUGAAUGCGGCAUUGACAAAUUCAAGAGAUCGAAAGGAACAUUCUAUAGCAUCUUUACUUACUUCAAUAUAUGGUGCGUUGGCAGAAAUAGAUGCUACAAUGUCUUUUUCUCCCUCGACAGUGACCAAACAGCCAUCCAUGAUAAAUUUCACCUUUUGAUGGAGGGAUGAUGGGACCACUCCGGCGGAAUAGAUCCAGGGUCUUCCCAAGAGGCAGUUAUAUGAUGGUGUAAUGUCCAUGACUUGGAACUCGACAUCGUAUAUGUAGGGACCUACUUCUAGAGGGAUGUCGAUUUUUUCCAUCACCUCUCGUCUUGUUCCAUCGAAUGCCCUUACUGUGGAAUGGCAAGGCCUUAGGUAGGACAAAUCCAUCGAAAUCUUGGAAAGUGUGGCCAAAGGCAUGACGUUGAGUGCCGAUCCACUGUCGAUAAGCACGUUUGGUAUUAUGUAACCCUUGCAGCGGGUUGUGAUAUGUAAUGCUUUCACAGAACCUCUACCAUUGGGCGGUAUUUCAUCAUCACUAAAAGAAAUGAAAUUAUCCGCAUUUAAAUUAUUCACCCAUCUGUCAAGCUUCUCAAUGGAUAUAUUGUUUGCCACGUAAGCUUGAUUCAACACCUUUAACAAGACGUUCUGAUGGGGUUCUGAAUUUAAUAGUAGAGACAAUACCGAGACUCGUGCUGGCUGCUUGCUCAAUUGUUCCACCACAUUAUACUCACUAUGUUUGAUAAACUUUAAGAAUUCCCGUGCUUCUUCCUCAUCUACCGGCUCUUUAGUUUUUUGUUGCUCGGGCGGAAUUUCGUGCUUAGUUUCAGCCUCAUACAUUGGUGCUUUUCCUUUUUGUUUCAAAUUACUAUUCUUCUUCACUGGUUCGACUUCUUUCGAAUAACAUCUUCCACUGCAAGUGAAAUGACCUACUUCUCCAACGUUUCCAGUUACAGCUUUGGAUUUUUCGUCUUCAGGUGUGACGAUAUUGACGUCGUAUUUCCAUGGUACUGCUUUAUUAUCCUUGUAGGGGAAAGGAGAUGGUACUUCAAUUAUCAUUUUUGGUUUCACCGGUUCCUUCCUUGCAUCGUAAUAAAUUACGAAUGGUCGAUCCUGACGAUUGAUUGUCAGAGGCACAUACUUCUCUCUCAUUGGCCUCUCAUUCAUUAAUGAUCUCAAUCUCCUUACUAUCUAUCCGGUAUUGCAGUAACCUUUUAAAUUCCUCACAUGAUUGAAUGUCGUGCCCUACAAUUCCAUGAAAAUCACAAAAAACCUGACAUUCUUUUCUGAGAUUAUCGUCGGGGCGACAGAGCAAUCCUUUCUUAACCAGUGCCUCCCAGAUUUUCUGCAGAGGCGUCCUUAUUUCUGAAACACAUUUUCUAACUUGCCAUUCAUCUUCUUUCCCUACUGUGCUCACAUUUCCUUCGGUAUGGUUAGGGAAUGGGUUCCCGGUUGUACCACCAGUACCAUCAAAUCGCAGAAUACCCGCAUCGAUGAGUCCUUGAACUCUCCUUUUGAAGGCAAUGCAGUUUUCCGUAGAGUGUCUCUGGUUCCCGGCGUGGUACACGCAACUAGCAUUUGGGUCGUACCAUUUCGGGUAUGGGGGCCUCAAGGGUGCCAUAUAAUGCGAGGAUAUCAAUUGCUUCUCCAGAAGUUUUGGGUACAGUUCCCCAUAUGACACAAGAAUAGGGGUAAAUUGUGGUCUCUUAGAAUUGGAUUUUGCUGGCCUCUGCUCAUUUCUGGGUUGACCUUGGACGGGUAUUGUAUUUUGUGGGAAUGUGGCGAUUGGUUUCGGGUUACUUGUGGCGUAAACGGGGUAAGAAGAGUAAGGAAGCGGUGUUUGGUAGUAAAGGGUUUGAGGAGGAUAAUAAAAAUUCAGAGGUGGAUAAUUUCGAGGUCGGGGUUGGUUUAGAUACGGAUUAGGGGCAUAACGGCUUCCCAUUCCCACCAUGUGGGCUUCUGGUUCUUUCUUCUUCAUGGGCGCUACCCUUCUUGAACUUUCUUGACCUUCCAUUCUACCGCUCUUAACGGCGUUUUCUAUAAGCUCAUCGGAUAUUACAAUAUCCGUGAAGUCCUUCGUGGCGCUUCCCACUAGUUUGUCAUAAAACGACGUCUUUAAGAUGUUGAUGAAAAGGACGAUUAUCUCCGUUUUUGUCAGUGGGGGUUCCAGUUGGGCUGAGACGUCCCUCCAUCUCUGCGCAUACUGUCUAAAAGUUUCUGACGGCUUUUUCUCCAUCAUUUGUAAAGUCAUCCGAUCAGGCACCAUAUCUGAUACAUGCUUGUACUGCUCACAGAAUGCCAACGCCAAGUCUUUCCAGGAUCAGAUCCUUUCCUUACUGAGCUGGUUGUACCACCGAAGAGCCGACCCUACCAGACUAUCUUGAAAACAAUGUACAAGUAGCUUAUCUUUGUUCACGUAACCGGUCAUUUUUUGACAAAACAUGACAAGAUGUGCUUUUGGACAUCUUGUCCCAUCGUAUUUUUUGAAGUUAGGCACCUUGAACUUCGGAGGCAGAAUUAGAUCAGGUACCAAAAUGAGUUCUUUAGCACCUAGUACCGAGAAGGCUUCAGUGCCUUCUAUUGCCUUGAGUCUUUCUUCCAAACUCCUAUACUUCUCUUGAGCCUCGUGAUCAUCUAUUUUCAACUUGGCUAUUUCGACAGGAUCAUCUAAAUCUGGAGCUACAGGAUUGGCAGGGGUUGCUCCAGGAUUUGACAUAAAUGUUCCUUGCCCUAGAUGAGCAAAUGGCAUAGGUCGUUGUUCCAAGCCUGUGGAUUCCCCUUGAGUAUACCCUCUUUGUGCUAUGUGGGCAUGUGGUGGAGUGAAUCCUGGGGGAUAGAGUGGAUCCUGGUCAUGAUUAAUUCUUGAUUGAGGUUCCAUAUUGUCGAGGUUCUGCAUGGGUCCUUUUCCUUUGACCAAAACUGACACCAUCUCCAUCAUUCUAGCCAUUUGAUCCUUUUGUUCAAGCGAUUCCUCUCGAGAUCUCACCAUUAAGUCUCUUGUCUCUUGCUGUGAUUUAGCCAGUUGUUCUUGUAAUUCCCUUUGGACUCUUUCCAUUCUUUCGAUUCUUUCAUUGAACUCAGCCUCAAUUAUUCUAGCUUGUCGACGCGUUCUAUACGAAUAGCGUGAUUCCAGAUUUGAAGUGUUGUGACUGCGAAUUAUAUGAUUCUAACCUUAGCGAAUGAUCAUGGGAUAGAUAUAUGAAAUGAAUGAAUGAGUGCAUAAAUGAAUGUCAAUCAUGAAAGAUAUGCAAGAAAUGGGUGUUGAUUUCUAGAUAGCUCCUAUUUAGGCAUUUCAUUCAUCAAAAGAGUCUAUUACACAAUGCUUCGGUCACUCGUAUAAUUGACUCCUCCAUUAGAAACCCGUUUUUGGCAACCAUUCUCUAAUCAACACAUUCCUAACAAGAUGCCUAUAAUACAUGAUGAAAAUAAAGCAAAGACAAACAACCUUGGUUUGUAGUCAAAUAUAGGCAAAAAAAAUCAUGGAAAAUUUAUCAAAUUACGCUACCCGAUCUAGUUUAUUAAACCAACCCAAUCCCCUUGCAUACAAAGUGAAAGUGCAAAAGGUAAGAGGCGUUUCUCCCGUGUACUUAUUUUGGUGACUAUGGAACAAGCGGAGGUUCGGCAUGGCUCUAGUUAGGGGGCUCGUACGGUUCACUAUAUGCGGUUUUGGUUCUAGAUAGGCACUCGAAUUGUUCGUACUAUCGUCUACUAAGACUAGUAAGAAGUCUCGGUCAUGGCCCAUCAUAGGCUUACGAGAUCAAUUCGAGGGAUUACAUUUACUUAUGCCUAUGCGGAGGGACAAGUUAACUCACGAAAGCAUACGUCAUAUGUAACCCGAAAGUAUUCACUAGCCUGUGCGGAGGGACGAGUUAACUCACGAAGGCGUAGCGUUUACUUUCACUUAAACGGACGAGGCCCGAGUAGAGAGCUCAUGUUAUGCAAAGAUGCUCGUGCACGGUGUGUGGGGAGAAACUCACAAACCUUUACGUUUUAUUUAAAAAACUAAACCAAAACUAAAAUCACAAAAAUUUAAAGCUGAAAAAAAAUCGAAUAAAACAAGUUAGAAUAUAUACAACACGAUGCAAAUGCAUGAUUUUUUUGAAAACAAAAAAUUUGAGGAUCAUGACUAAAUGUUAAUUUGAACAAGGAACUUUGAAAAUUUUGACAACGCGAGUUUAAUUCGACUUGACUCUCAAAAAGGGUCCCCAAUGGAGUCGCCAGCUAUAGUGACGUAAAAAUUUCUCUUUCGGUCGCUAAAUGAGGCGAUUAUUUGAAAAUUUAAAAAUCGACUUUCGAUUUUAUUAAAAAAGGGAGUCGCCACCGAUCUUUUUUCUAGGUGUGACCGGACACCUAAUAAAUCAUCCUUUCUUAGAAAAGAAAACUUAUUCUUGCACAAAAAUGAAGGCCGAAUUUAGGUCUACGUCAAAAGCCAGAGUAACGUUGGGUUCGGGAGUCGGUUACGCGCGAGGAAGGUAUUAGCACCCUCGCGACGCCCAAAAUUGGUAUCUUAUUAAACACGUGUUGUCUUGAUUUUUAAAAAUACGAAUUCAAUUUGACAUUUAAGUGUGAUCCGAUUGAAGGAAAUGAGAAGUUGUAAGUUUUUGGUUUUUUAGAAGAAUAUCCCGUUUUUAACACGAGCCGACUAACUUCACCCAACAUAGCGAUGAAAUCAAUGACUUAAUGUUAAAAUCGGUACAUUUCCUUAUUCUUAAAAUUAAAAUGUAAAAAGUUUCUAAAAUGAUAGUAAAAAAAAUCUAAGAAUAUUAUUGUAAAAAAUACGAAUAAUGAUGUGAAUAAUAUAAAAUAUUAAAAUAUCAAAAUAUUAGAAUAAUAAUAAUUAAUAUUGACAAAUAAAAAAAUAAAAUAGAAAUAAAAAGGUGUACAUAAUAUAUAUAUUAGAAAUAACAAUGAUGUUUAAAAAUAAUACUAUUAAUAAUACUACAUAAAUAUGUACAUAUAUAAAAAAUAAAUACGUGAUAAUAUUAAAAAUAUGUACAUAAUAUAGUGUAAAAAAUACAUACAUAAUAUAAUUAAAAUAUAUACAUAAGAUAACAUGUAAAUAUAUAUAUAAAUAAUAUAGUAUUAUAGAUAUAUACAUAAAAUAGUAUAAAAUAUAUAUACGUAAUAUAGAAUUUAGAAUAUACCUAAUAUAUUAAAAGAAUAUAUAUAUAAUAUAAUAUUAAGAAAUAUAAUAAUAACAAAAAAAAGAGAGAGGGAGAGAGUGGGUGAUUUCCGGCCACAAGGCCGGCCACCGUCCGGUCACCGGACCGCCGCCGGCCGCCAUCGGUGCCACCGUACACGGUAGCCGGACCUCAAAAAAACUUUUUCGGUAAAAACGGAUAAGCUUCCUCCUUUUAUUUUUACUUUCGGAUAAAAGAAACAAAAUAAGAUUGAAAGAUAAAAUGAUAAGCGAACAAAGAACUUAAAACGAGAAUAGACGAAGAAACCUCUUUUGCUUUGAUCUUUGAUUAAUCUCCAAAAAAACUACUCUCUCCAAAAACUAGCCUUUACAAUAACUCUUCUCCUUGAUUACUCUCAAAAAACCUCUCAAAAAUUCUUUACAAUAACUUUCUCCCUCAAAACUUCUUCCUCCUCCUUUAAAUACAAAAUAUGAGAAGGCUUAUAUAGCCGUUUACAAAAUAUUUUUUUAUUGUUUAUGUCUUCAUUUGUAGGUACAAGUGGUGGUGGAGCAAGUGUGGCUAGUGGAGUAGGUAGUGGAGCAAGUGUGGCUAGUGGAGUUGGUGGUGGAGCAAUUGUGGCUAGUGGAGUUGGUGGCGGCAAAGGCUAGGAUUUAGUUGAGGAAAGUUUAGGUUGUGGGCUAGGGUUUUUUAUUUUGAUUUGGGCUUAGGGUUUGGGCCAUUGGGGUUUUGAUGUAAAUUGGGCUUUGGGUAGUUAAGAUUUUGGGUUUUGGGUUUAAUUUUGGUGGGUUAGGUAAGGCUAAAUUGGGUUUUGAUGUAAAUGGGUUAAAAUUGGCCUACAACAGUUAACAUUGUUGGAAAAGAAAUUUUAAAUAAAUAAAUAUCUAAUAACGUUACUUUUACUUUUAUUUUCAUUUUUAUUUAGUGUGUAACAUCCUAAUUUCGUUCGGGUCAAAUAAAAACAAAAAUUCAUUAAGAAUCAAAAGUCCGUUUUAUAAAUGAAUAAAAUACAAAAGCCCAAAUCCAAACAUUAAACUACCCAAGACUCAUAUGCUAACCCAAAAACCUAAAACCUUAAACUACCUAAAUGACUUAAUACCCAAAGGCCCAUACAAGCCCAAACCCCAAAUUAUCCUAAGCUACCAAAAACCUUAAAAGCCUUCAACAGCCGUUUCCUUCACCACAUCAGUAGCAUGCCAUCCAAGACCUUGCUAUUACCCACGCCCCUAGGACUGCCCUCUGCCAUGGUUACACUGUAAUGGUAAGGGGCACGUCCUUCAUUGCCGUUGACUCGGCCUCCCUUACUACUACCAUGUAAAGACUUGUAAAACAAAGGCAGAAAAGAGAGAUAGAGAACAGAAACAGAAGUAGAGAAAAAAGAAAAAAAACAAAUCAUUUUAAUAUUAAUGUGGCUAUAAAAGUCGCAACAACUCUUCUGUAAAAUAAACUGCUGCCCUCAAUUCAUCCAAUAGUUCCUCAAUAAUAGGAGUAUGAAACUUGUCCUUAACAGUCAACUGGUUGAGUUAUCUAUAAUCUACACAAAGUCUCCAAUUGCCAUCUUUUUUCUUGAUCAUGACAAUAGGUAAAACAAAAGGGCUGUUACUGUUUCUCACAAUGCUAGUCUUGAGCACUUCUUUGAUAAGUCUUUCAAUCUCCUUUUCUGAGUAAUAGGAUACGUACAAGGUUUGAGCUUGACUACUUGUGUCUCACCUUGUAAAAGUAUUCUAUGAUCUUGUAGUCUAAUAGGAGGAAGACCAAUGAGGACCUGAAAAACAUCUUCGAAUUCAGUCAACAACAGUUCGAUAUCAUUAUGUAGUACCUUGUCAUAUAGUGUUAAAGUGGUUUGCUCAAAAGUAGUAAACAACAUAAGGCUGGGACCUUGCCCCAUGACACUAAAGCAUUUAGAUAGUUGAGCACUAAUGACCUCAUUUAGUCCUCUAGGUCGAAGGCCUUCAAGAAUGCAUGUUGUGCCCGAGUACUCAAACUGCAUAGUCAAUAAGGAGAAAUUCCAUACAAUAAACCUUGAUGAAAGUAACCAUUGAACCCUAAAUACCAAAUCACAAUCUUUAACCAUAAGAAUCAUGAAAUUAGUAAAACACUUGUACCCUUGAGCCUCCCAUAACACUGACUUACACACCCCUUGAGUUGUGAGCUGAACUCCAUUGGCAACCAUUACUUUGAGUUUGCAAGAGGAGUUCAGAAGUAGAUGUAGUUUCUUCAUUAUUUGAAAAUCCAUGAAGUUGUCGCUGCUACCUGAAUCAAUAAUGAUAAUGACUACACAGGAUUCAAUAGUAGUUGACAGUCGCAUUGUAUUAUGGCCCUGUGAGCCAUUGAUGGCAUCUAAAGACAAGACAAGUGAAACAGAAUGAACUUCUCCCUAGGCAAAUUCAAGCUUCUCUGGAGAGUCUUGGAAUUCCUUAGAAAUCAAAUUUUUAUGCUCAAUGUCCCCCUCAUUUGAAGCUUCAAUGACCAGCUGAAACAAUUAUGACUUAACACACUUAUGUCCAGGAGUGUAUUUGGUAAUACACCAAAAAAAAUGCCUUUCUUUCUUCUUUCCUCCAUUUUACUCUGAGAAAGGGCUUUGAUAAGGUUUUUGGAAAUGUGAUAACCCCCAGGAGAAUUAGUAGACACAUUCUGUGUAUAGCCCUUAACAUCAGGCAACAAGGGUUUAGGUAAGCAUCCACUACCCAUAGAAACAUUUUUCCUAGGUAUAGGUCCUACUAUAUCUUCAAUUUCUAGAGCUACGGUAAACUUUUUUGUCAGUGAAGUAGGUUUGAAUAACCUCAAGUAUUGACCAAUGUCUAGCUUAAGGUUAUACACAAACACAGUUAAGGCAUAACUUUCUAGCAAAUAUAGUUGAUUCAAUAAACUCACAAAUUGUUCAUUAUAGAGAUCUACCGAACCUGUUUACUUAAGGGCCACAAGUUCAGUUAUAGGAUUCAUGUGUCUGUGAGAUCCAACCUCGAAAGUUAGUAAAUGCUUGAAUAAAGAGAUUGUAUGUCGGUAUGGAAUGCCAGAAAGAAUCAUAUCUAACAAUGCAUUGAAUUUGAACAACAGCACCAUAGCAGAGGUCUGUAGUUAAUUCAAGAUCAAACAUCACAACUCAGCACCAUAUCGCUAGUGGAGGCAACUAAUAAGAACAUUAAGAAGAUUGUGGAGAAAAUGACAGAGGCCUAUAAAUAUUGGCAUGAGAAAUUACCAUUUGCCCUCUAUGCUUAUCGAACAUUUGUUAGGACCUCCACGGGGGCAACACUUUUUUUACUGGUUUAUGGAAUGGUGACAGUUUUACCUAUUGAAGUUGAGAUUCCUUUCUUCCGAAUUUUGUCAGAGUUGAAGUUAGAUGAAGCAAAAUGGAUCCAAUCUAGAUAUGCCCAGUUAAACUUGAUCAAAGAACAGAGAUUGAAAGUUAUCCGUCAUGGUCAGAUGUACCAAAACCGAAUGAUGCGAGCUUAUGACAAAAAAAGUCUGCCCUAGAGAAUUUCUUGAGGGGGACCUAGUGUCAAAAAAGAUGCUUCCCAUACAAAAAGAUUUCAGAGGAAAAUGAAUACUGAAUUAGGAAUGACCUAAUAUGGUAAAGAAAGCCUUUUCCAGAGGAGCGUUGAUUCUGACUGAGAUGGAUGAAAAUGAUCUGCCCAACCCUAUGAAUUAGGAUUCAGUCAAGAAAUAUUUCACCUAAAAAAAGGGGGGAGGUCAGAUGAAAAUCUACAAAGGGCGUCUUGAAACCUAAGGGGUUUUGAGUUGAAGACUCAAAAAGAUUAGCUAAAAAAUGGACUAAGGAUUGGGCAUGUAAUAGUCGUUUCCUCUCAAAAGUAACAAAGAGGGGGAACUUUACAUUUUGGGGCAUCGAUAAAGUACUCUAGGUCUCCUAAACACUUAUUAAGCUCAUAAUGGUCCUCAGUAAGUUUGUUCGAAGAUGCUCAUAUUGUGAUUUCUGGGCACCUAAUUUCAUCUUCACUCUGUGUUUAACAAUGUUUGCCCUUUUAAUUAAUCUUUUCAUUAGAGUUUUUUCUCCAACAGAUUCCAGUCUUAUCCAUUUUACGACCUUGUUCAAGCAUUGUUGCAUUGAAAUAAUGUUUCAUGGACUAACAAUGUUAUGAAACACAAAAUGAUUUCUUCAUACUGCUUUGAAAAAUUUCUAAAUAGUACAGGGACCUGAAAGAUGACCACUAGUUAGAAAUAACCAAAUUUGAAGGUUAGAAAGAUCCCAAAACAAAUAGUCCAAAUUGUGACUACCUCUUCGGGUUUCCUAUCAAAGAUACCAAACUUGAUUGGAAGACAUGGUAACACUUCAGUGAUAAAACCUAGACGACCGAUGAAUAAUGUCGACCUAAGGACUAAAAGAUAGGACCAUCCUCAAAUAUGACAUUUUGCAUUCUUACAAAUAUCAUUCAUUCAUAUCUAAUUAGGAGUAUUUGAUUCAUUCCAAUCAUAACAUCCUAAUCGCUUAGCAAAAAAUAUAUGAAACAGAUUCUACAGGUCUUGUUCCUAGAAAGUGGCAUAACGGAUCGGUGAAACAAUAACUCCUAUAUCCCUGGAGUUGCAGUGGAAUGGAUCAAAACUGCAGUAGCAAAUCUCAUGUCCAUGUAGAUGUAGUGGGGCUAGAUGAAGUUAUAAGCUCAAAUCCUAUAUCCCUGAAGAUUUAAUGGAUCAGAUUAAAACUUCAGUAGCAGAUCUCAUCUCAAUGAAGAUGCAGUGGGGCAAGAUGAAGCUACAAAUUGAAAUCCCGUAUCCCUGAAGAUGCAGUGGAUUGGAUUGAAACUACAGUAACAAAUCUCAUCUUCAUAAAGAUGUUGUGGAGCAAGAUGAAGCUACAAAUCCUAAGUCCCCUUGAAGUUGCAGCGGGUUGAGAUAAAGCUACAACAGUGAAUCUUAUCUCCUUGAAGUUGCAAUGGGGCAAGAUGAAGCUGUGACACUAAAUCCUAUCUUCUUGAAGUUGCAGUGAAAUGGAUAAAACAACAAUUCCAAUCCCCUAAAGUUACAGUAGAUUGGAAUGAAACUACAAUAAUGAAUCUUAUCUCAUUGAAGUUGCAAUGGGGUAAGAUGAAGUUGUGUCACUAAAUCCUAUCUUCUUAAAGUUGUAGCAAAGCAGAUACAGUGGAGUAGAGUAACCAAUGAAUUGAAAUAGUGAGUUACUUGAAAAAGAGAAGCACAAGAGAAGUCGAGAUCCAACAGGACCGGACGAAAUUGUUCCUCUUUUAAAGUCUUUGCUCCCUUUUCGUUACACGAUAAUGAGUAAAUAGGGGCAAUUGUAAUGGCCCAAUAUCGUCUGGCCCAAAAAAAAACAAAAUUCCAUUGAUAAUCAAAAAUCUAUUUUACAAAUGAAUAAAAUACAGAAGCCUGAAUCCAAACCCUAAACUACCCACCACCCAUCUGUUAACCUAAAAACCCAAAACCCAAUACCCAAAACUACCUAAAUGAGCAAAUACCCAAAGGCCCAUACAAGCCCAAACCCCAAACUAUCCUACGUUACCAAAAACCCUAAAACCCUUCAACGUCACCGCUCUCGCCAAGUCAGCAGUACAUCAUCCAAGUCAUUUCUGUUAACCACGCCCCUAGGACUGCCCUCUGCCAUGGUUACAUAGAAAUGGCAAGGGGAACGUCCCCCCACUAUCGUUGACUCGACCUCAUUCACCAUUGCCAUGCAAAGACCUACAAAACAAAUACAUAACAGAGACAGAUAACAGAAGAAAAAGUAGAGAAAAAAGAAAAAAAAGCAAAUACAUUGUAAUAUUAAUGCGGCUAUAAAAGAUGCAACAACCCUUUUGUAACAAAAAAAAAGAUAAUACAAAAAAAAAGUUAAAAAAGGUAGUUCAUGUAACGCCCCCAUACCCGAGACCAUCUCUAGAGUCGAGCAUGAGGUGUUAACGAACUUAAUUCAUUAAUUAAACAGCUCAAGCAAUUUAUUUUUAAAAUUUUCAGACAAGCUGGCUAACUGCGUCACAUUCACUUAAAAAUUCAUAUCUCGAGUUUCGAAACUCAAAAUUAAGAUCUGUAAAUUUUUACUAAAACUAGACUUAUAUAUUUAUCUUAAAAGUUUUUUCUAGAAUUUUUGGUUGGGUCAAUUAGUACAGUUUAUUAGUUAAAGUCUCCCCUGUUUCAGGGUUUGACUACUCUGACCCCUGUGCAUUACGAAUCAGAUAUCUCCCUGUACAGAGUUUAAAUGAUUAUACCAUUUAGUUCUCAUAAAACUAGACUCAAUAAGGAUUUCAUACAUGUAAGAUAAACUCUAAUUAUUUUUUUACAAUUUAUGGUGAAUUUUUAAAUUCAGAACAGGGGAUUUAGAGACCACUCUGACCCUGUUCCACCAAAACUUAAAUAUCUUAUAAAACAUAACUCAUAUACCUGUUUCAUUCGAUCCAUAUGAAAAUAGACUCAUCAAGAUUUGAUUUCAUAACUUAUUAAUCAUUUAAUUCCAUUUCUACUAUUUUUAGUAAUUUUUCAAAUUCACAUCACUGCUGCUGUCUGAUUCUGUUUUGUGGUCAAUUUUACCUUUCCAAGGAUUUUCAUGGUUUAGUUAAGACAUAAAAUAUACAUGUUAUUAUAAAUAAACUUGAUUAGCCAUUCCAAUAGCUAAUCAUUUACAUACCCUUUUCUUACCAAACCAUAACCAUAUCAUAAGAUCAUUACACAAAAUGAGUAUAUUGCUAUACAUGCCACACUCAAAAUAUACAAGCUAUUUUACCAAUUUAGGUCUUCGAAUAGUGUGAACGAGCCUUCGACCUAUCCCGAUUCUCAAGUCGGCUUGUCAAAACUACAAUGAAUGAAAAAUGAGGGAGUAAGCAUAAAUUCUUAGUAAGUUUACAUGCAAAUAAUAAGUAACAUGAUCAUGCAAUCCAACAUAAACAUCAUUAAGACACUCAUAACAUAAGAAUACUUACUAUCUUACCACAAUUUUAUCUCACCAAGUUCUCAACCAAGGAUUAAACUCAUACCUGUCCAUUUUCACUUCUUCAACACAUUCAUCAUCGAAUCAAUUUCAUUUUAAGUAUUCUCCAUAUUCUCUUAGGAUUCUCCUGUUGAACACAUCGGAAUAUAAUUUCGGAUAUGCGGAUAGUGUGCACGUAAGUGCUAUACUCAUAACUGAACAAGCUCAAUAGCUUUUGAAAUCUAUGUAGCCAAGCUACCAUGUAACCCGCCCAUAAAAGAAGUAGAACUCAACUCAAUGAGCUCGAGCGUUCGCAUCCAUAAGUGAACUCGGACUCAACUCAACGAGCUCGAAUGCCUAGUUACAUCUCACGAACUCGGACUCAACUCAACGAGCUCGAAUGCCUAGUUAUAUCUCACGAACUCGGACUCAACUCAAGGAGUUCGGAACUCAACCAUCCUAGUGACAUGUCACUUGUACCAUAAUCUAUUCCCAAGGUUCAAACGGGAUUCUUCUCAAUUUUACAUUUUUAUCACCUUCUUCGAAAUGUAAAAACUGAUACUUGCUAACAUCUCAUACUUAUCAAGUUGUUCACAUAAUUUGCAUAUUACCAAAUAAUAAUUCACAAAGCAUAAUAUUUCAUGAUAAUAAAUAUCAUAUCAUAUAAAUAUCAUUAAAUCACUUAAAAUAAAAGUUAUGUUACCUUAUUUACACAUGAACUUACCUCGAUACAAAAUAUUAGCAAUCGAGCCUAUUCCUUGUAAACUUUGUUUUUCCCUCGAUCACGACUGGAAUCUUGUUUCUCUUGAUCUAUAACACCAAAUUAAUUUAUUUAAUACAUACAUUCAUCAAAAUAGCCCCUAGUAUGAACUUUGACAAAAUUACUAUUUUGCCCCUAAACUUUCACAUAUUUACACUUUUGCCCCAAGGCUCGUAAAUUAAACCUCAUCCUAUUUUUUUAUGUUUUAUGACAUGCUGAUCAUUUUUCUCUUCUAUAGCAACAUCAAAUUCACACUCUAACAUGUACUUAUGAAUAUUAGGUAUUUUUACCGAUUAAGCCAUUUUACUCGUUUUUCACUUAAAACCGAGUAGCAAAAGUUGUCUAACAUAAUUUAAAACCUCAUAUUAUAUCAUAAAACACCAAAAUACACAAAUUUCACCUAUGGUUAUUUUUCCAAAUAUGAACCCUAGAUUGAAUUAUUGCUAGCAUAAGCUAAAUCGAGUUACCGAGAUUCCAAAAACAUAAAAAUCAUUAAAAACGGGGCUUGAAAUCACUUACUAUGAAGCUUGGAAGUUGAAGAAACCCUAGCUAUGGAGAGAGGUAAGAUUCGGCCAAGGCUUGAUGAAGAUGAACACAUUUUGGCCUUAAUUUUCCUUUUAAUUAAUUUUAAUUACAAAAUGACUAAAAUAUCCUUAAUACCUUUAUUUGAAAAAUUUCAUGUAUAAGCCCAUUUUUGUCCAAAAUUUUAGAAAUUGGUCAAAUUGCUAUUUAAGACCUCCUCAUUAAUAUUCCAAAGCAAUUUCAUACUAAAAACUUCUAGAAUACAAGUUUUGUUAAUUAUUCGAUUUAGUCCCUAAUUUCAACUUAAGCAUUUUAUGCAUAGAAUUUCGUCACGAAAUUUUCACACAAUCAUGCAAUCAUAUCAUAAACCUCAAAAUAAUCAUAAAAUAAUUAUUUCUAUCUCAGAUUUGUGGUCACAAAACCACUAUUCCGAUUAGGCCCUAAUUCGGGAUAUUACAGUUCAUUUUUAUUGUUUUUUUAAAUUUCAAAAAAAAUAUAAAAAGAAAAACAAAAGGUUUAAUUUUUUUACCUGCGACGCUUCAUUCUCCACCAUGGAAGGCCGAGGCCACUGUCUCCGAUGUCUCCUAUGGACAUGAGUGGUCCUCGAGCCCCUCUUGGCUCGUCUUGGCUUUGUUGGAAAAGGAAAUAUAAGGGUGACCUUUCAAAAAAAUGAAGAAAUCAACAGGUUUUUUAGAUUUUUUAGGGGAUUUUGGUUGGGGUUUUGGAUGAUCUAACCUCAGAUCCGCGUUCUACACGUAAAAAGGCACAAAAGGGAAAACUUUAGGGAACUUUGGCAACUGGGAGCCCCACCGUCCCUAUGGUCGAACAAGGGGGAGAGUUGAGAUAGAAAAAAAAAACGAAAGUUUUAAAAAAAAUUGGGCACAAAUGAAUUUUUUUUUUCAAAAUUUUUAACUUAAAUAGGCUUGCGAUACGAUGCCGUUUUGGCUUGGCUUUAGAAGCCCCAAACGGACUUCAUUUUAAUACGAUCCAAUGACACAAUCCAGAUCUCCUGGGAUCCGCGUGUUUAUGAGGGGAGGGUUUAAUUGCUGUAUAGGCCCUUCUGCUUUUUGUUUUCUUUUUUAUUUCGUCCUUUCUUUUUUUUUGAAAAAAAUUUCCCCUUUAAUUUUAUUCCUUUGCAUUUCAAUCCUCUGACUCAUUGUUAACCCCUUUUGGGGAGUGACAUGUGUACCGAGGCCGAGAUAAUUUAGCCCUUUUGUAUAUUUAAUUCAGUCUCUUUACUUUCUGGUUUUUAAUUUCCUGCACUUCUAGCUUAUUUUAUUUAUAUUUCUGCCCAUAAAAUUAUGCAAAUUUUAUUUUAUCCUUAAUCACUAUUACUAAUUAUUAUUAUUAGCACUGAUUAGAAUUGUUUUUACAUUUAUUGUUAUUUUUGUCAUGAUGUUAUAUUUAUUUUAUUUUACUAUUUAUGUUUUUAUCACCUUCUACUAUUAUGAUAUUGUUUGAUAUGAUUGCAUAUACUCAUUUAUCCCGUAUAAUAUAUCAUGUUCGAAUAGAUUUGUCGUAUGUCACAUUAGAAGUUGUGUCCAUUUUCGUGCAAUGUAUAUUUAGCAAUUAAAACCGAGGCAAUGUUCUUUAUUUUGGGGAUUUGACUUUCUCUUCGAACCGAAAUAAUCGAAUGUCCUUAUUAAAAUUAAAAAAAUAUAUAGGGUUUAAGUAACAAUUAAGCGAUGGAUAUUCUUAUUUUCGGUGAUCCGAAACGUCGUGCCCCUAACUUACGGGACAUGACUUUUUGAUUGACUUGAAACAAAAGAACCUUCUCCAUAAAGUUCAAUUUAGGUAAUAAUAUUUCUAGUAAUGUCAUCAAAUAACACCAUUUUCAUGCAUUUAAAGGUCGUAUUUUAAAAUCUUAUCAGGUUCACCUAUGUCUAGAGAUGACACGCACGCUAUUCAUAAAUACCAUUGAAUGAAAUAGUAAAUUAAAACUAAUCUAAGUUCUGGCCAAUAAUGGAAAUAAAAGUUUCAUCAAGUAAUCCCAACCCUAUGAGAUUUGGCUCAUGGGUUGGUGAAUAGAAUCCAUAUUCAAAAUAGUAAUCAACAUCGUUUCCUUAAAUCAGAUUAUGGAAUAGAAAAUAAAGAAUUAAAGGUAGAACUAAGGAAGAUAGCUUUCGCCUGUCUAGCCCACAACUCCAGCUAUGAAAUGUCUUUUAGUGACCAGGAGGGACUGCCCUCAUCUUCCCCUUUACGUCUCCGUCCUUGUUGCAACUGCUACCCUCUAUUUUCGUCUAAGUGAUUUCUCCUUCCAAAAAUGACUCUGUAUUGUCUACUCCCUUUUCAAUUUUUAUUUUUGGGUUUUAUAUAUCCUCCUUUAGGGUAAACCCAUCAUCCCAUGAUCUUUUUCCUUUUUUUUUUGGGCUAAUUUUUCUGGUUUGAUAAUGGUUAAGUAUUGACUGGGUUGCUUCCUGGCAUUUCCAUGACAUUCGUGUUGGCAAACUGUCCAACCUUUUUCCACGAUAAACCUUUACUUCUUUACUUCUUUUCCUCAUUUUGCACAUGCCACUUAACAAACAAAUCCUUCUCGCAAACAAUUAGAAGUAACAUGUAAUAACAUUUAAGCAUAAUCCAAGCUUUUUAAUACAAUUAACUAAAAACACUAAUGGAAAAUCCUAAAAUGCAACUAAACUUAUCUAAGUAUAGGCAAUUAAUCAAGUCUAAAGGCAUCAAAUAUAACUCGUUUCAAGAGUUAUCACUAGCACGGGUUGUCCACCUCUUCGUUGACACUAAAAAAUGUUGUGUAGUUAUCAGGAUAAGUGGUUGUACGCAAAACAAACAAACAAAGGCAAAUUAUAACAAAAUAAUAGAAAUAAAAACAAACAAAAACAAAUCCAAAAGUAGUUUAGUAGUUUAAAUAGUUUACAUGCUGCACAAAUAAAAAAUAAAAAGAAAUGCUUAAACAUGUAACUAAUCUUCAUCAUCGGAGUGCGCUCCGGUCUAGCUACUUCAUUCCCCUUGCCCUUCACCACAGACCUUUUAUAUGAUAGGUGAGUCAGUGGUUUGGGGUCUCGAAUGAAGAAACUUGCUAUAGAGGGGCGUUCGGGUGAAAAUGUUCCCUCGAAGUCAUCAUGAUAAGACACCACUUCAUCAUCCUUAGUUGCCUCAUCAUCUAUAUCAACAUCUGUUUUGGUAUCCCCUUUGUCAGCUUCUUUAUCUUCCUCUAUGGCAUAAUCAUAUGACCUUAUUAGCCAAUGAAUGUUGCCCCAUGACUCUCCAUAAAGCUAUCCACAAAAGGUUGCAUGGCAUCAAACCUUCUAUUGGUGUAUCAGACCUCAUUGAACAACUUCUCAAGUUGUGCUUCAAGGCCUCCAGAUGUCAUUUUGGAGCUCACUUUCCUUGGAUGAACAGAAGGGGUGUCCAUUUUAUGUUUCCUUUGUUGGUUCUAGUCCUUUAUUUAUUCUUGGUGAAGGUCCCUAAACUCAUGAAGCAUGAAGUCACCAAUGAUACUUCUUAUGAGCUUGUAAGAUUGUUCCAUCGGGUUUAUGACAACCGUCUUCUUACGACAUAAUUCUAUAAUCAGGUGGGGAAAGUAGAUAACUAAUUUUCCUCCCACAAUACACUUUUUCAUUUCUUGGUUGAUCCAGUUCCCUAAGCAAACCCGCUUACACUGUAAAAUGGUAUACAAAAACACAACUCAAAAUACAGUGACAGUGUUAGUAUUAAGCAAGGGGCUAACAUGUGUGUAAAUGAAUUGCAUCCACAUCUUAACCAUAUGGAACAUUAUGGUCUGUAUGAAAGUAAGAGGAAGACUGUGAUACCCCUCGCGUUUCCAUUCGCCCAGAUUUUCAGUUAAAAUAUUUAAUACGACAUCCAUAUUGACAUUCGUAAAACGUUCUAAAUCCAUAUUCUAAAUGUUAUCAUUUGGAUAAAACAGGACACUGUAAUGUUCACAAAUACGCUCGGGUGCUAUGCCUAUGUUGGAAAAUUGGGUUUGGAAAAGGUAACGAAAAAUAAAUUUAGUGAAAAACUAGAGUUUUAAAUUUUUUCCAAAAGUAGAACUUGGUUGUGAUAUCUAAAGUAAUAAACACUUAAUCAAAAUUGUACAUUUUUAUCCGUCUAGGAUGAACACUUCGACUGAGUAGUCUUCUCUGCUAUCCUCAAGCUCACGUCUACUUAGUGUUGGCUUGCUUCGAAUCGGAAAAUUUUUCACAAAAAUUACCAGUGGGCUAAUUUCGUAAUUUCUCUAAACUUUUGGGCUAAGCUGUAAAUAAAAAAUAUCUCUAGAAAUUUUCUGAAAUAAUUUCUUUAGAGAUUUUUCUUUCUACAACUUUCUCUUGAAUUCAAGUGUGUAAAAUAAUGAUCUAAUGCUCUCUUUAUAUAGAGAGCAUUUAGAGAGUUUAACUAUGAUUAAACUUAAUUAUUUUAAUAUUAAAUUAAUAUGAUACUUAUCAAGAUAAAUAUUAGAUUAAAUUUAAUAUUAAAUCUUAUUAAAUUAAUAGAAUAUUUUAUCUACAAAAUAAACAUUAAAUUAAAUUUAAUAUUAAGAUAAUCUCUUUAAUAUUAAAUUCAUAAAAUACUAUUAAGAUAAGUAUUAAAUUUAAUUUAAUAUUAAAUCUAUUAAAAUAAUAUUAUUUUUGAAAUAGUUAAUCUUAAAUGAAAUUCUCUGGUAGAGUUCUAGAAUGAGUGUAAUUCUUCCAAUGCUCAACCAUCGAAGACCCACCGCUGCCAACCAUUUUUCAGCCACUGGAAUACUUUCGUCGCAUCUGCCUACACCCCAAGAUAGUUUGGUUUCUGCCGGUUUGGUCCAAGCCAGUGACAACCCGACUGGUCCGGUCUAACCAUCAGUUGGACCAUCAACCCGAUUUCACAUGCUAAUUUUUGGGUCUUGGCCUCAGUUUUGGGCUCCGAGGCCCAAUUUACAAUCUUAGGUCUAACUUUCAAGUUCAAUUACCCAUUGGAUCAAUUAUUUGACUUGAAAAUUAAUUUCCAAAAUAUCAUAUUAAUUUUAAUUAAUUUGAUUGAUUUAAUUUUACUUGAUCAAAAUUAAUUUUUCCAAAAAUCACUUAGAUUUUUCAAUUCUUACGACCACUCAAUUUAAUUCCAUGUCGAACAAAUUGACUCAAUUAAAUUAUUUUCAAAGUUUUAGAAUUUUCUUCUGAUUCAAAUACAAUCUAAUCGAGCUUUUGUUGAGCUACUGGAGGGACCAAUUAGACAUAUACAAUUAGGCUCUAGUAAUUGCAAUUAUAUCUAGAAGCAUCGUUUCGAUAAUUCUCAAUUACUUAAUCAUGGAGUCAAUUCACAAGAAGUACCAUGAUUGAAAACUCCCUAUCGUAUACUUUUUACAAAAGUAAUUCAUCCAAUUUCUUUAUCCAAUGACCUCUCCAUGUGUGUGUUAUCCUCAUGUGAUACAUUGUUUUCUUUAAGUUAAAUCUGUUCACUCAAUAAAAUCAUAUUUUAUCUCAUUGUCACCAUUGUGUCUUUUUAAUAAUUAAUAUAUCACUAUCAACAAAUGACUAUGAUAAAUUACUCGUUCGAGAAUAAGAAACUCGUCGCCACGUUCCAUAUUUAUCAAUCUAAACAAUACCAAUGAGAGGAUAACGUUAACUCUUUAAUUGAGCAAUGAAUUCCACUAUUGCUAGUAAAGUCAUGUCAUACACAAGUUAUAUACCUAACAUACCGGCUAUUGGCUCAAUUAUCUUUAGAGCAUAAGCCUCCACUUAUAUCAAAGCACAUGAGUUACAUACGCAUGGUUAGUGAGUAACUCAGGAUUUAGGUCAAUCACACCAUGAAUGUCAUAAGUGAAUUAAUUCACAAACGGAUUCAAAAUUAACUUAUCUUGGGUCCAGUCCAAUGUAUCAUUCUGCCAAUGAAUACAUUUAUGUCUCUACCCGUAAAGUCAACUACAUCAAUAGCCAAUACUAACCAUCUCCUCAAUUGGAAUUGUAGAUGACAUAAUAAAUCUUUCUCAGUAUUUGAAUCAAAUGCUCACUUUAAUUCUUUUUACGGGAUUACGGACUAGUUUUGAUUAUCUACUAAAGUAAGUUCUCUUUCUUGCAAUAUAAACGUUCUUACAGUUCCACUUAUCAUCAGUUUGAACUUAUAUAAUUAAUUAUCUAAUAUUUUUUUUGUCACAAUUUCGCUAUGCAUGCAAAAUAUGAAAGACAUAAAUACAAAAGACAUAACAGUGAAAUGUAAAAUUUAUUUAUUCAUCGUUCAAAUACAUAGAAAACAAUUACAUGUUACUAUAAUAUGAACACAUUUCCCAACAAUCUCUUAUUUGCUUUGGGCUGAGCUUCAAGAGGGCACGUUUCAUCAAGAACGAAUUUGUAUUUCUCACAUUUGAGAACUAUUAGAAAGUUUCGCUUCCAUUCUCAAAAGUUAUCCCCAUUUAAUUUGUUAUGAUUUUGACCCGAUUAAGCAACGAACAACAAAAAUAGUGGAAUAAAUUGAGAAAUUGAACACACAAAUUUAACGUGGAAAAAUCCCUCCAAAGAGGAUAAAAAACCGCGGGCAAAGAUAAUUUUACUAUAAUGGCAAAAAAACGAAGAGUACAAAAGAUGGAGAUAAAGACUAAACCCCGAAAACCCGAAAACAAAGAACCCUCAAAACGUAAACACAAAAUUCUCUAAAUGUGUUAUGAGUUCUAAUCUCUAAUGGGUGAAUUUUCUAAGGUUCUAAAAGAGCCUAUUUAUAGGCUAAAUUCAUAGAUCAAAUAAUAAUAAAAUAAUCUAAACUAAUCAGUGUUUGAUUGAAACAAGUAAACAGAGUUUAACUGAAAGAUUACUUUUCAAAUUUGACUGAAAAUAGGAGUCAUAUUUAACAAAUCUUCACCUUGACUCAUAUUUCCACAACGCCAUCUUUGCCAAAGCCCGCCACGAGCCUAUCUUGAACUAUGCAGGGAACUAACUGAGUCGAUUUUGUGCUUAGAAACUAGAAGACUUCUAGCCUUCGACUUGUACACUGCCAAAUCAAAACUAACCCAUGUUUGAUUUUCACGAACAUAGUGCCCUAACUUUUCAAAACCUGCAUCCCAAAGAGAACCUCUCUUCAACGAAACGGUCAUACCUUUUUUCCUCUUAUGACCAAGUUGCCUCUUCUCCAAACAAGUUGACUUCAACUUCGUAACAGACGAGGGACGUCCGAUUUCAUCGGUCACUGUAGAACCUUCCAAAAUAUAAAGACUUCCAGUUCUUUUACCUUUUAACAAAACGAGAGCUCCACGAGAUACUUUAAUGCCGCUCAACUCGAUGUUGAUUCUGCAUUCUUUCAAGUUUAAAAUACUCUAGGAGAUGAAAUUCUUUUGUAAAUCAGGUACAUACCUGACAUCUGAGAGUGUCCUAAUUGUCCCAUUGUGCAUCUUAAUUUUAACAGUACCAAUACCAGUUAACUUACUAGAUGAAUUGUUUCCCAUGUGCACAACUCCACCUUCAACUGAACUGUAUGUGGAGAACCAUUCUCUAUUGGGACACAUGUGGAAAGAACAUCCUGAAUCUAGGAUCCAUUCAGAUGUGAGCUUUGAGUUAUCGUUAGUUGACACUAACAAGAAAUCAUCACCGCUUUCAUCGGCCAAAUUAGCACCAGCUACAUCUUCCUCGUUACUCUCAGCAGCUCUUUUAUUUCGCAAUUUAUAACAAUUUGCUUUGACGUGACCUAACUUUUUACAAUAGUGACACCUUUUAUCUCGUUUCUUUGAUGCUACCAAAACGGAAGCUUGCCUAUCUGUCUUGCUAUCCAAAUGAAGCUCAUUGUCGAGUUUGUCUCUACUCAACAAAUGACCCUUCACAUCUUCGAACGAGAGUUUGUCUCUACCAUAAAUCAGGGUCUCCCUGAAAAACUUGUAUGAAGGGGGUAAAAAGUACAAUAAUAUCAUAACCUGAUCUUCAUCGUCAGUAUGAACCUCAACAUUCUUUAAAUCAUUUAAAAGAGUAAUAAAUUGACUGAUGUGAUCUCUAAGAAGCUCACCUUCGUUCAUGUGAAACGUAAAUAGACGUUGUUUCAACACUAAACUAUUAGCCAAAGACUUAGUCGCAUAAAGAGUUUCUAACCUUUUCCAUAAGGCAGAUGAGGUCUUUUUCAUCAAUACUUCCUGCAAUACCGUAUUCGCAAGGCACAACUGGAUUGCAGACAAAGCCUUUUCAUCAAGCUCUUCCCAUUCUGCUUUAUUUAGAUUCUCAGGCUUUUUCCUGGUAAUAACCUUUUUCAAACUGGAUUGAACUAGAAUUGCCAUCAUCCAAACUUGCCACAGAUUAAAAUUUGUAUCACCAUCGAACUUCUCAAUUUCAAACCUUGUUGCUUCCAUCUCUGAAUGGGCUGAUAUAUGAAAAUUAAACUAGCUCUGAUACCACUUGUUAUGAUUUCGACCCGAUUAAGCAACGGAUAAGAAAAAUAGCGAAAUAAAUUGAGAAAUUGAACACACAAAUUUAACAUGGAAAAAUCCCUCCAAAGAGGAUAAAAAACCACGGGCAAAGAUAAUUUUACUAUAAUGGCAAAAAAACGAAGAGUAAAAAAGAUGAAGAUAAAGACUAAACCUUGAAAACCCGAAAACAAAGAACCCUCAAAACGUAAACACAAAAUUCUCUAAAUGUGUUAUGAGUUCUAAUCUCUAAUGGGUGUACUUUUUAAGGUUGUAAAAGAGCCUAUUUAUAGGCUAAAUUCAUAGAUCAGAUAAUAAUAAAAUAAUCUAAACUAAUCAGUGUUUGAUUGAAACAAGUAAACAAAGUUUAAUUGAAAGAUUAUUUUUCAAAUUUGACUGAAAAUAGGAGUCAUAUUUAACAUAAUUUAUUCUUUAUAAAAAUGAAAAUAAGAGGAGUAGGAGACAUAUUUGAACUGAAAAAAUAAAGUUUCACUAAUUAGUAUAUUUGUAUUAAACAAAUAUUUUCCUUUUAACAACAUAUCAAGAAUGUGGUAUGAUACAUGCGUCUUGUAUUUAAACCUUGAAAAAACACUACGAUCAUUCUCACAUCCAUCAACCAUGUCGCCUUGGGGUCUCAUGAUUAACUAGUAAAAACAUGUAUUACAUCCAAUCAGUUUGUGAAUCUUAAUUCUCAAGACUCCACAUGAACUAACGAUUGUUUAACGUUUGGCUAUCAUCUCUAGCUUAAAUAUCAUUUCUUAGGAAACUAUUUAGUUAGAGACGAUCUUGAAUGUGUAACCAUUGGCUCAACACCUAUCAUUAACAUGCUUUCAUUUGUGAGUCAUCUUGGGACAAUCUCUCUAAAGAUCAUGCAUGACUAGUUGUCUUUAAAAGGAAAUCACAUCUAGUGAACCCACAUGAAAAAAGUUUACCUUGGGGUGCAGCUAGGGUAGGAACCAACACGAAAGUUUAUCAUGCUAUCACUUAGGGACUAUCAAUGGUGGCCAUAGGUCUUGUUCAAGGACCUUUUCCCACUCAAUAUUUUUAAAAAAAUAUGCAAGAUUCUUAUUCCAGAUUUCUAGAAUAAUCAUACAAUAGUCCUAGUGGCAUUCUUACCUAAUCUAUAACACCCUUUAUCUGGCUCGGUCACCAGACCCGAGUAAUAAUACGCUAUUUUAAAAAUCCAACAAACAAAAAAUACUUUAAAUAAAAAAACUCUAUUCCUUAUCAUUAAAUCAUAUAUAAAAUCAAACAUAUUAAAAAUUUUGAAUUCUACAAUGACCUAUCUAUGAGAUACAAGCAUAUAGUGAGAUUGAAUUGUAAAAUUUUAAAGUUUAACUGCCAAUUUUUAAAAUCCACAGUUGGUAUCGAUACCUUACUAAAAAUUGAUAAUAAAACUCAAUUUUUUUUUCUUUUCUAAACAAUGGUAUCGAUAAUUAUUUUAUGUUAUAAAUAUUUUAUGAGAAAGUAUCAAUACUUAAAUAAAAAUCAAUAGCAUUUUGGCAUUCUAUUUAUUUUAAGACUAUACAUAAUAACAAGUAUUGAUACCAAUGCCAAAAAUAUCAAUACCUGGGUCAGGAAAGGUAAAAACUAUAUUCAAAAAGUUCAUUUGUGACCAAAAUUCACAUAAACUCAAAUGGUAAGCUUAAAUAUAUUUAUAGAUACAUAAUUCCAUUCAAAAACAUAAGUUUUCAUAUCAAACACAUCAUUAAAAUUAACCAACCUAGACCCUUAAACAAUGUACAUCAAUUUCAAACUAACUAAAUACAUAUAUAUAUACAAUUAAACUAUUAAAUCAUUGAUAUAUCUCAACCAUUUCCAUUAUACCAAACAAAACUAGUUGAGCAAAAAAAUUCCAAUUCACUUCUCCCUAAUUAAUAUAUUCACCUUCAACUACUCAAGCAUCAAAUGUCCAUACCAUGGUACUACCUCAUUUAUUUAGACAUUUGACAAGGAAAUCAUUCAACCAAACAUAUCAUCAUCAAUAAAGAUACUACCAAUACUUUCACACUCACAUAUAUAAACACAUAACUUGUAUAAAUUACCAACCAAAACACAAACUAAUUACAUAACUCAAAAUGAGCUUUAACUCAAAAGACUUCCUAAGUACAUGCCAAACCAAAAUAAGAGCGUCAUUAACGCUUGAGUUCAGGAUUGUUGUUGGAUGCUGAGUUGAUGAGUGAACUGUAAAGUACCUAACCUACGCAUAGAAAAGAAAACUGUACGUUGAGUAUAAUGCAAUGGUAUUUCUAUAAUCAAAUAAUAAAGUAUAUUAUAAUGAUUAUAAUGCAUUUUAACUUGUCAAUAUACAAUUCCUAUUACAUCACCUAUUAUUAAAUCUAAUUACAUAUAUUAAACCGAGCUUAUAAACUAAUAUCCACUAUAUACCCCUAUUUCAAUUUCACUAUUCUCAAUUUCGCAGUUCUACAAUAUAAUUUCAUCGACCAGUCAUUAAUUCACAUAUGUUCCAGCAUAACUCAUCACAAAUCGAAUUCAAUUGCACAAUAUUAUCGACAUAUCCUAUUUUCAAAUUUAUUCAAGUUAAUCAUUAUCAUAAAAACUAAUUCAAAUUGAUUCAAUUUAGCUUGUUCUAUCAUUUCCAGCUUACCUUAUGUUAUAACCAUGUAGCGCAGUUCAUAAAUGCAACAAUUAAAAAUGUUCAGGUUAUAAAAAUACAAACUGUAAACUUUGAGCUAUUCAUUUACAACUUUGUCUUUUCCUUUUCGUCUUGGGGUAUUCAGGUCGACAUUUUGCUACGAAUUAAAAUAAACAUACCAAAUCAUCAAAAUGCAAGCCAAUUCACAUUCAUUUGCUAAUUUAAUAAACUUUUUUAUUUUAUUCAAUUUAGUCCCUAAAAUCUAGAGUAACAUAACUUUUAAAUUUAACCCCAAAUUUUAGGCCGAAUUCAUAAGAGUCCCUACAGGAUCACCUAUUUUUCAUUUUUACCCCUAAUUUUGAAAUUUAUACUAUUUAAUCCCUAUAAUACAAAACUUUAAACUUACUUCACAAUUUAGUCAUUUUUCAACUCUAAACUUAAUAUCUAUCAAAUUGACCUAAAACUUCAACUAAUCAAUAAUGGUAACAUCCUUAAUAUUUAACAAUACUAAAAAAUACAACAUGGAUCAACAAGCUUAAGCUCCCAGGAUUCCAAAAAAUAUAAAAAUUACAAGAAAAUGGACUAAAUUGACUAACCAAUUAAAGCUUAAAAAUUUCUAAACCUUAGGCCCAUUGUAUUCUACCUCUCCCUAUUUGUUUCGGAAGUUGCUGCAUGCAAAGAGAAAUAAAGCUUCUCUUUCCUUCCACUCUUAUUUUAUUUCCUAAGUUUAAUUAACUGUUUUAUUAUUAAUGUUAUUUUACUUAAAAUUUCAUCACAAAUUCUAAUAUAUUGGCACAUGUUAUUGUCCACUCAGUUAAACCAUUGGUUUAAUUGCUAUAAAAGUCCCUUAUUUAUGUUUUACACUAUAAUUCAAUAAUAAUUAAAUUUUAAUACUUUUUUGAUUUAAUUCUUGUACCAUAAUUAAGUAAUAAUUCGAUACAAUUAACUGAAUGAAAUUCAAUUCACUUAUAAAAUAAUCUCGUAAAUAUAAACAUUUACAAGCUCAAUUUACGAAAACGAGGUCCCGAUAUCUCAUUUUCCAAAACCAUUGACUUUUGAUAUAGACCACUUGUACCUUGAUUAACUGAUUCUUUAAUAAAAUCUGUCAAAUCAAAAUCUCAUAUAACACUAAAAUAAAUUUGUAAAUAUUAUAAAAUAAUAUUUACAGACUCGACCAUCGAAGAAUGGGGUUCUGAAACCACCAUUUCCGACACCACUACCUUUCGGGUCGUUACAUAAUCUGUAUGACAUGCUUCCAAUAUAUGCAUGACAUGCUAUGACAAUUUUAUAAUAUUCUCAUUCAUUCAUACACAAGAAUCAAUCAAUCAAUCAUAAAAACAAGCAAUUUUCAUUCUCCACAACGCAUUUUUUAAGGGAAAAAUCAAAGAAGUGAAUACAAACCAUGCACCAAGUAGGGUCCCAUGAAAGAAAGAUGAGUCAAAUUUGCCCGUUUAAAAAUCAAACCUUUUGUAAUAUCCUUAAACUGGGUCUACUAGUUUUGGGUUCCGAGAAUGAAUUUAAGAAUUUAUUGGGUUAAUAGUAAUUUUUAAUUUAAUUUAGGAGGUCAAUUUCAUCUAAAAUUGAUUAAAAAAUAAUUUGAAAAAAUAAAAAUAUUUUUUGAAAAAUUAAUUUUAAAGUAUUUAAAUAAUUAUUAGUGAAAAUAAUUAAUUUGGGUCGAAAAAGAAUUUUAAAAUAAUUUUUAUUGGGGUUAAUUUGAGCUACAUUUAAAUAUUAAUUAAAUUAGAUUUAAUUAUAAAAUAAGAGAAAUUUUGGAUUAUUUAUUUGGAAAAUAAACCUUUAAAUUCGAAAUUUUGAAGGGAAAUGAUCAAUUGGUAAAGAGAAAUGUGGGAGUGACCAUUAGACAAAUUUCCCAAUUUUUAAAUUUCUGGUAGGUUGUUUCAAUUUUAAACACAAUUCAUCUAGCCUACAUUUUACACCAUUUACAUCAGAUUAGAUAGCUAUAAAAUUCAUUUUCUUUGUAUGGUUUUAAAGAUCUAUCAUCAGAUAAUAGAUUCAACAAAUUUCCUUCUCAAAGUACUCUUUCUUUUUACCCGAAAUUAUUCACAAAAUUAGCUAAAAGUAUUUUGAAAUUUCUCAAGAUUCAAGAUUCAAGAUUCAAGAUUCAAGAUUCAAGAUUCAAGAUUCAAGAUUCAAUAUUCAAGAUUCAAGAUUCAAGAAUCAAGAAUCAAGAAUUUAUUUUAAUCAAACUAAAAAUAAUCCAAAAUAUGGGUAUGCUACCCUAGCACGCAUGCGUCUGCCUCUCUGGCAUGUUCUUAGGUUUUUUGGGUUAUUUUGUUCAAAGUUUAAUCUUGGCGGCAACAGUCUAUCAGAAUCUCCUCUUAUCCUCUAAGAUAGCAUGCAAACGGGGCUUAAUCUCUAGCCUGCAAUCAUGGAAAAAGAAUUUGCUGAAUGAACAUUUGAUGAAGAAGAAGUAGUUUUACAAGCACAAGUUGAGCCGAAUUUGGAAAAGGAAGAAAGAACUUUUCGACUAGUGGGAUGAUUUUUAACAGCUAGUGUUAUUCACUUCCCAGCAAUAAAAAGCACCAUGGCGAACCUAUGGCUCCCAGUUAGAGGUGUUCAGAUCCGAGAUCUAGGAGAAAAAUGAUUUCUGUUUCAAUUUUUUCAUACAAUGAACAUGGAAAAAGUUCUGAAGGGCUCUCCAUGGACCUUUAAUAAUCAUUUACUGGUUCUACACACACUACAGUAGGGGGAGGAGCCAUUGAAAAUCCCUUUAAUCUUUUCGCCUUUUUGGGUACAGAUCCAUGAUAUUCCAAUGGGGUAUUUUUUUGAAAGUUUGGCAAGGCAACUAGGUGAUUUUUUGGGCAAAUUUUUGGAGUUUGAUAGUUCAGAUCUGGGGAAAGGUAAUAGGAAUUUUAUGAGAAUUCGAGUUCAAUUGGAUGUCUUUCACACAUGAAAGAGGAAAAAGCAGGUUAUGUUCUCUGGGAACUGUUCAUAUGUCAGAUUCAAAUAUGAAAGGCUGACUCUUUUCUGUUUCUAUUGUGGUCGACUGGGUCACAGUGAUUCUUUUUGUGAGGGAAAAAUGAAGUUAAGGGUAGAAGUGGCGGUAAUGGGCUGGGACUUGUCUUUGCGAGCGCAAUCCAAAAGAGCUUUGGAAAUGAAUAGUAUUUGGUUACGCAAAGAUGGAGAAGAUGACACAGGUCGAAGUUUCUAUGGCGAACACAAUUCAGAGUACAGGCCAUGGGAAAUGAGGAAUAAGUCAGAAACUAGAGUAUCCAUCGACCCAAUCCUGGGGAUCAAUUUGGAAGGUAAUUUGCCCUCUUCUUCACAAUGAGGGGAAAUUUGUUAGCCAAACAGACCCAUUCUGUAAUGGAACAUGAUUUGGAGGAAAGGGUGUUAAUUGGAGCAGAAGGAAAAAAAGGCCUAGGGGGAAAGUGCAGACCCAACAAUAAGAGAAGAAUGCAUUACUGCCACAGUAAGAAAUAGGAGAAUGUUGGAAAAUACUCUUUUAUCGUCGGCAGCUGCCAAAAGGCAAGCUGACCAAUCGUAAUAAAAAUUUUAAGUUGGAAUGUUCGUGGUUUGAAGAACCCACGGACAAUUCGAAGGCUUUGGCAUACGCUGAAGAAAUAUAAUCCCCAGAUGGUCUUUGUCGAAACCAUUUUUUAAAGGGAUGUUUGAAAAUAGGGAUCGAUUUUUGAAAAACGAAAACGGGAGUCACCACCAACCUUUUUAGGUGUGAUUGGAUCACCUUAUAAAAUGUUUUGGUCUACGAAAAUUAAGAAAAUAGGUUCGGGAGUCGGUUACGUACGAGGAAGGAUUAGCACCAUUGCAACGCCCAAAAUUGGUGCCAAAUUGAAUAGUUUUCUAUCUUAAUGCCAAAAAUUUGAAAGGAUUUAAAAAUAGGAUCCCUUUUUUUAAAACCGGAAUUAUUUAAGUUGAAAAAUCGAGAUUCCUUAGCUCCAAAAGAAUACAAACAUCACAUCCAGCAUGAUAGGACACGAUAUUCUUAAACUCUCGUAACUGAAAUCAUCUCGUGAUUUACAAAAUAUAUUUAGAAGGAUACUUUAGGCAUUUAGACAAACGGGAAAUCGUAACCCAGCAUGUUAGGGCACUAUUUCCCGAAUUCCUAAAUACGAAAAACAUUGCCUUAUUUUAGAAAAACUUUUGGAUAAAAUAUGACAAUUAAAUGAAAUAUAUUUUUUUAAAAUAAUGAUUUGAGUAAAAUUUAAAAAAUAAUUUACUAAGAGUAAUACUAAAAAAAAUUAUUAAAAAAAUGAAAGAGUUUGAUAUGAUACUAAAAUUAUUAAAAAAUUAAAAUAGAAAAAAAUCAGGGAAACAUGGAUUAAAGCAAAAUAAAAAGGGUUGAAAAACGAAGAUGAACAAAGAAUAAAAUAAGAACAAAAAGUAGAAAAUAAGAACGUAAGAGGGAGAGAAAUUUGAGUGAAAGCUCUCAAAAUUUUUUAUUGUUUCCUAAAACUCCAGUGUCUUUACAAUGAAGGGAGAGGCCUCUAUUUAUAGUUGAACCUCCUCAAAUCCAAUGGUACAGAUCAAUUACAUCAACGGUUAAGAUUAAAAGGUAUCUACAAAUUAAAUCUCUAAAAUUACAAAAUCAUAUCUUCUAAGAUUGCAUAUCAUAUCUUCUAAGAUUGCAAUCAUAUCUAAGAUUGUAUCAUAUCUAAGAUUGCAUAUCAUCUAAGAUUGCAUAUCAUUGAAGAUUAUAUUUCCAUAUGAGUCAAGCUUGUAGACGGACCUUAAAUCUUUUUUAGUAAUGGGCCAUUCCGAUCGGGCCAAAUUAUAUUUGUAAUUCUGGACUGAACUUGGACUUUUUUUUUGGGUUUAUUAUUUUUGUUUUUGGACUUAUUUCUGGGCCCGGGCGAAAUUGAGUAUCUACAGCUACCCCUCUUUCCUCAUUGCUGUGUAACAGGAAUAGAGCAAAGACUAUAAAAGGACCAAUUUUGCCCGGGCUCGCUGAGUUUUGAGUUCUUGAUCCUUGAUCUUCUUUAAAAGGCCUCUUGACGGCUUCAAUCUGCUUCACUGCAACUCAGGAAAGCGAUAUCUGCUAUCUUUGAUCUGCUCCCUAUCUAAUACAGAGAUGCUAAAUCUGUUAUCUUCGAUCUGCUCCCCGUCUAAAACAGAGACACCAAAUCUGUUAUCUUCGAUCUGCUCCCCGUCUAAAACAGAGACGCCAAAUCUGCUUCUUCAAUCUGCUCCCUGUCUAAUACAGAGACACCAAAUCUGUUAUCUUCGAUCUGCUCCCCGUCUAAUACAGAGACGCCAAAUCUGCUUCUUCAAUCUGCUCCCCGUCUAAUACAGAGAUGCCAAAUCCGUUAUCUCCGAUUUGCUCCCCGUCUAAUACAGAGAUACCAAAUCUGUCAUCUUGGAUCUACUUCGAUGUAAACACAUGAAGGUCAGAUCUGCUAUGUCUUCGAUUUGCUCCCCGUCUAAUAUAGAGAUGCCAAAUCAUCUUGGAUCUGCUUCAAUAAAGGUCCAAUCUGUUAUGUCUUCGAUCUGCUCCUCGUCUAAUACAGAGAUGCCAAAUCAUGUUGGAUCUGCUUCAAUGAAGGUCUAAUCUGUUAUGUCUUUGAUCUACUCCCUGUCUAAUAUAGAGAUGCCAAAUUAUCUUGGAUCUGCUUCAAUGAAGGUCCAAUCUGUUAUGUCUUCGAUCUGCUCCCCGUCUAAUACAGAGAUGCCAAAUCAUCUUGGAUCUGCUUCAAUGAAGGUCCAAUCUGUUAUGUCUUCGAUCUGCUCCCCGUCUAAUACAGAGAUGCCAAAUCAUCUUGGAUCUGCUUCAAUGAAGGUUAGAUCUGCUGUGUCUUUGAUCUGCUCCCCGUCUAAUACAGAGAUGCCAAAUCAUCUUGGAUCUGCUUCAAUGAAGGUCAGAUCUGCUACGUCUUCGAUCUACUCUCCGUCGAAUAUGGAGAUGCCAAAUCUGUUUCUUCGAUUUGUUCUCUGACAAUACAGAGAUGUUAAAUCAUCUUAGAUCUACUUCAGCAUAAACACGUGAAAGCUAAAUCUGCUAUGUCUUUGAUCUGCUCCUUGUCAACGCAAGGAUGCCAAAUCAUCUUGGAUCUACUUCGAUGUGAAAACAUCCGAAGGUUAGAUCUACUAUGUCUUCGAUUUGUUCCCCAUCUAAUACAGAGAUGCCAAAUCAUCUUGGAUAUCCUUCAAUGAAGGUCCAAUCUAUUAUGUCUUUGAUCUUCUCUCCGUCGAAUAUGGAGAUGUCAAAUCUGUUUCUUCGAUUUGUUCUCUGACAAUACAGAGAUGUUAAAUCAUCUUAGAUCUGCUUCAGCAUAAACACGUUAAAGCCAAAUCCGCUAUGUCUUCGAUCUGCUCUCCGUCGAAUAUGGAGAUGCCAAAUCUGUUUCUUCGAUUUGUUCUCUGACAAUACUGAGAUGUUAAAUCAUCUUGGAUUCGCUUUAGCUUAAACACCUGAAGGUUAAAUCUGCUAUGCUUUAGCCUGUUACCCUACUGCUUAGGGGGUUAAGGCGCAUCAAUCUUCAUUGUCCCUUGAAGGACAUAACCUGUAUAAUGUGUAUGAGUUCAUGCCUAAUGAUUAGGAUGCUAUGAUCGAAGUGAGUCAAAUGCUCCUAAUUAAACCUGUUAUAAUGCAAAAUGUUUAUGAAUAUGACCCCUAUUCCAGACGUCACUACUCAUUCUUUCAUCGAAGUUUAUCCUUAUUUCUCUCGAAGUAUCAUUCCUACUCAGCCUGUGGGUUUGUACCAUUCUUCAAAUGCUAUGACCCAUCAAAAAUGUCUGUAAGAUGAUUCUCUAUUAGGAUUGAAUCUUUUGAUUUGUCCAAUCAUCAUUUUGGACUAAAGAAAGAAUUUCCUCGAGUUCUUUCAAACCUCACUUACAUGAAUUCUUCGAACAAUUAUUCUGUUUUAGUUUCUUGUGUUAUCUAGAAAUUUCCAAAGUAAUGAGCAAAACUUCAUUUGUGAAAAUUAUUUAGUUCAUCUAUCAUUAUUUUAAUGCAACAUACUUUAAGAAUAAUGGAAGAUGAAUUUAAUCUUGAGAAUAAUUAGAUUUGAAUAAAUUUGUCAAAAAUACAAAGGAAAUUAAUCUGAAAGCCUAUCUUUGAGAAGAAAAAGAAUCUAAAGAUAGUAAACAGGACAAAAGUUACAUGCCCUAGAUAUCGCCACUUGAGCGUUUAUAUGCCAGCUCAUUGAAGACUUUCUUGAAUUCAACAUGUGUUUAAAAGAUCUGAAGUACUUUGUUGAUGCCCCGAUAUGCAACGCGCUUCACUCUUCAUUGAAUCAGAUAUAGCAAAAUUACCGUGUGCUCUUCAAAAUUUGAGCUGCCCUUUCGGGUUUUCAACUCAAAACCCCUUUGGUCACAAUGCGCCCUUUGCAGGUUUUCACCUUGGCCUCUCCAUUUUUUUUUUCCGAAAACUCAAGGCGCCCUUUGUGGGUUUUCACCCUGAAUUCUUCUCUCCUUUAGACAAAGUACUUUUUGACUGAGUCUGAAUUCACUAGAUUGGGCAAAAUCUUCCUAUCCAUUUCCGUUAAGAUCAAUGAACCCCUAGAGAAGGCCUUCUUCACAACAUACGGUCCUUCCCAAUUUGGUAUCCAUUUUCCUCUAAAGUCCUUCUGAAUAGGGAGGAUCUUUUUCAGCACAAGAUCCCCCUCGUGGAAUUCUCUUGGUCGUACUUUCUUGUCAUAAGCUCACAUCAUUCGCUUUUGAUACAUUUGACCAUGACGAAUAGCCUUUAACCUCUUUUCCUCAAUCAAGUUCAACUAAUCAUAUCGCGAUUGUAUUCAUUAAGCUUCAUUUAACUUUAUCUCUGACAAGACUCGAAGAGACAGUAUUUCCACUUCAAUGGGUAACAUUGCUUCCAUCCCAUAAACCAACGAGAAAGGAGUUGCCCCGGUAGAAGUUCUGGCAGAAGUUCGGUAAGCUAAGAGUGCAAAUGGUAACUUCUCAUGCCAGUCUCUGUAGGUUUCAGUCAUUUUCCCCACUAUUUUCUUGAUGUUUUUAUUAGCAGCUUCCACUGCCUCAUUCAUCUUUGGGCGAUACCGCGAAGAGUUAUGAUGCUUAAUCCUGAACUGAUUGCAAACUUCUACUAUCGUUUUGUUGUUCAAGUUUAGUGCAUUGUCUGAUAUGAUCCUUUCAGGCAUCCCAUACUGAAAAAUAAUCUCUUUCUUCAAGAAAUGACUUACAGUCGACUUAGUAACAUUCGCAUAAGAAGCAGCCUCUACCCACUUCGUGAAGUAAUCAACGACCACAAAAAUAAAGCGAUGCCCAUUUGAAGCUUUUGGUGAUAUUGGCCCAAUGACAUCCAUGCCCCACAUAGAAAAAGGCCAUGGAGAAGUCAUAACGUGUAGAGGUGAAGGUGGUACAUGAAUCUUGUCUCCAUAAAUCUGACAUUUAUGGCAUUUUUUAGCGUAGUUGAUACAAUCCCAUUCCAAAGUAGACCAAUAAUAUCCAAACCUCAUGAUUUGUCUAGCCAUCGUGAAACCAUUAGCGUGCGUGCCACAAACAACCUCGUGAACUUCUUCCAAUAUUAACUUAGCUUCCAUGGCGUCAACACAUCUCAACAGUACUUGGUCCUUUCUUUUUUUGUACAAGAUGUCCCCAUCCAAAACGUAGUCGCAGGCUAAUCUCCUUAAAGUUCGCUUAUCAUUUUCAGUUGCCUGUUCUGGGUAUUUACGAUCUCUCACAUAUCGCAAUAUAUCCUGAUACCAAGGGUUAUCAUCCUUUUCUUCUUCCUCAAUGUUACAACAGUGAGUUGGAGCUUCGAAGAUACUCAUCUGAAUGGGUCUCAUCUCCUCCUCUUUAUUCACUUUAAUCAUUGAAGCCAAGGUUGCUAGAGCAUCUACCAUCUGGUUUUCGUAUCGUGGGAUAUAAUUGAAAGUGAUGUCAUCAAACUCCUCAAGUAACCCUAAAACUACCUUUCAAUAAUUGAUCAAUUUAGGAUCCCUUGUCUCUCAUUCACCUUUAAGUUGGUAAAUUACCAACGCGGAGUCUCCAUAAACUUCCAAGGUUCUUAUUCUUCGCUCUAUAGCCGCUCGGAGUCCCAUGAUGCAUGCUUCAUACUCGGCCAUAUUGUUUGUGCAAUCAAAAUCCAACUUGCACGUGAAUGGAUAAUAAUCACCAUUUGGGGAUACCAAGACUGCCCCAAUUCCAUUUCCCACUGCAUUGGAUGCCCCAUCAAAGCUCAACUUCCAAGGAUAAUCCUCUGUAGCUUCUACACACAUCAACUCCUCAUUUGGGAAAUCAAAAUUCAACGGCUCAUAGUCUUCUAGAGCUCUACUAGCCAGAAAUUCCGCUAUCGCACUUCCUUUUAUAGCCUUCUGGCUUACAUAAACUAUGUCAAACUCUGAAAGCAGAAUUUGCCACCUUGCCAUUCUUCCAUUCAAAGCUGUUGACUCUAUCAUAUACUUCAGAGGAUCAAGUUUUGAAAUAAACCAAGUAGUAUGAUACAACAUAUAUUGCAUCAACCUUCGAGUCGUCCAGAUUAAAGCACAGCACAAUUUUUCAAUUGGCGAAUAUCUCAUCUCACACUCUGUGAAUUUCUUGCUGAGGUAGUAUAUCGCCUUCUCCUUUCUUCCCGACUCGUCAUGUUGGCCAAGCACACAUCCCAUAGAAUUUCUAAACACUGAUAAGUACAGAAUUAAUGGUCUACCUGGAUUAGGUGGAGAUAACACAGGAGCAUUUAACAAGUAUUGCUUAACCUUAUCGAAAGCACACUGGCAUUCCUCAUCCCAAGUACCUUGGUUGUGUUUUCUAAUGAGGCUAAAUAUAGGGUCACAUUUCUCAAUUAAUUGUGAAAUAAACCGAGUAAUAAAUUUAACCUUCCAAGAAAACCUCGAACUUCUUUCUGAGUACGUGGUGAAGGCAAAUCUUGUAUGGCUCUAACUUUAUCUGAAUCAACUUCUAUUCCUUUUUCACUGACCACAAAACCUAGUAACUUCCCCGACCUAGCUUCGAAAGUGCAUUUUGCCGGAUUAAGUUUUAACUGAAACUUCCUUAAUCUCAAGAAUAGUUUCUUUAAAACCUCAAUAUGUUCCUCCUCUGUUCGAGAUUUGGCAAUCAUAUCAUCAACAUACACCUCAAUUUCCUUGUGCAUUAUAUCGUGAAAUAAGGUUACUAUAGCCCUUUGGUAUGUUGCCCCUGCAUUCUUUAGCCUAAAGGGCAUUACCUUGUAACAGAAAGUCCCCCACAAGGUUAUGAAGGUGGUUUAGUCCAUGUCUUCAGGAUGCAUCUUUAUCUGAUUGUACCCUGAAAAACCAUCCAUGAAGGAGAACAACGAAUAUCCCGCUGUGUUGUCUACCAAAGUGUCUAUGUGAGGCAGAGGGAAAUUAUCUUUUGAGCUAGCUUUGUUCAGAUCUCUGUAAUCAACACACAUUCGUACCUUCCCAUCCUUCUUAGGAACUGGUACAAUGUUAGCUACCCAUUCAGAAUACUUUACCUCUUGUAAGAAUCUUGCAUCGAACUGUUUCUUGACUUCAUCUUUUAUUUUUAAUACGAUAUCUGCUCUCAUUCUUCGCAACUUCUAUUGAACUGGUUUACAAUCCUGUCUUAUUGGAAGACGAUGCACCACAAUAUCAGUAUUUAACCCUAGCAUAUCUUGAUAGGACCAUGCGAAGAUAUCCUUGAACUCACGUAACAACUCAAUCAGUCCUUACCUUAUAUCAUCAACAAUAUGCAUGCCAAUUUUCACCUCUUUCCCUUCCUCUAGGGCUACAUUCUCUACUGCCUCUUUCUCAUGUGGCAUGAUUUGUUUCUCCUCCUGUUUCACCAUCCUCAAAAGAUCUAGAGACACAUCACAAUCCUGGACAUCUUCAAAAUCUGGUGAUUCCUCUAAACACAUGGCUUGCUCACGAGAGAAAUCAAGAUUUGUAAUUUCAAUGCUCAUGUCAUUCAUAUCUAGAGAUCUGUGAAGUAUAAAGAAUAUACAAAGAAUGAAUGAAUUUAAGAAUGAUUAUUUAUGUGCUAUGAAAGAAAGAAUAAGAAUUGCCAAAAUUUAACAGAAUAUUGGUUGAUAAAAAUGAAACAAUACUCGUUCAAAUUGAUAAAAGUUAUGCUUUAUUAAAAAAUAAUAGAUGAUUGUAAGCCUAUUUCACAAGUGAAAUCCUAUUCUCCUAGGCUCUAGAGUAACAAGAAUGUUUCGAGAAUUACUCUGAAAAAUUCCUAAAGACUACAGAAAGUUCUUCCACAGUCCAAUUGUUCAGAGAGCUUCUUGAUUCGUAAGGGUGAAUGCCCUUAAGGUUUCCUUGCUCCGAUCCUUUGUCGUGUAUAGCAUUAAUCUGAUGACCUUCUUCUAAAAGUAACCCUCCUGAUAUAAAGGUUUGGGAUAUUGGAGGGAAUGUCAUCGGCUCCCACUCCACUUCUCUUCUAUUAAGGCGCGCCCUUCUUCCCUCUUGGCGUUUCUCAACUUCCUUCCUCCUUUGCUUAUAGUCUGGCUUGAAGCCCAGACCAAAGCGAUCUCUCUUCUCUUUUAGUUCUGGGAUUUGAGUCCCUCCUUGCAGGUAUUUUCCUAACCCCCUUCCUGGCAAGUCUCCCUUUCCCACUAUCAUUUGUAGAGCCAUCCUUGUGGCUCUUGCUAUCUUUGGCGCCGGUGGCUCACUCCCUUCUGAAAUGAAGGUUGCAUUCACAAAUUCUAAAGAGCGAAAGGAACACUCAAUAGACUCUUCAUUCGUCUCGACAUAACGGGUCUUGCUAGUGACUGCGGCUAUAAUAUCCUCCUCCGCAUUGAUGGUUACUAACCGUCCAUCCGUCACUAACUUUAAUUUUUGGUGCCACGAUGAGGGCACCGACCCCGUUGAAUGUAUCCAUGGCCUCCCUAAUAAGAAAUUAUAGGAUGGCUUGAUAUCCAUCACCAAGAAGUCUACUUCGUAUAUAUUUGGCCUAAUUUCCAAGGGGAUGUCAAUCCUUCCCAUCACCUUCCUUUCUGUACCGUCAAAGGCUCUUACCACAUUUUGACAUGUCUUCAUGUGAGAAUCAUCAAUGGGUAAUCUGUUCAGAGUAGACAAUGGUAGAACAUUCAAAGCCGAUCCAUUAUCGACGAGCACGCUUGGGAGUGUGUACCCCUUACAUCGAGUGGUGAUGUGCAGGGCCUUUGUUGACCCCCUACCCCCCGGUGGGAUUUCAUCAUCAUUAAAAUAGAUGAAAUUAUCUGCACUUAUGUUAUUCACCAACUGGUCCAGCUUGUUAACGGAUAUGUCAUGGGUGACAUAUGUUUCGUUGAGCACCUUCAUCAAUGCAUCCCGAUGCACCUCAAAACUCAAAAGUAGAGCCAAUACUGAUAUGCGAGCUGGCUGCUUACGCAAUUGCUCGACCAUGCUAUACUCGCUAUGUUUAAGGAACUUUAUAAAUUCCUUAGCCACUUCCUCCUUUACUGGCUCCUUGAUAGGUGCUUCGGACUCUUUCUCAUUCUCUGUACUAACAUUCUUUAUUUUUGUGGGCUCCUCUCUGACGCCCACUAUAUCAUACCGCUUCCCGCUCCGUGUAUGGGAACCCUCACCUUGAACUUCCUUAGAAGCACUUGCUAUAUCCUCCCUCUCUGGCAUUAACACAUGGCAAUUAUAACUCCAUGGUACCCUCUUAUUAUCCUUAUAAGGAAAGGAAUCAGGUUUAUGAAUGAUGACUUUCGGUACCAUCGGUAUUUCAACUUUAUUACUUCCUGGUAAAGAAAUAAUGAUCCUUGGCCGGUUUUGAUUCUUCGGUGCACCUUCUAAUGUGCAUAUAUGUCUCUCAUUUGGCCCAGCUUCAUAAAAUCCUUGCUCCUUGUUGUCCAUAAGGCUUUGUAUCAAGGCUUUAAACUCGUCGUAUUCCUGAAUCUUGUGCCCCUCUUCGGCAUGGAACUCACAAUAGUCCCUUGCUUCUUCAUUUCUCUCUUUAGAGAUUAUCAUCUCUCUUUUUACCAUUUCUUCCCAAAUCAUCUUUAUCGGUGUUCUCACCUCAGCCACGCGUUUCUUUAUUCUCCUCUCACUGGUUUCACCAAUGGCGUUCACUCCUUGAUCGCUAUGAUUUGGUAAUAGGUUUUCAGUAUUCGGGGUAUUAUCGAACUUCACUACCCCCAUCUUAAUAAACCUUUCUAUGGCCUUCUUAGAACCAGUACAGUUUUCAAUCGAAUGCCCCGGUAUUCCAGCAUGGUAUUCGCAUCUGGCGUUUGCGUCAUACCAUUUAAGAUAUGGGGGUUGCAAUAGCCUAAGGUGAAAAGGAGAAAUAACAUGUGCAUCGUUUAAGCUUUGAUAGAGCUCACGAUACGUCAGGGGAUAGGUGUGAAUUGCAUCCUUUCAGAAUUCUGCCUUGUACCUGACUCCUGCCUUUGAGAACUCUGUUGCUCAACCGCAACUAUUUUAGGUUGACCAACUGUGAUUGCCCUCGUGCUGAAAGUGCUUGUGUUAUUCACUUCACCAUCCUUUCUCCUUGGGGUCGAUCUUUUAGUUGUUUCCCCCUCAAUUUUUCCACCCCUUAUGGCAUUCUCAAUCAUCUCUCCCACCAUGACUAUAUUCGCAAAGCUUUUGGUGGUUCUCCCAAUCAUGUGAGUGAUGAAUGGAGCUUUUAGAGUGUUGAUGAACAACAUGGUAGUCUCUUUCUCCAACAACGGUGGUUGAACUUGCAUUGCUACCUCUCUCCAUCUCUGUGCAUACUGCCUAAAAUUUUCAUUAGGCUUUUUCUCCAUGUUUUGCAGCGUGAUCCUAACCGAAGUCAUAUCAGUCACAUGAUUGUACUGCUGCAUGAAGGCCUGUGCAAGAUCCCUCCAUGAGCUUAUUCUGGCUCGGCUCAGUUGAUUAUACGACUUGGCUGCUGCUCCAAUUAAACUGCCUUGGAAAUAGUGAAUCGACAAUUGAUCAUUAUUCACAUACCCAGUCAUCCUCCUACAGAACAUCGUAAUGUGGGCUUCUGGGCAAGUAGUCCUACUGUACUUCUCAAAUUCUGGCAUCUUGAAUUUGUGAGGAAGCACCAAGUCUGGGACCAAGCUUAGAUCUUUGGCAUCAACCCUAUGAUGCCCAUCAGCAUUUUCUAAAACCAUGAACUUUUCCUCCAACCAUUUGCAGCGAUCUUCCAACUGUCUUGCAGCCUCAGUUCUUAGAUCCUCUUCUUCAGCCAUGUCUAAGUCAGAAAUGACAGGAUUUGCAGGAUUGUCACCCAAAUUGAAUCCUGAACCAGUUGGGAAAUUCAUGGGGAUCCCAGUAUCGACCGACCCUUGUUGGGGCCUUAUAGUGACAGAUGACCUCCUAGGAAGUGUCUCUAUUUAUGUAGGCACGUGGGGUGGGGUGAAACUUGGAGGAUGAUCCUCACCCUCCUCGCCAAUAAUUGCCGUGAGAGCCUUUCCCUUAUCAGUGGUACUCAGAAGUUGGGCCAUCUCAGCCAUCAUGUUCCUUUGUGCCUCCAACAUUUGCUCUCUCAUGUCGUUUUGCAUCUUUGCCAAUUGCUCUUGCAAUUGGUCUUGCAUGUCCUUCUGUAAUUGUUCAAAUCUUUGGUCCAUGUUCUUAGUUUUUGCAUGAGUUCUGUAGUGAUGUGUUGCUUCUAGAGUUUCUUUCUCUUACUCUCUUUCUCCCUAUUAAUUUUAACUAAUUAGGGUCUUUCUAUAAACUUUAAUGCAUAUGAUACAAUGAGAUGCUAUGAAAUGCAAAUGCAUGAAUGCAAAAAGAUGUCGAUUCUGAUUCAAUUUCAUUUUAGAAAACGUUAUUUAAGGAACAAAAUCUUUUCAUAAAAUGGAUUACAAAUACGCUUUCUCCCUUAGGCCUAGAGUCUUAACCCUAUCUAAUAACAAUGUGAACUCUCGUCCUCUAUCUGACGAUGACUCAUACAUUAUACUCAGUGUUCUAGCUUGUACUACCAAAUCCUGCAAGUGUUCAGCAACCUCUUGAAUCUGAACUAAGGCUUCUCCCAUGAGAUAAUCCCUAUUUCCAACUUGAUCCUGAAGAUGGUGAAGUUCUCCCUUCCACUAUUCUUCUCUUGCCUCGAGCUGCUCAAUCCGUAGCUCACAGCCCUGUAGUGCUGCUUCCAACCUUCCAAUAUCGUGCUUCAUUUCCUCGAUCUUAUUCAAGCUUGCCUUUAACUCGAUUGCAAGGUUACGACUUCGGUGAUGAUGAAGAGAUCGUCCAAGUUUAGCCACCUUAGUUUUUAAUCCUUGAUUUUCCUUCUCUAGGGCCUGAUUAUGCGACUGCAUUUCUUGGAACUUCUUCUCCCAAUACUCGGCUUUGGCUCUUUCUUCCUGAAUCUCUUGCUGCCACUGCUCUGGAGAUCUCCCUAAUCCGACCCUUUUCAACGUUACCUGGGCAUUUUUGUAGUGUGUCUUUAAAUCAUCUCGAUCUUCCUCGAUCUUUCUUUUUUCCUUUUUCACCUUCUCGACAUCCAUCUUUUGAACAUCGAUGUUGUAACACCCCUAUCCCGUAACCGUCGCCGGAAUAGGUAAGGGGCAUUACCGGACUUGUAACUCAUGUCAGAACAGUAAAAUUUUAAACUUUUUCUUGAAAUAAAGGUCAUUCAUUUAAAUAAGUACUAAGCACGGCCAGAGAUAAAAUUUAAACUUCACUAAGUAAACAUUCAAAGGAUGCCAUUUUCGCAUGGCUUAUAUACAUUAACCAAAAAUAUUCUUCCGCCACUAGUCUAUUCUAUACAUGCCAUAAAAUAGUUCUAAACAUAACAGUAACAAGCAGUGGAUAGUGAUAGUGUGACUAGUUGCUGACGAUCCCCGAGCCUGUAGCUUCGCAAUGAGAUCUAUAAAACAGAGGAAACAGAGUAAACGGAGUAAGCAUUACAAUGCUUAGUAAGUUUUAAGAAGUGUCAACAGAUAACAAUCAAAUUAUAACAUAGUUGUUCGUAUUUUUAUUUCACUCUUCCUUCGGGCAUACCAUCCCUUUAGGGAAUAUGCACAUCUCAUCAUAUACAAUAGGCAGAUAAAAUUUCACAUAAAAGUGAGCUCAUGUGACAUAGAUAUAUCGUAUGAUUUCACAUAACCUCUCACAAUGAUCCGACGUCACAUAAUCAUAGGAAUAGUCUCAUAGAUUGCUCUCGUAUGCAUCACAUAACUACCUUAUGAUUUAGUGCAAAUCAAGCUCACAUAUAAACUUGGAGUACAUACCUGUUUAACCUUUCGCAUUGAAUAUAUUUAUAAGCAAUUCUUAUUACGAAGUCUUAUAGCUUUAACCUCUACUCGGAUUAUCGGUGAGACAUUUAGCUCAGACGAAAUCUCCACACGAAGUUAUCGGGUCUUACCUGGACAAAAUCUCCACACGUAGUCAUCGGGUCUUUAGAGCUCGGAUAUAGUACGAGCACGAAGCUUACGGACAUUAAUCAGUGAUAAUAUUCUCGCAUAAAGCCUGCGGGGUUUUAACCCAGAUAUAGUACUGACACAAAUGCCCUUCGGGACUUAUCACAUUUAUACACUUUCACAUCCAUCACGUUGGCCACUCGGCCCUGUCACAUAUAUACACUUUCACAUUCAUCACAUCGGCCAUUAGGCCUUAUCACAUAUAUAUACACUUUCACAUUCAUCACAUCGGCCAUUAGGCCUUAUCACAUAUAUACACUUUCACAUUCAUCACAUCGGCCAAUAGGCCUAAUCACAUAUAUACACUUUCACAUUCAUCACAUCGGCCAUUAGGCCUUAUCACAUAUAUAUACUCUUUCACAUUCAUCACAUCGGCCAUUAGGCCUUAUCACAUAUAUACACUUUCACAUUCAUCACAUCGGCUAUUAGGCCUUAUCACAUAUAUAUACACUUUCACAUUCAUCACAUCGGCCAUUAGGCCUUAUCACAUAUAUACACUUUCACAUUCAUCACAUCGGCCAUUAGGCCUUAUCACAUAUAUACACUUUCACAUUCAUCACAUCGGCCAUUAGGCCUUAUCACAUAUAUACACUUUCACAUUCAUCACAUCGGCCAUUAGGCCUUAUCUCAUAUAUGCAUGUUCACAUCCAUCACAUAGAAUCCUAAAUCAAAAUAUAGAUUUUCAUGUAUUCACAUCACAAUUAUCCAAAUAUACUUCACAUACCACAUAUACUUUCACGUAUACACACUGUCUUGGCUGAAUCUACAUCUAUCAUUUUCCAAUAUCACAAUUUAGAAUUCACGUAUGGGUUUAAUCAAUAGCUUAUGAGCAACUAAAACAAAUUUAUCAAGGUUUACAACACAAUCUCAAAUUCAGCACAAGCUGUUUUUCCUGAGCAAUAGUCACCAAAUUAUUUAUAACUGGAGCUAAAAAACUCCAAAUCACUUUCCGUUAAUUUUUCCUGAAUAUAGACUCGUAUAUCUUCCAUCCAUAAAAUUUCUAGAAUUUUAGGUUUGGCCAAUCAAUACCAUAUUUUUCUUAAAGUUUCCCCUGUUUCACUGUUUGACUAAUCUGACCACUCUUCACUACGAAUCAAAUUUAUCAUUUUACAGAAUUCAAAAUGUGUUGUAUUUGAUUUAAUUUGAAACUAUACUCAUUAAGGAGUCUAAGCAUAUAAAUUUUAUCUUAUAACCAUUUUUGAACAAUUUAUAAUGAUUUUCUAAAAACAGAACAGAGGAUUACAGUGUCAUUCUGCGCUGUCUCACACAACUUUAAGUAUCUCAUUAUCGGAAAUUCCUUUGCUUACACGGUUUCUUUUAUAAGAAACUAGACUCAUUAAGAUUUAAUUUCAUUUCUCAUUCAGCUUCUAAUUCAAAUCCAUAAAUUUAUGGUGAUUUUCUAAAGUCACGUUACUGCUGCUGUCCUAAGCAGACUAUUUCAAAUUACCCUUAAAUUCCCAAGCUCAAACACUUAAGAACUUACCAUUUGAGCUUAGAACAUAUCAUGGCCACAUCAUAUCUUAUUAAAUCAACUCAUCAUGUCCUAUUAUAAUUGGAUUUACUCAAUGUUUAAUCACUUAAAACUUACAAAGGAAUCAAACUCAAAUACUUAAGAACUUACCUUGAAUUUGAUCGACUUAGUACAAAUCGGCUAUUCAACUACUUUCUCUUUCCCCCUACCCGAAGUUGGUGUCCUUUGUUCUUGAGCUAGAUUUAAACAAAUUCAAAUCAUUACUAAUCCAUAAUUCAUGCACCUUAUUUCGAGUAUAUCAAAACUCAUUCAAAACAAGAAGUAUAAUUAUUCACUUAUCAUUACAUUCGGAAUUCAUAUACUCUUUAAUAGAAAACCACAUCAAAUAUUAACAUCUUAUCAUAUUUCAUCUAAAUAAAAAAAAUUCCGAUAAUUUUAUUCACAUAGUACAUACAGUACUUUCAUUUUUCGCUAUUUAAACACAUAUCAAAUUAAACAUAAAUUUUCUAAUGACUAUAUGCCACAUAGCUCUUAAAUAAAUUUAGCCGAAUGUCUCUAUAUUUACAAAGCACAUACAUAAGGCAUAUACAUAUAUAUAACUAUCAUAAGAACCUUAGUCUUAACUAAAUUAUUAGUUUCAUUUACUAAAAAAAAUCAUUCAACCAAGUAUUCAAAUAUAGCUUAACACCAAAUUCACAUUCGGCACUCUAUUAACGCAACAUAACCAUUUUCACCUUGUUAACACAUAAUCGGCAAGGUUAAAUCCCAUAUACACAACUUAAGUCCAUCCUUUAACAAUCAUAAUUCACUAUAAGGCCGAAAGCUACCUAAACAUCACUCUCAAGUCUCUUUUUACCAUUUAACAACCUUAAAGCUUACUUAAUAGUCAAUUUAAAAUUAAAAAAAAACAACAUCCAAAAUUUAACACAAUGCCACAUAGCCGAAUACCACUUUUAGUAAUGAAAUUCAUCUUUAACACAAAAUUACUAAGCCUCACUUAAUAAUUAACUAUUUAGAACUCUCAAAAAUCAAAUACUUCAAAUUUUAUGCAAUCUACACCAUAGCCGAAAUGCUUAAUAUAAGAAAUUGAGUUAAAUUUGAGCUAAAUUUAAGCUCCCAAUCAUAAACUAAACUUAUAACUUUACACACUCAAUAAUUUUAACAUUAUCAAGUCCAUCCAACACUUAUCCAGCAACUUUUAACUUUAAAAACAAAUCCCUAGCUCAAAAACACAUGAACCGAACUUAAUACGCCACUUAGACCAAAAUUAGCAAAUGGGUUUCGGCUAGAUAAAGAAGUGAAGCUCGUAUUCAUCAAAUUUUAACAAAAUUACAAUGAAAUUACCUUAGAAAUUGGCCUCCAAAAGACCGAACAUUCCAAAAACACUUUCCGCUUUUUCUUUCUUUAGUUUCGGCUAGAACCCAAAAACAAUGAAGUCUCCCCUCCUUCCCUAGCUCACGGCACUUCAAGAAAAGAAAGAAGAUGAAGACUUUCUCUUGCUUUCUUAUUUUAUUCCCCUUUCUUUUUUUUUGUUGAUCUAUUUUAAUCAUUUACUAAUAAAAGCAUCAUUAAAAAUUCAACUUAAUGGAAGAACCAUCCUUGCUUGGCCGGCCACUACUUGAGGUUUGGGUGAUUUGACAUGCAAACCCAAGUUUCCUCACUUUGUUAUCAUUUGAUCCUUACAUAUUCCCCUAUCAUAUUUUCUUAGGUUCUCAACUAAGUCAAUCACAUGAAAUUCACCUUCAUAAGUCUAAAUUAAAACAUCAAAUUUUCACACGUGCACUAAUAUACAUAGAGGAUACGCAACCAAAUUUUAAAUAAAUUUUGGGACUCGGUUUUGUGGCCCCGAAACCACAUUCUGACUAGGGUCAGAUUAGGGGUGUCACAACUCCCUCCCCCUUUAGGGAUUUUCGUCCCCGAAAAUUUCUACCGAUGCAUAGUUUAGGAUAACGUCCUCUUAUUGAAUUAUAUCCAUAUAAAUAUUAGCUCAUCGAUAGCAAUUGUAAUUCAUUACUGAUUUCGCGUCGAUCUAUAAAAUCAUUUUCUUAUCUUAAAACAAAUACAUAAACAUUUCUACAAGUAUGCACAAACAUCUCAUUUUCUUGAUUUCAUAAGCAAUAAUCACUUAACUUAAUUCACAAAUGCAUUUCAAACACAUAUUAAGCACAUAUUAACAUGUAUAAUUCACAUCAUCAACCCACAUAUUUGUAACCCACAUUUUCAUUCAUGAAUAAGCUGUAACCUAACCGAAAGUACACAUAUACUCAAACAUCCCAAUAAAUAUCCUUUAUAACUUUAUCACAUCUCAAUAUUCAACUUAACUCAUUUCCAAAAGAAAAGUCAACUUCCACGUACCUGAACAUUUAGUUCAUUUAGCACAUUCAAUCGUAGUUAACGUUACCCGUAUACAGUCGAAUAGGCAUAAAGCCUAAUAUAAUACACUGGCAUGAGAUUUAUUCUAGCGCAUAACUCGUAUAUCCAAAAUUAUCAACAUUCAUCAAAAAUUCUUUCAAACUUUCGAAUGUCGAAACUUAAUCAAAAUCAUUUCUUGAACAAGAUUAACAAAAUAGUGUCCAUUCAGCAAUAGCACAUAUAGCUCUUACAAUGCCAUAUCCUAGAUAUGGUCUUACAUAUUCUCACAUAUCGAGCCGAUGCCAUGUCCCAGACAUGGUCUUACACACUAUCUCAAAUCAAUGCCUUCGUCCCAAACGAGGUCUUACAUGAAUUCCACUUCACACACUUAGUGCCCACUGACCGAUCUCGCACUCAUAGUGCUCGGUUAAAGGAAUUCGCACACACACAGUGCCUCUAAUCAUUUACAUACAUAGUGCCCCUAUUCAUUUGUUGUUACACAUUGAAAUGACUUAACCAAGUCUAUAAACAUCAUGUAUGUACACUUUUAAACAUAUCCUUUCAUUUAAAUUUGAAUUCAUAUAGUAAUGAACACUUAAACUUUGCUCAAAUUACCGGCACGAAGCCUACUAGGCACGAAGGCCCGAAUACACAUCACCAGCAUGAUUGCUCUUCGGGACCUAGCCCGGAUAUAACACCAGCAUAAAUGCUCUUCGGGAUUUAGCCCGGAUAUAUAACUAGCACGAAUGCUCUUCGGAACUUAGUCCGGAUACAUCACUAGCACGAAUGCUCUUCGGAACUUAGUCCGGAUACAUCACUAGCACGAAUGCUCUUCGGGAUUUAGCCCGGACAUUUCACUCUCAAUUCUCAUGUACAUAUACACAUAUAGCAAUACACAUUAGUAUAUCAUUUACAUUACUUGAAUACAAACACAACAUGCUUAUCGACCAUUCAACUUCCAGUUCCAUAGCCACAUACAAAAAUCACAUUUAUAGUCAUAACACUCUUUCAAAAUUGCAUCACUUAUACCCUUAUAAGUCAAUCCAAAUCGAAAUUCAAAUACGAGUACAUGAUACGUACCUGAUCAACUUAAAAAUUUAGGCAUAUCUAAGUGAAGUUAUAUCACAGAUUCUCAUAGUCAGAAGCUUGCUACAGCUCGAUCGGGAUCAAGAUUCAUUACAAUACAACAAACACAUUUUAAUAGUAAAAAAUCAUCACACUAUCACUUUAUCACUUUAUGGCAUGUAUAAAUAGACUCACGCGUGCUACGUUAGUCCUAGAAUCGACUAAACCGUAGCUCUGAUACCAAUAAAAUGUAACACCCCUAUCCCGUAACCGUCGCCGGAAUAGGUAAGGGGCAUUACCGGACUUGUAACUCAUGUCAGAACAGUAAAAUUUUAAACUUUUUCUUGAAAUAAAGAUCAUUCAUUUAAAUAAGUACUAAGCACGGCCAGAGAUAAAAUUUAAACUUCACUAAGUAAACAUUCAAAGGAUGCCAUUUUCGCAUGGCUUAUAUACAUUAACCAAAAAUAUUCUUCCGCCACUAGUCUAUUCUAUACAUGCCAUAAAAUAGUUCUAAACAUAACAGUAACAAGCAGUGGAUAGUGAUAGUGUGACUAGUUGCUGACGAUCCCCGAGCCUGUAGCUUCGCAAUGAGAUCUAUAAAACAGAGGAAACAGAGUAAACGGAGUAAGCAUUACAAUGCUUAGUAAGUUUUAAGCAGUGUCAACAGAUAACAAUCAAAUUAUAACAUAGUUGUUCGUAUUUUUAUUUCACUCUUCCUUUGGGCAUACCAUCCCUUUAGGGAAUAUGCACAUCCCAUCAUAUACAAUAGGCAGAUAAAAUUUCACAUAAAAGUGAGCUCAUGUGACAUAGAUAUAUCGUAUGAUUUCACAUAACCUCUCACAAUGAUCCGACGUCACAUAAUCAUAGGAAUAGUCUCAUAGAUUGCUCUCGUAUGCAUCACAUAACUACCUUAUGAUUUAGUGCAAAUCAAGCUCACAUAUAAACUUGGAGUACAUACCUGUUUAACCUUUCGCAUUGAAUAUAUUUAUAAGCAAUUCUUAUUACGAAGUCUUAUAGCUUUAACCUCUACUCGGAUUAUCGGUGAGACAUUUAGCUCAGACGAAAUCUCCACACGAAGUUAUCGGGUCUUACCCGAACAAAAUCUCCACACGUAGUGAUCGGGUCUUUAGAGCUCGGAUAUAGUACGAGCACGAAGCUUACGGACAUUAAUCAGUGAUAAUAUUCUCGCAUAAAGCCUGCGGGGUUUUAACCCGGAUAUAGUACUGACACAAAUGCCCUUCGGGACUUAUCACAUUUAUACACUUUCACAUCCAUCACGUUGGCCACUUGGCCCUGUCACAUAUAUACACUUUCACAUUCAUCACAUCGGCCAUUAGGCCUUAUCACAUAUAUAUACACUUUCACAUUCAUCACAUCGGCCAUUAGGCCUUAUCACAUAUACACUUUCACAUUCAUCACAUCGGCCAUUAGGCCUUAUCACAUAUAUACACUUUCACAUUCAUAACAUCGACUAUUAGGCCUUAUCACAUAUAUAUACACUUUCACAUUCAUCACAUCGGCCAUUAGGCCUUAUCACAUAUAUACACUUUCACAUUCAUCACAUUGGCUAUUAGGCCUUAUCACAUAUAUAUACACUUUCACAUUCAUCACAUCGGCCAUUAGGCCUUAUCACAUAUAUACACUUUCACAUUCAUGACAUCGGCCAUUAGGCCUUAUCACAUAUAUACACUUUCACAUUCAUCACAUCGGCCAUUAGGCCUUAUCUCAUAUAUGCAUGUUCACAUCCAUCCCAUAGAAUCCUAAAUCAAAAUAUAGAUUUUCAUGUAUUCACAUCACAAUUAUCCAAAUAUACUUCACAUACCACAUAUACUUUCACGUAUACACACUGUCUUGGCUGAAUCUACAUCUAUCAUUUUCCAAUAUCACAAUUUCGAAUUCACGUAUGGGUUUAAUCAAUAGCUUAUGAGCAACUAAAACAAAUUUAUCAAGGUUUACAACACAAUCUCAAAUUCAGCACAAGCUGUUUUUCCUGAGCAAUAGUCACUAAAUUAUUUAUAACUGGAGCUACAAAACUCCAAAUCACUUUCCGUUAAUUUUUCCUGAAUAUAGACUCGUAUAUCUUCCAUCCAUAAAAUUUCCAGAAUUUUAGGUUUGGCCAAUCAAUACCAGAUUUUUCUUAAAGUUUCCCCUGUUUCACUGUUUGACUAAUCUGACCACUCUUCACUACGAAUCAAAUUUAUCAUUUUACAGAAUUCAAAAUGUGUUGUAUUUGAUUUAAUUCGAAACUAGACUCAUUAAGGAGUCUAAGCAUAUAAAUUUUAUCUUAUAACCAUUUUUGUACAAUUUAUAAUGAUUUUCUAAAAACAGAACAGAGGAUUACAGUGUCAUUCUGCGCUGUCUCACACAACUUUAAGUAUCUCAUUAUCGGAAAUUCCUUUGCUUACACGGUUUCUUUUAUAAGAAACUAGACUCAUUAAAAUUUAAUUUCAUUUCUCAUUCAGCCUCUAAUUCAAAUCCAUAAAUUUAUGGUGAUUUUCUAAAGUCACGUUACUGCUGCUGUCCUAAGCAGACUAUUUCAAAUUACCCUUAAAUUCCCAAGCUCAAACACUUAAGAACUUACCAUUUGAGCUUAGAACAUAUCAUGGCCACAUCAUAUCUUAUUAAAUCAACUCAUCAUGUCCUAUUAUAAUUGGAUUUACUCAAUGUUUAAUCACUUAAAACUUACAAAGGAAUCAAACUCAAAUACUUAAGAACUUACCUUGAAUUUGAUCGACUUAGUACAAAUCGGCUAUUCAACUACUUUCUCUUUCCCCCUACCCGAAGUUGGUGUCCUUUGUUCUUGAGCUAGAUUUAAACAAAUUCAAAUCAUUACUAAUCCAUAAUUCAUGCACCUUAUUUCGAGUAUAUCAAAACUCAUUCAAAACAAGAAGUAUAAUUAUUCACUUAUCAUUACAUUCGGAAUUCAUAUACUCUUUAAUAGAAAACCACAUCAAAUAUUAACAUCUUAUCAUAUUUCAUCUAAAUAAAAAAAAAUUCCGAUAAUUUUAUUCACAUAGUACAUACAGUACUUUCAUUUUUCGCUAUUCAAACACAUAUCAAAUUAAACAUAAAUUUUCUAAUGACUAUAUGCCACAUAGCUCUUAAAUAAAUUUAGCCGAAUGUCUCUAUAUUUACAAAGCACAUACAUAAGGCAUAUACAUAUAUAUAACUAUCAUAAGAACCUUAGUCUUAACUAAAUUAUUAGUUUCAUUUACUAAAAAAAAUCAUUCAACCAAGUAUUCAAAUAUAGCUUAACACCAAAUUCACAUUCGGCACUCUAUUAACGCAACAUAACCAUUUUCACCUUGUUAACACAUAAUCGGCAAGGUUAAAUCCCAUAUACACAACUUAAGUCUAUCCUUUAACAAUCAUAAUUCACUAUAAGGCCGAAAGCUACCUAAACAUCACUCUCAAGUCUCUUUUUACCAUUUAACAACCUUAAAGCUUACUUAAUAGUCAAUUUAAAAUUAAAAAAAAACAACAUCCAAAAUUUAACACAAUGCCACAUAGCCGAAUACCACUUUUAGUAAUGAAAUUCAUCUUUAACACAAAAUUACUAAGCCUCACUUAAUAAUUAACUAUUUAGAACUCUCAAAAAUCAAAUACUUCAAAUUUUAUGCAAUCCACACCAUAGCCGAAAUGCUUAAUAUAGGAAAUUGAGUUAAAUUUGAGCUAAAUUUAAGCUCCCAAUCAUAAACUAAACUUAUAACUUUACACACUCAAUAAUUUUAACAUUAUCAAGUCCAUCCAACACUUAUCCAGCAACUUUUAACUUUAAAAACAAAUCCCUAGCUCAAAAACACAUGAACCGAACUUAAUACGCCACUUAGACCAAAAUUAGCAAAUGGGUUUCGGCUAGAUAAAGAAGUGAAGCUCGUAUUCAUCAAAUUUUAACAAAAUUACAAUGAAAUUACCUUAGAAAUUGGCCUCCAAAAGAUCGAACAUUCCCAAAACACUUUCCCCUUUUUCUUUCUUUAGUUUCGGCUAGAACCCAAAAACAAUGAAGUCUCCCCUCCUUCCCUAGCUCACGGCACUUCAAGAAAAGAAAGAAGAUGAAGACUUUCUCUUUCUUUCUUAUUUUAUUCCCCUUUCUUUUUUUUUGUUGAUCUAUUUUAAUCAUUUACUAAUAAAAGCAUCAUUAAAAAUUCAACUUAAUGGAAGAACCAUCCUUGCUUGGCCGGCCACUACUUGAGGUUUGGGUGAUUUGACAUGCAAACCCAAGUUUCCUCACUUUGUUAUCAUUUGAUCCUUACAUAUUCCCCUAUCAUAUUUUCUUAGGUUCUCAACUAAGUCAAUCACAUGAAAUUCACCUUCAUAAGUCUAAAUUAAAACAUCAAAUUUUCACACAUGCACUAAUAUACAUAGAGGAUACGCAACCAAAUUUUAAAUAAAUUUUGGGACUCGGUUUUGUGGCCUCGAAACCACAUUCCGACUAGGGUCAAAUUAGGGGUGUCACAGAUGUCGAGACUUAAGUACAUUUUUUCCUCUUCGAGCUUCUCAAUCCUCUUUUCAAUCUCCAAAUUCUUUCUCUCAAACUUUUGCUUCAUAACCUCCAACUCUGAUGGAAUCACUCGUAAGCUCUCCUCUAAUGAUCGAGCCACUCCCAAAAUUGGCCUAGGGACAUUAUCGUUGACUCUCCUACUAAACCACCCUUUAUACUCAAGGAUUGACGUCGAGCCUUCGGUUAAGAUCUUCAUACAGAAAGGCUUCUUCCAAGCCUCAGAAAUCUCUCGCAUCUUCUUCUUAUAGUGAUCUCCUUUAUAAGAGAAAUCACUUUGGGCUAGACCUUGUGUAACCGGUAUGAACUGCCUCACUCUAUAUUGCCUUAGAACAAGUAAUGGUGCAUAUCCAACAACUCCCCAAAUUCCUGGCAAAAGGACCCAAUCAAAACUGCCACAGUGGUAAAGGACUUCACUAGAAACCAACCAAGGAGCCUUCCACAUAACAUCUUCCUCUCGAAGAUUCUGAAGAAUGUCUAUCCACCUCUCCUCUAAAAUGUCAUCUCUCCUUGGCAUAUCUAUUUCUUCUUUUAAGGGAGAAUAACCCUCAAAAGAAUACUCGACAAGGAACCUUAUCAAGCUUCCAAAAAUGACUGUGGAACCAAACCAACAGCAACUGUGCACAUCCAAUGAAUCUACCUUCGCCGGCUCUCCGACAUGCACUCAAAGAUCUAAAUGUCUCCGCUAGGAUUGCUGGUACCGAUGUAUUAUGCUUACCAACGCGAUCAAACAAAUCUGCAACUGCCUCAUCUAUGUGCCCCAACGCCUUUGGGAAAAUCACCAUGCCGUAAAUACUCAAAGCCAGGACGUCGACCCUUUUCUUUACGUCUGGAUGUGUCGAUAUCAAAUCCCUCAAAAUGGCCCAUGGAACGCACUUACUAUCACCCUUUUGCUGUAUACGAGCUACAACCCACUGCUCACUCAACCUAGUAAUCAUCACCAACUUCUUUGCAAAAGUUGGAAGACUAGCAGGCCUAACAUAAGCCUCGUGACCCUGAAUCCUCGAGCAAUGCAGUAAAGUCAUUUACUCCUCCAAAGUAGGUGCAAGAUCAACAUCACCAAAUGUAAAGCAACUGUAAGCAAGGUUCCAGAACUGUACCAUAGCUCGAAACAAGUGCCUAUCUACUUUGACGUCUAGCAAAUAAGGAAUGUCUCCAUAAUUCUGAUAGAAAAGCUGCUUAGCCUCGUCAUCCCAUUGGGCCCAAAUGUUUCUCAGUUCCUGAAACUUAUUCUGCGUCGAAUUAAUACGGGUGAAGUCCCAUAACUCUAGCGUAUAUCCCUCGGUGACACUAUCUCAUUUCUCUAACUGGGUUUUCUCUGACCAAGUACAGACAGAAGCAUUGUCCUCCACUCUAUCAAGGUAUUCAUUCCUCAUUACAAAACUUUUUAAUCUAGAAAUCUAGCCGUGAAUCGACACCUUUAAAUGCCAAAUGACAUGCAAUGACAGCAAAAUAAAAAUAGGUCAGUAUCAUAAAAAAAUGAUAAACAAGUACUUACAAGGGUAGCUUACUAAAGGCUAUCACUAUCUUUCCUAAACUCUUUAAAGUUCACUAUAUGAGUUUUAGCUCUAAAGCCAAGGUACCUGAACUAGCACAUUCCUUGGUCUUCACCCAUUAUAGGCUCAUAUAGACCAAGUUCAGUUCAGGGGGACACAUUUCCCUAUGGCCAUAUGGAGAUGAAAAUCUCACGAAGACAUAAGUACAGUAUCCCGGAAGCAAUCCACUAGCUCAUACGAAGGUGAAAACCUUACGAAAACGUAGCUUCUCACUCCCACUUAAGGGUGUGACCACAACAGUCAUGCAAAUGCAAUGUACAGCAAUAAGGUAACAAACAUAUGCAGCAAACACAUAUAAAAAGGAUCUAAUUCUAAAUUUUCCAAACUUCCAACUUUAAGACAGAAAAUACUCAAUUUCUUGGCUUGACUCUCUUAAGUCCCCAACGGAGUCGCCAAGCUGUCGAAACCAUUUUUUAAAGGGAUGUUUGAAAAAUGGGGAUCUACUUUUGAAAAAAGAAAAUAGGAGUUGCCACCAACCUUUUUAGGUGUGAUUGGAUCAUCUUAUAAAAUGUUUUGGUCUACGAAAAUUAAGAAAACAAGUUCGGGAGUUGGUUACGUACGAGGAAGGAUUAGCACCCUCGCAACGCCUAAAAUUGGUACCAAAUUGAAUAGUUUUUUGUCUUAAUGUCAAAAAUUUGAAAGGAUUUAAAAAUAGGAUCCCUUUUUUUAAAACCGGAAUUAUUUAAGUUGAAAAAUCAAGGUUCCUUAACUCCGAAAGAAUACAAACAUCACAUCUAGCAUGAUAGGACACGAUAUUCUUAAACUCUUGUAACUGAAAUCAUCUCGUGAUUUACAAAAUCUAUUUAGAAGGAUACUUUAGGCAUUUAGACAAACGGGAAAUUGCAACCCAGCAUGUUAGGGCUCUAUUUCCCGAAUUCCUAAAUACAAAAAAUAUUGCCUCAUUUUAGAAAAACUUUUGGAUAAAAUAUGACAAUUAAAUGAAAUAUAUUUUUUUUAAAAUAAUGAUUUGAGUAAAAUUUAAAAAAUAAUUUACUAAGAGUAAUAUUAAAAAAAAUUAUUAAAAAAUGAAAGAGUUUGAUAUGAUACUAAAAUUAUUAAAAAAUUAAAAUAUAAAAAAAAUCAAGGAAACAUGGAUUAAAUCAAAAUAAAAAGGGUUGAAAAACAAAUAUGAACAAAGAAUAAAAUAAGAACAAAACGUAGAAAAUAAGAACGUAAGAGGGAGAGAAAUUUGAGUGAAAGCUCUCAAAAAUUUUUAUUGUUUCCCAAAACUCCAGUGUCUUUAUAAUGAAGGGAGAGGCCUCUAUUUAUAGUUGAACCUCCUCAAAUCCAACGGUACAGAUCAAUUACAUCAACGGUUAAGAUUAAAAGAUAUCUACAAAUUAAAUCUCAAAGAUUACAAAAUCAUAUCUUCUAAGAUUGCAUAUCAUAUCUAAGAUUGCAAUCAUAUCUAAGAUUGUAUCAUAUCUAAGAUUGCAUAUCAUAUCUAAGAUUGCAUAUCAUUGAAGAUUAUAUUUCCAUAUGAGUCAAGCUUGUAGACAGACCUUAAAUCUUUUCUAGUAAUGGGCCAUUCCGAUCGGGCCAAAUUAUAUUUGUAAUUCUGGACUGAACUUGGACUUUUUUUUUGGGUUUAUUAUUUUUGUUUUUGGACUUAUUUCUAGGACCGAGCAAAAUUGAGUGUCUACAGUCUUCUUCAUGGAGACAAAGAUAAACAAAAUUCAAAUGGAACGAGUGCGAAGAAGCUGUGGCCUUACUUAUGUAUUGAUGUGGACACCGAUGGAUCUAGAAGAGGUUUGUGUUUGGCUUGGAGAGGUGAUGCUCCCAUCACACUUGAGAAUUUUUCAAAAAGGCACAUUGACAUGCUUAUUGAAGAUCUUGAUGAUGGAAAAAAUAGAGAUAUACAGGAUUUUAUGGUUCCCCUUAUGCACAAGAUAGGGAUGAAUCAUGGAAUCUAUUAAAAAACCUAUGUUGCAAUGAGGAACUCCCUUGGAUUAUUUGCGAAGAUUUUAAUGAAAUCAUGUACAGCUUUGAAAAGAAGGGAGGGUUGCCUAGAGACGCAAGAAGGAUGGAAGUAUUUUGAAGUGUUCUAGAAUAUUGUCAUCUGAUGGAUAUGGGCUAUUCUCGAAAUUGGUUUACUUGGGAGAAAGGAAAUUUACCAGAAACAAAUAUCCAAGAUCGUUUGGAUAGAGGUAUGGGUAACGAGAAUUGGAUGCCUAUGAUCCCUGAAGCUACCAUUCAACAUCUAGUGCACUUGAUCUCUAACCAUUAUCCUCUUCUAAUUACCACGAAAAGAGAAGACAAUAGAAGGAGUUGGAAAACAUUUAAAUUCGAGGCAUGGUGGGUCUUGGAGGAUUCAUUCGAUACUGAAGUUAAACUCAUUUGGGAAACGGCAUCAGGAGGUCUACUACAGAAGCUAGAUUGUCUAAAAAAGGGCUUGGAGAAAUGGGAUGUAUGCAUUUUUUAGUCUAGAAAACGAAAAAAAAUUUAUCCUCAAAGCUAUAUGAGUUGAUGGAAACCGAAAUGAGGGAUACUAAUCUAGCCGAGCUGAUUGAUACGAAACUGCAAUUGAAUUUUGAGAUUGAGAAGGAUGAAAUAUAUUGGGAGCAAAGAGCUCGAGUUAAUUGGUUGAAAUUUGGGGAUAGGAAUACGGCCUUUUUCUAUAGUCAAGCAGCACAAAGAUGAAGGAAAAAUUGUAUUUGGAAAUUGUAGAGUAUGACUGGAAAAGAAACGAUGGAUAUACAAGAAAUGGCAAAAAUUGCUAUAUCUUAUUUUCAAAAUUUAUUUGAGGCUAGGGUAAAGGGACAUUGUGAACAUCUCUUGUUAGUUAUUGAACGUUGUAUAUCCAAAGAGGAUAAUCAAAAACUCACGGCGCAAUAUGCAGAAGAAGAUGUUUGGGAGGCACUUACUAGAAUGGGGCCUACAAAAGCACCGGGUGAAGGUGGGUUUCUGACCUUAUUUUUUCAGAAAUACCGGCAUAUCAUUGAGGAAGAGGUCACACUUUUCUAUCUUCCACAUCUAAACUGUGGUAUGGAGGUUAGUCCAAUUAAUACUACUCAUAUUGUGCUUAUUCCUAAAAGAGCAAAUCCGACCAAUCUUACUCAUUUUCGUCCCAUUAGUUUAUGCAAUCUUAUUUAUAAAAUAAUGACAAAGGCUAUUGCUAAUCGAUUUAGAAAAGUCUUGGAAAAAUGCAUCGAUGGCACACAGAGUGCUUUUGUGCCAGGAAGGUUAAUAUCGGAUAAUGUAUUAUUGGCAUAUGAAUUUUACACACUCUAAAACGGAAAAAUUUGGAAAAAAAGGGUUGAUGGCGGUAAAACUCGACAUGAGUAAAGCGUACGAUAGAGUCAAAUGGAAUUUUGUAUAGGAGAUGAUAGUGAGAAUGGGUUUUGACCCUAGCUGGAUUGAUUCUAUUAUGAAGUGCGUAUCUAAUAUUUCUUAUUCAGUGGUACUUAAUGGUCAAGCUAGGCAAAAUUUUCAACCAACAAGAGGAUUACGUCACAGGAGGAAGAAAGAUGAUUAUUACUCGCAUACUUAGAGUACGAAGCUCAAAUGACCCAGAACGUUAUCUUGGAUUACCUAAUAUGAUGGGCAGAAGAAAGAAAUAGUCUUUUCAAAACUUAAAGGACAGAUUUAAGUGACAAACUGACAAGUAUUCGGCAUCUCUUUCAAGGUGGGAAAGAAGUUUUUAUUAAGGCCAUUCUUCAAGCUAUUCCGACGUAUACAAUGGUCUAUUUUUGACUACCUAAAUCUUUGUAUGUUGAUAUUGAGUAUUACAAAAUUCUGGUGGCAGAAGGAUCGUGGCAAAAGGCGUAUUCUUUGGUUUGUUUGGAAUGAUAUUUGUAAUGCAAAAGAAAAAAUAUGGUCUGGGGUUUCAAAAUCUUAGUUAAUUUAAUAUUGCUUUAUUAGCCAAGCAAGGUUGGUGCCUUAUUAAUUUUCCAAAUUCUUUUAUAGCAAAGGUCUUAAAAGCUAAAUACUACCCAAAUUCAGACUUUAUCAAUACAUAGUUAGGGAAUUUACCUUUGCUUACCUGGAAGAACGUGUGGGCAGCAAAAAGGUUACUGAAAGAUGGCUUAUAUUAGUGAGUCAGUAGGGGAGAUCAUAUAUCUGUUUGGAGCAAUCGGUCGGUACUGGGAGUUGAUAUAGAGAGAACUAAUGAUAAUUCCAACAAUGCAGAAGUAGAGUUAGUUUUGGAUUUAAUUGAUGCUUCAACAAUAAAAUAGAAGAUAGAUCUAAUAGUUAAUACCUUUCAAGAGGACACAACACAAAAGAUUUUGUAAAUUCCUCUGGCGGAAGAAGAACAUGAUGAUUUCCAAGUUUGGCGAGGAGAACAUUCUGGCGAAUUUUCGGUCAGAAGUGCCUACAAACUAUUAAAAAAGGCUAAUAUAGAUUCUAGUGGUUAUUUAAUACAAGCUGAAACAAAAAAUUUCUACAGAAAGCUAUGGAAUUUACAUCUCCCAUCAAAAAUUGCUAUCACUAUAUGACAUAUUUCCUGGAACUUUAUUCCUACUCUAACAAAUCUCAUAUUAAAAAGAGUGGUUAUAGAUAUUUCCUGUCCUCGGUGUCGAAAUACGGACGAAGAUAGCAACCAUGUUUUCAGAUAAUGCCCUACAACAAUAGAGACAUGGCAAAAUUUAAAUCUAUCAUGGGUCAUUAAUAGUAAUAUUCAAGAUUUGUGGGAAUGGCUUACUUGGGUCUUCACCAUGGGAAACAGUAAACAAUGUCGACUCUUUUGCUGUGCUGUUUGGACAACAUAGAGUUCAAGAAACUAGUUAGUUCAUGAGGGGAAAAUAACAACAGGAAGAGGUUUAUCGAACUGAAUCCAAAGUUAUAUUGCAGAGAUUGAUGGGUUAGAAGAAAAGCCACUUACCUCAAAUGAUGGUAGAAGACAGAGACAGGAAUAAAGAAAUGCUAGAGUAGCUAUUUAUUUUGAUACAGCUUUCAACGGUAAAUACUCCAGAUCGGCCUCGGGUCUGGUGGUGUGGGGGGAGAUGGGUGAGUUUUUAACCUCGAAGACAUUCCUCCAUUCCACAAUAUCGUCUCCGUUCAUGACAGAGGCACAUGGAGGGUUACAAGAAGUGAAGUUAGGGAUUUCAAUGGGUUUUCAAUCAGUAGAUAUAAUAAGAGAUUCAAAAAUGAUCAUAAAGAAAUGCAACUCAGCAGCGACAAACAAAUCAGUUAAAGGGGCGAUUAUCCGAGACAUUCAAAGUAAAAAACAACACUUCCAAGAAAUCAACUUCUAGUUUGUUCAAAGAUCAGGAAAUGGUUAUGCCCGCGAACUUGCAAAAGAAGCAUUAAGAAAAGGAGAAGAAAAGUACCUUAAGGGAGCAGAUUUCGUCCAUCUUUAACGUGAACAAGAGGAGAGAUGGCCGAGGCACCCAGAUUAAAGAGUCCCCAUAGAAAAUCUGAAGAGAUAAGGAUAGCAGAAAUGAAAGCUUUUUUGAAACUUGCUAUCAGUUGAAGUGCUAGUAUAGAGAUUCAAAAACACAGAUAAUUAAUGGGCACCAACUGCUGACAGUAACUCUAUUAGGUUUCCCAUUUCUUUAUUUUGUUUUACUUCAAUUGUUAUUUAUUUUUAUCUUAAGCCAUUUACUCUCUUUUGGCUUGUUUUCUCUUUUAUUCAUUUUUUCUACUUAGGUCUUAGUUUUAAAGUUUUAUAAGAACAUUUCCUCAUUAUGUUAUUUGUUUUCUGAUCAAUAAAAUCUAGUCGAACUAUUCAAAAAAAAGAAUAAAGAUUUUCAAUCAAAGGAUUUAGAAUGAAUCAAAGGUAAUUAUUAUUUUUAAACUUAUUUUUAUGAUGAUAGAAGCAUAUUUACAUGGUUUGAGUGAUAAUUACAUGAUUUUUUUUAUCAAUGUCAUCUUCUUCAAAAGCUUAAGGUGCUUUAAUGGUGGAUCUUGAGUUUUGUGAGGAAAUCCACAAAUCAAUGUGUGUUCCUACUUAAAAUGGAUCUAUUAGAAGGUUUAUGAUAUUACUUAUCAAGAUUAAACAUGUUUUGUAAGGUAAUUUAAAGAAAUUCAAGUUUCAUCAUAUUCAUGAAUCGAUUUUCUGAAUUUUUGUGAAAUUGAUUUAAAUGUGAAAUUUGUAACAGGCCGAUUUUAGCUAAAUCAGAAUAGUGGUUUUGAAACCAUAAAUUCGAGGUCAAAAAAUUAUUUUAAUAUUAUUUCUAGUAUUUACAAUAUGUUAUUUGAUAUGUGUGAAAAUUUUAGUGACCUAAUUUUAUCGUUUAAUUAGUCAAUUUGAGAAAAAGGACUAAAUCGCGUAAAAUGAAAAAGUUGCAUUCUAUUAGUUAAAGGUGUCAAUUGGCCUUAGCUUUUAAAUAUGAUGGCCUUAAAUGGAAAUUAGACCGUUUUAAAUAAUAGUGGACAUAUAUGGACAUUUAAUAAAUGUUUUAAAUGGUUUUUCAUUAAGGUUAUAAUGGUAAUUAGCGUAAUCAUAAUGUGUUAAAUAAAACAAAAAAAAAUUUGAGUUCAUCUUUCUCAUGUUGGCUGAAUAUUGAAGAAGAAAAAGAAGCCAUUUUGCUCAUUUAGGGUUCGGCACACACAUAGCUUGAUUAAGGUACGAUUUUAGCUCAGUUUUUAAUGAUUUUUACGUUUUUAAGAUCGUUGCUUUGUAAUCUAGCUAGCCCGUACCUUAGAUUUUGAAAUUGUUAAAGAUUUUGAGAGUUUCCAUUGUUGAAUACUUGAGUAAUUUAAUGAUUUAUGAUAGAUUAUGAAGAUUAAUUGAUAGAUUAAUAAUUUUUGUAAAGUGAUUUUUGACAAAAAUGUCAAAAAAGGGGUUAAAUUAUGAAUUAUGUAAAUUGAGGGGUUGAAAUGUGAAAUAAAUGAAAUUUUUGGGCUGCUAGGGACUUAUGUGUAAUUCGGAUAAGCUUUGGUUUAAAGAAAUUAUGUGAAUUUUGUGUAUUUGUAAAAUAAGGAUUAAAUUGAUAAAAUGUGAAAGUUUAGGGGCUAAUAUGAAAAUAUGCCCAAAUGUGUAUUUUUGGACUAAAUUGAAAGAAUAUGUAAUUGAAUAAGUCAAUUUUGAAUUUAUAUAGAUCAAGAAAGAAAGAAAUCGAAUUUAUAUCGUGGGAAAAGCAAAAUUAUCGAAUAGUCGACCCGAUACGUCAAUUCCCUAUACGAGGUAAGUUCGUAUGAUUGAACAUAAAUGUGUAUACAUUUAUUGAGUGGAUGAAAUUGAGAUAGUAUUUAUUCUGUUGGAUAAAUUUUGAGAUAUUACAUGAAAUGUAUGAGUUGAGUAAGGCAAGUUGCUGAAUAAGACCAUAGUCGGGCUAUAGCAAUUGAAUAAUAAGACUAUAAUCGGGUUAUGGCAUGUAAAUGAAAGACCAUGGCAGGGCCUUGGCAAUAUAUGUGGACCAUAGUUGGACUAUGGCAUCGGAAUAUCGAUGAAAUUGUAUCGUGAGCACUUAUAAACCGGAGAGGUUUGAUAAGAGUAUUAAUGAGAAAUUAAAAAAAAUAUCGGUACAGGUAUGUACAGAAAACUAUUUAAGUAUCGAGUUAGAUGAAGUUGAGAACUCAUGAAUAAUGACAUGAAUAAAUUUGAUGUUAGGUCAUGAAUUGAUACUUUAAAUGUUAAUGAUAUUAUCUAUUUUGAAUUGCUAAUGAAUGUUGUGAUUAUUUCAUGUUCACAUACGAACUUACUAAGCUUUAUAGCUUACUUUGUUUAAUUUUUGAUGUUUUAUAGUUCAACGAAGCUAGAUUGGAGCCGGGAAUCGUUAGACUUCAUAGCACUAUCGAUCAUCUAUCUGGUAUCUUUGAAACUAUGUAUAUAUGGUAUAUGGCAUGUAUAGGCUUGAGUCAUUUUGGUAUGUUUAAUGGAUAUGUAUUUUGGACAUUUGAUUUGGCAUAAGAUGAUGAACUUGAUGAUGCUUAUGAAUGUGCAAUAAGUUCUACCUUUAAUGUUGGUAAUAGACCUAUAAUGAAUGAAUAGGAUUGAAGUGAUCAUGCGUGUUUGGAUUGGUUUUGCUAAAUGAAUUAUAUGUGUGAAUUAUGCUUAGUAAAGGAAGUUAAAUUGUUUUGUAUUUGAAUAGGUAAAUGGUAUAGAUUUGAGUAUUGAAUUUAGUGGAAAUGGAUAUGGUAUUAUUAUGCAUUGGUUGGUGAACUUUGGUUGCUUAUUUGUGACUUAAAAUGAUACCAAUUGAGCUUGUGUAGGUAUGUGCAAAAAGGGUGGCAACUUGGCUUUGAAAAUGGCUUAUUUGUGUCCACACGGGCAGAGACACGGGUGUGUGUCUUAUCCGUGUGUGACAGACGGUUAGGUUACACGGCCGUGUGUACCCUAGUGUUGAAAUUGAAUUGAAGUCAGUAUGCUCUACACGGUCUCACACACGAGCGUGUGACUGGACGUGUGGUAUAAAUCAGUAUACUCUCCAGUUUUCACACGGCCUGGCACAUAGUUGUGUCCUUGGCCAUAUGAUGCAAGUCGUAUGUAUGCCCUGUUUCCAUACGACCUAAGAUACGGGCAUGUCUAUUAGACGUGUGAGGUACACAGCCUAUUCACAUGAGCGUGUGACCCUUGUAUGAUUGAAAAAUUUCUAAGUUUUUUAAAAUUUUUGUAUGUUAUCGGUUUAGUCUCGAACCGCUUCUAAAGCAUGUUUAAGGCCUUGUAGGCCCUUAUAAGGGACAAAGUGAUUGUAUUGAAUGAUGUAUAAGAAUGAAUCCUUUAUAAUAAUAAAUGUAAUCUAUAUGUUGUGUAUUGAUCAGUAAUACCUUGCAACCCUAUUCCGGUAGCGGAUACGGGUUAGGGGUAUUACAAAAUUGAUGCUUAGUAUAUGUUUAUUUGGUAUAGUAUUGAUGUUUGGAAGUGAUUAUGAGGGAUGGAGUGAUCAAUUUUGUGAGGAAUCAAGUUUUCAACUUGAUGAUACAAAUCCGAUAAGGUAACUUUGAGUGAGAAUUUUGUGUAGCCUAGUUGAUGAAAAUUUGUGUUUAUUAUAUCUUUUGAAAUGUGGUAAUAUCUAUUUUAUCUCUGUUGAAGCUCUGAAUCUUGAAGAGGAUCGAGCUGAUCAAAAUUGAAGCUUGGAUUUGCUUAGUUGAUCACUUGGUUGUGGUUGAAUUAGCUGUGUGGUGAGUGUUAUUAAAGGGUGAUUUGGUAAAUUGACCCUCACUUGUGCUUAAUUGGAUUAUUAUUACUAAUUUCAAAUAUUUAAUUAAGGUUUCAUUGGUUAAUUUUGCAAGAUUAUUGAUAUAUGUUAGUGAUGAAAUUUUUGUUAAGUGUUGGUAAAUGAGUAUCUAGUGAUUUUAUGUACUUGAUUUGAUUGAUCAUAAUGGUGAACUAAGCUAGCAUGCUAGAGUUUUUAGUUCAUGGUAUGUUGAUAUUUCAAUUGAUAAAUGAACAUUGAUAAUAGAUAAUUGUUGUGUUAGAUUUAAUUUGAUGUUAAAACGACUAUGUUACAUGAUUCACAUAUGGAUUUUGGCAUUUUAAAUUGAGCACAUUAUAGAUUGAAAUUAUCUUAUGAUUGAUUGAUUAUAUUGUCAUUAUAGCAUGGUGGAUCCAUUAGAUAUAGCUGGCAUGUAAUAGCCCAAAAUUGGGUCUAGUUAGAACAGAGGUUUUGGGACCACAAAAUCCGAGAUAGAAAUAAUUAUUUUAUGAUUAUUUUGAGGUCUAUGAUAUGAUUGCAUGAUUGUGUGAAAAUUUCGUGAAGAAAUUCUAUGCAUAAAGUGCUCAAUUUGAAGUUAGGGACUAAAUUGAAUAAGUUGCAAAACUUGCAUUCUAGAAGUUUCUAGUAUGAAAUUGCUUUGAAAUAUUAAUUAGGAGGUCUUAAAUAGAAAUUUUACCAAUCUCUAAGUGAUGGAAAAAAAUUGGACAUAGAUGGAAUUUUUGAAAGUUUAGUAAGGAAGGGCAUUUUGGUGAUUUGGUAAUUGAAAGAAAUAAAAAGGGAAAAUAAAGCCAAAAUUGACUCAUCUUUCUCAUGGAGGCCGAAAUUAGCAUGGGGGAAGCCAUGGCUAGGGUUUUCAAGCUUUCCAAGCUCAAUAGUAAGUCUGUUAUAACCUCGUUUUUCAAGUUCUUUAAGUUUUUGGAAUCCCGGUAAUUUGAUUAAGCUUAUUCUAGCAAUAAUUUAAACUAGGGUUCAUAUUUGGAAAAAUAUCCAUAGGUGAAAUGUGUUUAUUUUGCUGUUUUAUAAUAGAAUAUGAGGUUUUAAAUUAUGUUAGACAACUUGUGCUACUCGAUUUUGAGUGAAAACGAGUAAAAGGGCUUAAUCGGUAAAAAUACCUAAUAGUCGUAAGUAUAUGUUAGAGUGAGAAUUUGAUGUUGCCAUAGAAGGAAAAAGUGAUCAGAAUGUCAUAAAACAUAAGAAUAAGGGAUGAAGUUUAAUUCCCGAGCCUAGGGGCAAAAGUGUAAAUAUGUAAAAGUUUAGGGGCAAGAUUGUAAUUUUUCCAAAGUUUGAGUUAAGGACUGUUUUGAAUAUUACAUUAAUUAAAUAAGUAAAAUAUGAUGUUUUAGAUCUCGGAAAACGAGAUUUGAACCUAGAAUGAGAGAAAAAUCAAAAAUUGGGAAAGUCGGUAAAAUGGCCGUUUUAGUAUCGAGGUAAGUUCAUAUGUAUAUUAAUUUAUGCAUGUUUCAAUGUAAAAUUGAUAUAUUCAUUAUGAUUUCCGAGGUGUUGAAAGUAUGUAAGUUGGUAUGAUAAUAAUACAGCAAUAAUGCUGUAAUUUAUAUUUGAAAGUUAAAUUUAGUGAAUUAAUUGAAUUAUAUUAAAUUAAAUGAUUAUGGUGCCAAGUUUAUGAAUUGAUUUUAAAAUAUGCCUAUGGUACAUGAAGUGCAUUGAAUUAUCAUACAUAAAUGUGAUUUCUAUGAUUAUGGAUAUUAUGGGAAAUUGUAAGUUCAUAUGAUUUUUAAUAAGGCAAUGUGUAAUUUAAUGUUAUUGCCUUGAUAUUAAAUGAGAUGUAAGUUUAUAUGUAAGUAAUACAUCAAUAUUACUUGUAUUAUGAUAUUUUAUAUUAAUAUUGGAAAUAUGUUUGUGGAUAAUUACUUGAUUGGUGAAAUUGUUGGAAAAGAGAGAAAAAUCCCGAUUGAACCUUCGGAAAAAUUGGAUGAUACAGAUAGUAUGUAGCUAGGUCACAUGUAUGGUGCUGAGUGCACAUCAUGUGUACAAGAGAGCUACAAGGCAUUACGAUGUAGGUAGGUCACAUGGGUGAUACUAUGUGCACACCAUGUAGACAAGAGAGCUACGGGAUAUAUGUAGCUAGGUCGCAUGCGUGGUUCCAGGUGAAGGACACCAUGUAGACAAGAGAGCUACGAGAUAAAUUGGUUAGGUCACAUGGGUGGUACUAAGUGUUCACCAUGUGUACAAGAGAGCCGAAUUAUAUGAUGGGUGGAGCUUUGUGCUGAAACAACCAAGUAUCGAGGAUUGAUCCGAAGUGUUCAACGGGAGACUCUCUAUGUAUUGCUUUUUGAGUUUUGUGAUGAAUAAGUGCAGGAACUUGAUUAUGUGAAUGAUGUGUUCAUUAAGUGACCAGGAUGUGGUGAGGUUAUAAACAAGUAAGUUAUACAUGAGGAUGAUUUUAUGGUGACCUUGUGAUCAUGGGCCUAUACUUGUGAUGUAUGAAAUAUGGUGAAAAUGAUUUGUGAUAUGUAUGUUAAAAUGAGGUUAAUACAAAGAAAGUUUGAAAGAGUGAAUUAGCAAUAAAACUGUUUUGGACAGUAGCAGUGACAUGAUUUUGAAAAAUCACCAAAAAUAGUAGAAAUGAAUCAGAGACUGAAUGAGAUAUAAAAUUAAAUCUUAAUUAGUCUAUUUUCAUAUAAAAGAAACAGAGCAAGAAAAGGAGUUCUAUAUUUUGAGAUAUUUAUGUUUUUGUGAGACUGGUUCAGAAUGAUUACGUGAUCCCCUAUUCUGACUUUGGAAAAUCACAAAAUUUUGGGUAAAAAUAAUUAGAGGCUUAAACUUAUAUUUUUAAAAUCCCUAAUGAGUCUAUUUUCAAGAUAAAUCAACAAGAACAUUAUCCGAGUUCUGUACUGUGAGAUAAUUAAUUUUUAGUGAAGAGAGGUCAGAACUGUCAAAAAGUGAAACAGGGGAAAUUUUAAUGAAUAAACUGUACUAAUUGGCUAAACUAAAAACUAUGAAAAUUUUAUGGUGGAAAGAUAUGUGAGUCUAGUUUUAUAUGAAAUUUACGGAUCUUAAUUUGAAGCUCUGUAGUUCGAAUUAUAAAUAAGUAAGUGACUAUGACUCGUGUGGAUAGUUUGAUGUGAGCAUUUAUUAGUAAAUUGUGAAAUCGUAGUUACAAGAAUGCUAUAUACAUUAAGGAUGUGGAAUGGAGAGGAGGAGGAGGAAAAUAAAUAUAUGAGGAAUACAUGGAAACUAUGGUAUAUGAAAUAUUGAUAUAAUGAAAUAAAUUAUAUGUGUUUAUAAGAAAACAGAAAGAGAAUGAUAUGUAUCAUGACAUGUAUAUAUAUAUAUGACUAGUCUCAAUGUAAUGCUUGUUGGGUAUGGAGUUGAACUGAAAUGUUUCAGGAAAACAUGUUAUUUUGCGUAUCUGAAUUGUGGUAUUUUAUAAAGAUAUGAUCUAGUUUUAAAUAUGAAUGCUUGAUGAUUAAGCUGAAGAUAUUUUGUAAGAUGAUAAUCUUGGUAUAAAUGUAUAAGUGGUACUAUAAUAAACAAGGUAAAAUGAGUAUGAGAGACACGUGUAUGAUGACAUACAAAUGCUAUGUUUGUGGUUUAAUUGAGAAUAUUUAAUCAUUAAAUGAAUACUAUGUUAUAUGCUUUUGAUUUUGUAUAAGUGUGUAAGAGAUUAAGGUUAACCAAAGCUUGGAAAAUAGCCUAGGUAUAUUCCACACAGGCAGAGACACGACCAUGUGUCUCAGCCGUGUAUGGAACACGACUUUGGGACACGGACGUGUGGAGCCUUAAAGCAUGAAAUUUCCAAGAUUUUCGUAAGUUCUCGAUUUAGUCCCGAACCCUUUCUAAAGUAUGUUUUGGGCUUCGUAGAUUCAAAUAAGGGACUAUGUGUAAGUGAAUAAACGUUUUGAAAUAUGAAUGAAAUUUUAUGGCUCGUAUUUUAGUUUAAUGUUUGUAUGUUUGUCCGGUAACGCCUCGUACCUUAUUUCGGCCUCAGGUAAGGGUAAGGGGUGUUACAUGGCAUGCCAUAGGAUUUGUGAGUACUCACAAUAUUAAUAUGUUAUUUGUAAGCAAUGAGGCUCUAGGUGGACUGAUUUGGAGUAGACAAGGGAGUUUUGAGCUUGUGUCUCCACUCGACGGGAUUGAUGGAGGCGAUAUAAGGGAGUGUGUGGCCUCAGCCCGCUCAAUCUUGGAUUGGUUCUGAUGCUGAUUGGGAGUAAGGAGAUUCAUUUAUCCGGUGUAUGAUCACCUGAUUAAGCCAUGAUCGUAUAUGCCAAUAUAAAUGUAUGAAAUGUUAUAUGCAAAAUUGAUGAUUAUAUGCCAUGAUUAAUAUGGUUUAUUAUACAUGGUUGAGCAUAUGACAUUGAACUAUUAUGGAUUGAUAUUUUGAUUGAAAAUUUGUAUUUGAUUGGUUUCAAUUUAAGCAUGAUUUGGGUGCUAAUUUACUCUUCAUUUUAUUAACAUUCACUAAGCUUUUCAAGCUCAUACCCUUACAUUCAUGAAGUUAACCGACGAGAUUGAGGAGUUGAGGAGUCGAGCAAGAGAAUUCCAAAAGAUCAAGGAUUGAUAGAGAUUUAGUUACACGUUUUAGAGAUGUUAAUUAGGUAUUGUGGAACUUCCGGGACUUAGUUUAGUUUUGGUUGUAAUUGAACUUGGACAUUGGACAUUUUUCAUUUUGGAUGGUUUUAUAAAAUCAUAUAUGCAUGUUUGAGUUUGAUUAUUGAAUAAUUUACGGUGUAUUGAUGCUUGAUAACACGAUAAUUGAUAACACGGUGUGUGAGGAAUGAUGUUUAUACUAACCAUUGUUUAAAUGAAGUUUCCAUAGAGUGGUUUACUAGUGACUAAGGUACGUCACUUGUUUGAAUUAAUUGGUGGGUGAUAUGCAUAAAAUUGAAUGUUUAAUUCUAUUUAAUUGAUGCUUGAUUGGUGUAAAUAAAUUCAACUGAAUGUGUAUAAAUAUGUAUGAUAUUUAAUUGUAGCUAAAUCAGGUUUAAUUGGCCAUUAAAAUACUCAAAAUCAGGUUUAAAGUCAAAUUUUUCGCACAAAAAAAUUGCGGUGGACUGUUGGGGGUUUGAAUUCUGUUCUUUUUAAAUUGGUUCUCUAGUUCGUUUAAAUUACAAAUUGGUCUUGUAACUUGAUAACUCUAAUUAAAGCCUUAAAUGAUAAGGAAACUUGAUAAAAUUUUAGGAUUAGACUUUUAAUUGAUAAAAUUUGUUCGAAACACACAAAAUUUAAUAUUCAUGGUAUAGUAUUGAUAGUUUGAAAUUCUUACGAUUUAGUCCUUAAUGAUAAAACUUGAAUUAGACAUAGAAUGUAACAUCCCGAUUUUGGGCCUAGUCGGAAUAGUGGUUUCGGAACCACAAAUUCAAGGUCAGAGAAAUUAUUUUUGAUAUUAUUUUAUGUGUUAUAACAUGAUUUUAUAGAUAUUUGAAAGGUUCAGUGCAUUAAUUUUAGCAGUUGCAUGCUUCAUUUUGAAAAAGGGAUUAAAUUGCAUAAAGAGUGAAAAUUAUGUUCUACUAGUCAAAAGUGUUAUGUAACUAAAGAAAAUAGAUGUGGAGGUCCUUAUUGAGUAAAUAGACUACUAAUAAUGAGUGGUGGAUGUACAUGGAGACAAAAAAAUUAAAAUGAUCAAAUUUGGUGGCUUUAGGUGACUUAAUAGGUAGAAUAAUAGUAAAAUAAAAAGAAAAGCUAUCAUCUUUUUACUUCUCUUUCUUCUCCACCAAUUCUUACCCAAGGAAAUGGCCAUGAAAGCUUGAAAAUUUCAGCAACUUCUAACCCUCACAAGUAAGUGAUUUUGAUGGUCAUUUUUAAUGACUUUUGUAUUUUUGGAACCCUUGUAGCUUAAUUUAGCUAAUGGGGGACUAUUUUGCAAAAUGACUGAAAGUAUAGGGUUUUUCCAUGAGAUUAUUCAUGUUGUUUGCUUCAUUUUUAUGGAAGAAAAUGAAUAUUGGUUGUUAAAUAAACAACUGUUGUUAAAUGAUUUUCAUGAAAACACCUAAAAUGGGCCAUUUGGUAAAAGUUGUAAAAUAGGUGGUAAAUGUGUGUAAUAAUGGAAAAUGUGGGCUGCCCUAAGAAUGAAAAAGGUUCGGCUAUGCAUGGGUAGUAAAGAAAUUGAACACAUUUCAUUUUACGAGCCUAAGGGCAAAAGUGAAAAUAUGAUAAAGUAUAGGCGUAAAAAUGUAAUUUUACCAAAAAUGUGAAAUUGGGUUAAUUUGAGUAGCAUGAUGAAUAAAUAAAUUAAAUGUGUUGUUAUAGAUCAAGGAAGAUGAAAUUCAGAAUUAGUUCAGGGGAAAAGAAAAAUAAUCCAGUAAUUGACUUAUUUCGUCAUUUCAUACUAAGGUAAGUUCGUAUGUUAAUAAGCAUUAAAUUUGAUAUGUUUAGAUGCUUAAUCGAUAUCUAUUAUUAUUUCGUAUGUUAUUAUUGGAUCAUGAAUAAUAUAAAAAUAUGAGGUCAUAUUGAAAGAUCAAAUUAAAAUAAAUGCAAGGUUGAGCAUGAUCGAAUUACGGCAUGUUAUGAAUUGACGGUAAAGACCAUGGUUGGACCAUGGCAAUAUGUGUAACCAUGUAAGACCAUAUCUGGAUAUGGCAUCGGCAUGUGAUCCCGUAUAAGACCAUGUAUGGGACAUGGCAUCGGCAUUGUUAUGUGAACCAGUGUAAGACCAUGUCUGGGACAUGGCAUCGGCAUUGUUAUGUAAGCCAGUGUAAGACCAUGUCUAGGACAUAGCAUCGGCAUCGUUAUGUGAGCCAGUGUAAGACCAUGUCUGGGACAUGGCAUCGGCAUCAUUAUUUGAGCCAGUGUAAGACCAUGUUUGGGACAUGGAAUCGACAUGAGGCAUCGUGUAAGACCAUAGCUGGGCUACUGGCAUCGAUAUGAGAUUUCCAUGUAAGACCAUGUCUGGGACAUGGCAUUGGUACAAUACAUCAUGUAUGAGUUUUCCUGAGUAUCCUUGGUAUCCCAAGAGGUUCAACAAGUAAAUCCAAAGAUUUUGUCAAAGAAAUGACAAUGUAUGAUCAUGUUAAAAGGGUAUAGGUAUGUACGCAAAAUUCAUGAGUAAUGAAUUCGGUGUAUACGGUACAUUUGGUAAGAAUGUAAAUGAGUAAGUCCUACCUAUGAAAAUGAUCUUGUGAUGACCUUGUGAUUAUAAGUCUAUACUUAUGAUUUAUAAAUAGGUGGUAAAUUUGAUUAAUGAUCAUGUGUGAGGCUUUUAGGCCAAAUUAAAUUGAGACAUGAUAAGUUUAAGUUUUGUUGUUAAUGUAUAGGUUAAAUUGGCCAAUGAAUGGCAUGUAAAUAUUUGAUAAUGACUAGCUAUUGGAAUGACUAGUUAAGGAUAUGCUUUGGUGUUAUGUAUGACUAAGAUGUUAAUACAGAGAAAUCAUGAAAGAGUAAAGUUAGCAGUAAAACAGUUUUGGACAGGAACAAUUGUAUAACUUUGAAAAAUCACCAAAAAUUGCGAAAAUUGAAUUAUAGUUUGAAUAAGAGAUAAAAUUAAAUCUUAUUGAGUCUAGUUUCACAUAGAAGAAACAGAAUAAGCAAAAGACUUUCAUAUCAUGAGAUGUUUGAAUUUUUUUGGGCCAGGGUCAGGAUGAAUCUGGAAUCCCCUGUUCUGACUUUGGAAAAUCAUUAAGAAUAGUAUAAAAAUAAUUACAAGUUAUAAUUUAUAUUUUUUAAAUUAUUAAUGAAUAUAUUUUCAAAAGAAUGAAAUGAGAACAUCAUCCAAGUCCUGUAUAAGGAGAUACUUAAUUUUUAGUGAAGAAGGGUCGAAACUGUCAGACAGCAGAACAGAGACAACUUUAAAGAAUAAACUGUACUUAUUGGCUAAACCAAAAAUUAUAGAAAUUUUAUGGUAAGGAUAUAUGUAAGUCUAGUUUUAGGUAAAAUUAUAAAAAAUUAAUUUGGAGUUCUGUAGCUCAAGAUAUAAAUAAUUUAGUGACUAUAACUCGCGUAGACAGCUUGAUAUAAACAUAGUGAAUAGUGGAACUUUGUGCAAUUAUGAUUGCAUUAGCUUGAGAACAUAUUAUGAGGAUUGUUAAAAGCAUGUUAAUAAUUUUUUUAUUAUUUACAUACCUACUUAAUAAGCGAUAUGCUUACUCUCUCUUCCUUUCCUUUUUCCUAUAGUGUCAUAGAUGCUAGCUCGAGUUGGAGGUCGUCGAAGAUCUUAUCACACUAACAAGCUAUUGAUAGGUAUCAAUGAUUUUCUAUCAUUUUAAGUUUAUGGCAUGUAUAGGGAUUUGGUUAUUUUGUACAUGAUAUUAUGAGUUGGCCUAUGCUAAUUGAAGUUCAUUGUUGUAUAAGGCCAUUUAGUGUGACCAAUAUUUGCUAUGUUAUAAGUCUAUGAUGAAGUAUUACAUGGAUGUGCAUGCUUGUUUGGGUUGGAUGAGUGAAUGUGUGAUAAUUAGGUGUGGCAAAUACUAAAUGUGAAUGGUUGAGCAAGUUACAUGUUAUAAUUAGUUAAGUGUGUGUGGUUGUGCAUGUUGAAUGUGAUUUAUAAAUAGUGUGUGAAUGCCACGAUGUGGUUAUUGGGAUGCCUAAAAAUGCCAUGUUGUGUGUUGAUAAACUUAGUAUGGGUGUGCAAGUGUUUUUGGAUGGAAAAAGGCUUGGUAAAUAGCCUAACUAUCAUCCACACGGAUGGCCAGACGGCCUAGCACACGGGCGUGUAACAUGGCUGUGUGACCCUAAAUGGGUGAUGACGUCAUAAACAGAGAGUUACAUGGGUGGAGGACACAGGAGUGUCCUGAGCCACAUGGGUGUGUGUGGCCACACGGCCUGCCCACACGGGCGUGCGACUCUCCAAAAUAUGAAUUCAAAAGUUCUUGGUUUAGUCCCUAACCACUUCCAAUGUAUGUUUUGGGUCUCGUAGCCCAUAUAAGGGACUUUAAGAUAGAAAUUGAAAAUUUUUAAAUUUGAACGAAAUUUUAUGACCUGGAAAUGUUUGUAUGCAUGCGUUUGAGUCUGGUAAUGCCCCGUACCCUAUUCCAGCGACGGACGUGGGUAAAGCGUGUUACAUAGAAAAUUAUCUCGGAUUAAGCUAAAAUUUUUAGGGCUUACAUAAGUUAACUAAAGAGGGUUGAUAAAUGUAUAGAUCUAAAUUUAGGUUAGUUUAGCCGUAAGUGGUAAAAAUGACAAAAAUGCCUUUAGUUUAAAUUAUUUAUAAAAUGUUUAAAAAUUGGUUCACGAAUUGCUUCCACAUUAAUAAAUAACUAAUAAAUGGAUAAGAUUGAGGUGUUAUAAGGUCGGGGUGUGUCUUGGGAGGUCAUUAGCCGGAGAGUCACUUAGGUGACUAAUGUAACAUUUCGAAUUUGGGCCAGUUCGUCCUAGUUGGGUUUUGGGUGUAACACUUCUCAUAGUAAUCGGAUAACCUAAAGUCGUGAAUAGAAGAAUACAACACAUGUAUUUUCCCAUUACGACUCUUUUUAUUUUUUAAUCAAUCAACUGUGGAUCAUCUCAUAUAUAUAUCACAAGUAUAACAUUACAUGAUAUAAAUAUUAUAAACAAUUAUAAAACAAAUAUAUAAAGAGAUAGGUAAUUAAAAUAAAGUUUUCAGCCAAGGUUUCCAUGGUUCUAUUUCUAGAAAAUAAAUUAAAAAAUAAUUUCAUUGUUUUCCGCCACAAGGUAGCUCUUGAGUCUUCAACCGCCAUCGCUCCAUCUUCUCCUUGUCAUGGACUCCUUUUAAAAAAGUCACAUUUAAGCCUUAUGUCUAUUUCUAGCUCAUAAGAAUUCUACGAAUUAAAAAAAAAUAUCUUAUGGGGAGAUGAUAGUCCACGACCUAUUUCCUAAGAACCACAACAUUUGCAAAAAAAAUAAAAUUAUAUAACAAAUAUUUAAUAUCGCAUCCAUUCUUAUAUAUAACUCAAAACAUGCAUAAGAUCUAAAGAAUGUCACUUUCUAUAUAAUCAAAUCAUUUAAGAAGAAAAGAAAUUUAUUUUGAUUAUUUGUUUAUACUGGUAGAUAGAGCACAACUUGAAUCUUAUACCAAUUGUUGGAAAAUCAAGUUUGAAAAAUGCAGUAGAAAAUAAAUUUAAGGAAAAAAAGAGUUUUAAAAAUUUUCCAAAACUAGAACUUAGUUAUAAGAUCUAAGGAAAUAAACACUUAAUCAAAAUUGUAUCUUUUUUUAUUCGUCUAGGAUGAACGUUUCGACCGAGUAGUCUUCUUUGUUAUCCUGAAGCUCACUUCUAUCGAGUGUGGACUUAAUUCGAAUUAGAAAAUUUUUCACAAAAAUUACCAGUGGAGUAUGUAAUGGCCCAAUUUGUCUGGAGCAGACAAAACAAAAAAUACUGACAAAAAAAAAAGUCAAUUAAAUAACAAUCCAGUUACAAAGAAAUACCCAAAUAUACAAGCCCAAUAACCUUAGACCCAAUCUGCUAAACCAAAACCCUAAAGCCCAAUAACUCGAAGCCCAAAGCCCACUAUCCUAAACACAUCAGGGAAACCCUAAUUUCUCCUUUGCCCUUCAGCGCCGCUGCCUUCGCCAUGUUAGUAGACACGUCGUCUAAGGGCCUAAUGCCUCCUCUGCCACCAUUGCACCGAAAUGGCAAGGGGCACAGUUCCUACCGUUGUUGAUUGAAGGCCUUUUGCCACCAUCGCAAAAGUUACCUACAAAAAGGAAAAACAGAGAAGCAGGGAAAAGAAAACUAAAAACAACAAUAAUAUAUCUGGUAAUAUAUUUGACUGUAAAAGACAAAACAAUCUUAUAACACAUUUAUCAGAAAUUGAAUAGAGAACAAAAAAAAAUAACAACAAAAAUAUUAAAAGGUAUAAUUCUUUUUGUUUAUAUUUUUAUUUUUUAGAAAACAGAAUAGACAGAUAGGGUUUUUACCCAACUGACGUUUCAUCUUCCGUCUUCGUGGGUGGGUGAAUACCCCAUCUCUAAGGAAAGAUGACCUUCUCUAACACGAAAGACCUCCGAAUCCAUCAGGAUUUUUUGGAGGCCUCGUCGAAGAGAAGGAAACAGAAAGGUUUAUUUCCACUUUUCUAGAGUUUCGAUUAGGUUUGUAGGGGUUUCGACUCCAAAUCAGUGUUUUUUAGGUUAAAAGGCUCGAAGGGAAGAGUUCUUGGGAACUCCGACCACCGGUGGCAACGGUCCCUAUCGCCAAUGACCAGUGGCCACGGCGGAGAUUCGUCGUCCCUAUGGCCAGCUUGAGGGAGGGUUUAAGAGAAAAACAUAAAGGGGAAAUGAGUUUUUUUUUAAAAAAAAUUGUUAAAAUGAUUUUUUUUCAAAUUUUUUAACUUUUAUAUGGAACUGGUACAAUGCCAUUUUGGCCUGGCUUCAAAAGACCCCAAAAUGACGUCGUUUUGAGCUUGACUUGAUGAUUCGACCCGAACCCCUCCAAGAUCUGCCUGUUUUUGAAAGGUUGGGAAAAUUGCUGCCUAGGCCCUUCCGUUUUUUUCCUUUUUUUUAACUUCGUCCAGUAUCAUUUUAUUUAUUUAUUUUAUUUUUACCCUUUUAAUUUUAUUUUUCUACAAAUCAGUCCCUUGACCCACUGUUGACCUACUAAGGGGAUGAAAAUAACCCUCUAAGUCCCUGUACUUUUCUAUCUUGUUUCAUUUUCUUGUAAUUUAUGCUUUAAAUUUUGUUAUAUUUUCAAUUUAGCCCUUUUAUUUAAUUCCAUUCCUUUACUUUAUGUUUUAAUUUUUAGUUCUUUUAAUCUUAUUAUUUACGCUUUAAUCCUAUUUAAAUUAUGCAAUAUUCAAUUUCAUCUUCGAAUUAUUAUUUUAUUUAUUUAUUUAUUCAUUUAUUUAUAUUAUUAUGGUAUUAAUCCUGUCAUAAUUAUUGAUAUUGUCAUUGGUUGAUGUCAUUUUUACUAUUAUAGUUGUAUUAUUGUUAUUUACUAGCAUGAUUACUAUUAUUUUACUAUAUUAUCAUUUUGUUCUUUUUACCCUCAUGGUUAUUUUGUUUUAUUUCUACCAUCACCAAAUUAUAUCUCAUGCUUAAAUAUAUUUGUUCAUUUUUGCACCAUAUUCAAAUAAAUUAACCGCGUAUCGUAUUAUAUGUUGUAGCCAUUCUCAUGUAACACGUAAUAAGUAAUUAGACCCUAGGCGAUGUUUGUUAUUUUGGAGAUUCGAGGAGUCAUGCCUCUAACUUACAGAGUAUGACUUCCUUCUAGAACCAAAAUAACUAAAUAUCCUUUAAAAUUAAAAACACAUAUGAUUUAGGUAAUAAUUAAACGAUGAGUAUGUUUAUUUUCGAGGAUUUGGGAUAUUGUGCGCUAACUUAUGGGACACGACCUUUCUUUCUCGAUUGACCCAAAGUAAGAGAAUCUUCUUCAUAAGAUCCAAUUUAGAUAGUAAUAUUUUAGAAACGUCACCAAAUAAAACCAUUUACAUGCAUAAAAGGGUCAUUUUUUUAUCCUUAUCAAAUUCUCAAUUUUGACACUAAGACAUCAAGUAAUCAACUAGGUACCUAUUUUGGGUGUUAUGAGGGUGUUAAUCAUUCCUCAUACGUAACUAACUCUUGAACCACAUCCUGGAUUUUGUAAACUGCAAAUUAUCAUUAUCAGUAAUUUUGACCUUUUAUUAAAAUGAUUAAACUUCAACGUGAUCUAAUCACACCUAAUAAAAAGGAUUGGUGAUGACUCCGUCUUCAUUUUAAAAUAGAAAGUCGAGUUCCAAAAAGGUUUCAAUAGGGUAAUUUUGCAAUCUCUCUAAGCUCAGAGACACAUCGUAAUGCCGAUAACUUCUCUGUGAAUAAACUGGAUCGUUUCGUCAACAACCUGAGUGUGAACAAUUUCAUUUUCUUCAAUGAUGAUGAAAUACCUCCAGGGGGUAUGGGAUCAACAAAAGCUCUCCACAUCACUACUUAUUGCAAGGGGUAUACAUUGCCUGAAGAUUCAUUGACAAUGGGUCUACCCUGAAUGUUUUACCUUUGUCCAUACUAAAUAGGCUACCAGUUGAUAGCUCUCACAUGAAGACAUUACAUAACAUAGUAAGGGCAUUUGAUGGCAUAGAAAGGAAAGUGAUGGGGAGGAUUGAAAUACCGCUCCUAAUAGGUCCAAAUACAUAUGAGGUGGAUUUUCUAGUAAUGGACAUGAAGCCAACCUAUAAUAGUUUAUUGGGAAGCCUUUGGAUUCAUUCAGUAGGAGCAGUGUCGUCAUCGUUGCAUCAAAAGUUGAAGUUGGUGAUAGAGGGUCAGUUGGUCACAAUAAAUGCCAAAGAGGACAUCAUUGCAUCAGUGACUAGUGACUUACCCUACAUAGAGGCAAAUGAAGAAGUUGUAGAAUGCUCCUUCUAAUCAUUGGAAUUCGUAAAUAUAACUUUUAUUGCUAAAGGAAGCAAGAUCCCCAUGCCAAAAGUAUCCAAAACCAUAAUGAUGGGUCUACAAUUGAUGGUCGAGAAGGGAGCUUUUCCAGAAAGAGGACUUGGAAAAUAUCUCUAAGGAAGGUUAAUGCACCAAUGCUGAUGGGUAAACAAGAUCGUUUUGGCUUAGGGUAUAAGCCAGAUACAAGAUAAAAGAUGAAGGAAUUGGAAAAGAAGCAGGAGAGGAGGAAGGCGCGACUGAGUGGGGAAGAUAUCAAGUGGGAAUUGAUUAUUUUUCCCCAUAUAUCUGAAACAUUUGUGUCAGGAGAGGUCAUCUACCCUUAACGAAGAAUGAUAGAGAAAGAGAGUUUGAUAAUUAAGAUUGUGGGAGGAAUCUUGGGAAUUUUAAACAUCAACGCCAUAUCUAAAAAAAGAAAUGAGGAAGCGAAUCUAUCAAGAAUUCGUCCCUAUACCCUCGAAAGUGCUCUGAACAACUGGACUGUAGAGGAGAUCCUUGUAGUUUUUAGGACUAUUUUAGAUUAAUGUUUAGAACAUACCUAUUGCUCUAAAGCUUGGGAGCAAUAAGGAUCCUUUUGUGAAAAGGCGCAUGUCCACUAUUUUUAUUUCUAUGGAAAAAAUGCAUAUUUAUGUACCACUUGACAAAUAUUCUACUAUUUUUUUCCCAUUUCAUCCAUACUCAUACCACACAAUUAAUCAUUCUUAAAUUUAUUUCUUUAUUGGGUCUCUUAUUAUUCUUAUAAUAGGUCUUCAAAUAUUAAUGAUAUGAACGAUGUUGCUGCUGACUCAGAGCCUCCUUUUGAGUUGGAUAUGUGCCAAGAAGAACCUCAGGACUUUGGAUAUGAUCAAGAUUGUAACUUGUCUCAUGAUCUACUAAGGAUGGUAGAGUAAGCUAGGAAAUAGAUAUUACCUUACAAAGAGUCAGUGGAAAUUUUAAGCUUAGAGGAUGAACAAGAAAAGAAAGAGGUGGAAAUCAAAACUUGCAUCACUGCAAAAACAAGGCGAAACUUCGUUGAGUUACUCCAAUAAUUCAAAGAUGUCUUCGCAUGGUCGUAUCAAGACAUGCCUAGUCUAAGUACUAAUGUCUUGGUACAUAGGCUUCCCAUAAUGGAAGAAUGCAAGCUGAUUCAGUAGAAACUUCAAAGGAUGAGUCCUGACGUACUGUUGAAAAUAAAAGAGGAAGUCAAGAAAUAGUUCGACGCUAGUUCUCUACAGGUUGUAAUUAUUAGGAAUGGAUAGCCAAUAUAGUCCUCAUCCCUAAGAAAGAUGGGAAAGUGCGAAUGUAUGUAGAAUAUAGGGAUUUCAACAAAGCCAGCUUGAAAGACAAUUUCUCAUUACCCCACAUUGAUACCCUAGUAGAUAACACAGUAAGACAUUCACUAUUCUCCUUCAUGGAUGGUUUCUUCAAAUAUAACCAGAUAAAGACGCAUCCUAAAGAUAUAGAGAAAACCAUAUUUGUAACAAUGUGGGGAACGUUUUGUUAUAAAGUGAUGUCUUUUGGACUGAAAAAUGCAGGAGCAACAUAUUAAAGAGCUAUGGUGACUUUGUUUCAUGAUAUGAUGCACAAAGAAUUGAGAUUUAUGUCGAUGAUAUGAUCAAAAAAUCCUAAAUAGAGAGAGUAUGUGUGAAAUUCUUGAGGGAACUGUUCCUGAUGUUGAGGAAAUUCUGGUUAAAGCUGAACCUAACAAAAUGCACUUUUGGGGCCACAUCGGGCAAAUUGCUGAGAUUUGUAGUCAGCGAGAAGGGAAUUGAGAUUGAUCCAGAUAAAUUCAAUGUCAUAUAGGAGUUACCACCAUCGUGUUCCCAAAAAGAAGUUUAGGGUUUCUUACGGAGGUUAAAUUACAUUGCUCGGUUCAUUUCACAACUGAUCGAGAAAUGCAACCCCAUAUUUCAUUUCCUUAAGAAGCAUAAUCCAGGUCUAUAGGAUGAUGAAUGCCACAAGACCUUCGACAAGGUAAAACAUUAUGUUCAACACCCCAGUGCUGAUGCCAUUUAGCAAAGAAAAACCAUUAAUACUAUACUUGGCAGUAUUUGGAAAUUUUAUGGUAUGCAUAUUAGGCCAACAUAAUGAGCUAGAGAGGAGAGAAAGAGCAAUCAAUUAACUCAGUAAUAAUUUUACUGAAUGUAAGAUAAGAUAUUCUUCAAUCGAGAAGCUAUGUUACACCUUAAUCUGGACCACCAUGACAUUAAGACAAUACAUGUUGUACAAUAUGACUUGGCUCAUCCAAAAAAUGGACCCUCUGAAUAUAUGAUAGAUUCAACCGCGUUGAAUGGAAGAAUGGCUCGAUGGCAAAUUCUGCUCUUUGAGUUCAACAUAAUUUAUGUAAACUAGAAGGCAAUAAAGGGAAGUGUGAUAGUGAAUUUCUUGGUUGGUAGAGCUUUAGAUGAUUACAAGCCUUUAAAUUUUGAUUUCCCAAAUGAAAAUCUUAUGUAUGUUGUAGCCACUAAAGAAUGUGCUACAAGAGAAUCUCUCUGGAAACUAAAUUUUGACGACACCUCAAACGCCAUGGGUAAUAGAGUUGAGGCAGUUUUGGUAUCUCCUCUCACCAGUAAAUUGGAUUUCGAUUGUACAAAUAACAUGGCAGAAUACGAAGCAUACAUCAUGGGUAGUAGUGCGGCUAUAGAAGGUAAGAUCGAAGUGUUGGAAGUAUAUGGAGAUUAUGCACUAGUAAUCUAUCAACUCAGAGGUGAAUAGGAGACAAGAGAUUCCAAGCUGAUUGAUUAUCGGAGGCUAGUUCUCAAUUAAUUAAAGAGUUUGAUGAUAUCACAUUUUAUUACCUCCCGUGAGAUGAAAACUAGAUAGCCGAUGCCUUGACUACCUUAGUCUCCAUGAUCAAAGUGAAUAAACAAUAUGACUUAAAACCUAUCUAGAUGAGCAUCUAUGAGCCCGACCUAUUUUUACAACAUCAAGGAAGAAGAAAGGGAUAAUCACCUUUGAGACCAUGAAACAUUGCAAUAUGUAAAGAACCGUAAGUACCCUGAGGAAGCAACCAAGAAUGGUAAAAGGACGUUAAGAAGGCUGUCUAAUAAGUAUGUCUUAGAUGAAUAGAUCCUAUACAAAAGAAGAAAAGAUCAGGUGUUACUAAGAUGUGUGGACACUAUUGAGGCCAAAAACAAUCCUAGAGGAAGUCCAUGAGGGCAUUUGCUGAACACACACCAAUAGUUUUACAAUGGCCAGACAAAUAAUGAGAUUCGAAUAUUAUUGGUCCUCCAUGGAAGGAGAUUGUAUCAAUUAUGCCAAAAAGGUGUCAUAAAUGCCAAAUUUAUGGGGACAAAAUUCAUAUGCCUCCUUUACCUCUUCAUGUUAUGACUUCUCCAUUGGCCUUUCUCUGUGUGGGGCAUGGAUGUCAUUAGGCAAAUCUUGUCAAAGGCUUCCAAUGGGCAUCUAUUCAUCUUUGUGGUCAUUGAUUACUUCACAAAAUGGGUAGAAGUUGCUUCUUAUGCUAAUGUCAUAAAAUCAAAAAUUAGAAAAUUCUUGAAAAAAAAGAUUAUAUGUUAGUAUGAAAUGCCAAAAAAGAUCAUAUCUGAAAAUGUAUUGAAUUUGAACAACAACAAGAUAGUAAAGGCCUAUAGUCAAUUCAAGAUCAAAAAUCACAACUCGACACCAUAUCGCCCAAAAAUGAAUGGUGCAGUGAAGGCAUCCAAUAAGAACAUGAAGAUGAUUGUGGGGAAAAGGAUAGAGACUUAUAAAUAUUGGCAUAAGAAAUUACCAUUUGCCCUCUAUGCUUAUCGAACGUUUGUUAGAACCUGCACUUGGGCAACACUUUUUUCUUUGGUUUUGGAAUGGAGACAAUUUUACCUAUUGAAGUCAAGAUUUCUUCACUCUAAAUUUUAUCAUAAUUGAAGUUAGAUGAAUCAAAAUGAAUCCAGUCUAGAUAUGAUCAGUUAAACAUGAUUGAAGAAAAGAGGAUGAGAGCUAUCCGCUAUGGUUAGAUGUACAAAAAACAAAUGAUGCGGGCUUAUGAUAAAAAGGUCUGCCCUAGAGAAUUCUGUGAGGGCAAUCUAGUUUUGAAAAGGAUACAAUAAGACUUUAGAGGAAAAUGGAUGCCGAAUUGGGAGUGGUAAAGAAAUCCUCUAGAAGAGCGUUACUUCUGCUGGAGAUGGAUGGCAAAGAUCUGCUCAAUCCCAUGAAUUUAGAUUUGGUCAAGAAAUAUUUCACCUAAAAAAAGGGAGAGGUCAAGGCGACAACCCACAGAACCUAAGGAGUUUUGAGUUUAAAAUGCAAAAAGUGCGGCUCAAUUUUAAGCCUAAGAAUGGGCAUGUAAUAGUCGUCUCUUCUCCAAUGUAACGAGAAAGAUGAACUUUACAUCUUGAGACAUCGACAAAGUACUCUAGAUCUCCUAAACACAUAUCAGGCUCAGAUUGAUCCUCAGCAAGUUUGUUUAGACAAAGUACAGUUAAUGGACUAACAAUGUUAUAAAUUAAAAUGAUUUUUGCAUAUCGCUCUGAAAAAUUUCUAAAUAGUACUGGGACCUGAAACAUGACCAUUAGUUAGAAAUAACCAAAUUUGAAAGUUGGAAAGGUCUUGGCAUGAAUAGUUCAGAUUGUGAUUACCUCUUUGGGUUUCCUGUUAAAGAUACCAGACCUAAACAAAAGGCAUGGUAACACAUCAGUGAUAGAACCUGGACGAACAACAAGCAAUGUCAACCUAAACACUAAAAAGGGGGACCAUUGUCAAAUGACAUUUUGCUUUCAGACAAAUAUCAUUCAUAAACAUCCAAUUAGAAACAUUUGAUUCAUUCCGAUCAUAAAAUUCUAAUAGUUUGGAAAAAAAAAUAUAGGCCUUUAAAAUAGAUUCUACAAGUUCUGUUCCCCAAAGGGCAACGUAAUGGAUCAGUGAAACGAAAAAUUCCAUAUCUUUGAAGUUGUAGCAAACUGAAUUGAAACUAUAGUAGCAAAUCUCAUCUCCACGAAGAUGAAAUGGGGCAAGAUGAAGCUACAAUCUCAAAUCUCGUAUCCCUGAAGAUACAGUGGAUUGGAUUCAAUUACAAUAGCAAAUCUUAUCUCCCUGAAGAUGCAGUGGAGCAAGAUAAGGCAACAACAUUGAAUCCUGUCUUCCUGAAGUUGCAGUGAAACAAAUAAAACAACAAUUCCAGCCCCUCUGAAGUUGCAGCAAGUUGGAAUGAAAUUACAACAACAAACCUUAUCUCUUUAAAGUUGCAAUGGAGCAGGAUAAAGCUGUGACACUAAAUCCUACCUUCCUAAAGUUGUAACGAAGUAGGUAUAGUGGAGUAGAGUAAUUAAUUAAUUGAAAGAGACAGUUACUUGAAAAAAAAAGCACCAGAGAAAUCGAGAUUCAGCGGGACCGGACAGAAUUGGUCCUCCUUUCAAGUCUUUUCUCCCUUUCCAUUACACGACAAUGAGCAAAGAGUGGCAGCUACAAUUGCCUAAUUAUGUCUGCUCCAGACAACAAAAAAUAGAAAAAGGCCAUUAAAUAACAGUCCAGUUACAAAGAAAUACCCAAAUAUAUAACCCUAGACCCAAUCUGCUAACCCAAAACCUUAAAACCCAAUAACCUGAAGCCCGAUAACCCUAGACCCAAUCUGCUAACACAAAACCUUAAAACCCAAUAACCUGAAGCCUAAAGGCCACUAUCCUAAACACAUUAGGGAAACCUUAAUUUCCCUAUUUUCCAUGUUAACAGGCAUACCGUCCAAGGGCCUGACGCCUUCUCUGCCACUAUUGCACCAAAAUGGGAAGGGGCACGACUCCCACCACCGUUGACCAAGGCCCCUUGCGACCAUCAUGAAAGUAUUAUAUCAUUAUUUUACUAUAUUAUCAUUUUGUUUUUUUUACCCUCAUAGUUAUUUUAUUUUAUUUCUGCCAUCACCACAUUAUAUCUCAUGCUUAAAUAUAUAUUUUCAUUUUCGCACCAUAUUCAAAUAAAUUAAUCGCAUAUCGUAUUAUAUGUUGUAUUCAUUCUCACGUAACACUUAAGAAGUAAUUAGACCCGAGGCGAUGUUCAUUAUUUUGGAGAUUCGAGGAGUCAUGCUCUAACUUACAGAGUAUGGCUUCCUUCUAAAACCAAAAUGACUAAAUAUCUUUUAAAAUUAAAAACACAUAUGAUUUAGGUAAUAAUUAAACGAUGAGUAUCUUUAAUUUUAGGGAUUUGGGAUGUCGUGCCCUAACUUACGAGACACAACCUUUCUUUCUUGAUUGACCCAAAAUAAGAGAGUCUUCUCCAUAAGAUCCAAUUUAGAUAGUAAUAUUUUAGUAACGUCACUAAAUAAAACCAUUUACAUGCAUAAAAUGGUUUUUUUUUAUCCUUUUCAAAUUCUCAAUUUCCAAUACUAAGACAUCAAGUAAUCAACUAGGUAUCAAUUUUGGGUGUUUUGAGGGAGUUAAUCCUUCCUCAUACGUAACCAACUCCCGAACCCACUUUCUGGAUUUUAUAAACUGAAAAUUUUCAUUUUUAGUAAUUUUAACCUUUUAUUAAAAUCAUUAAACUUUGAUAUGAUCCAAUCAUACCUAAUAAAAAAGAUUGGAGGCGACUCCGUCUUCAUUUUAAAAUAAAAGUCGAGUUCCAAAAGGUUUUGACAGGGUAAUUUUGUAAUUUCUCUAAACUUUUUUACCAAGUUCUAAAUAAAAAAAAUAUCUCUAGAAUUUUUUUAAAAUAAUUUUUUCAGAGAAUUUCUUUCUACAAUUUUCUUUUGAAUUCAAGUGUGUUUAAAAUAAUGACCUAAGGUUCUCUUUAUAUAAGGAGAGUUUAGAAAAUUCAACUAUGAUUAAACUUAAUCACUUUAAUAUUAAAUUAAUAUAAUACUUAUCAAGAUAAAUACUAGAUUAAAUUAAUAUUAAAUCUUAUUAAAUUAAUAGAACAUUUAUCUAUAAGAUAAACAUUAAAAUAAAGUUAAUAUUAAUAUACUCACUUUAAUAUUAAAUUAAUAAAAUACUAAUAAUAUAAGUACUAAAUUAAAUUUAAUAUAAAACAUAUUAAAAUAAUAUUAUUUUUGGAAUAGCUUAAUUUUUCCAUUGCUUAACCACUGAAGACCCACUGCUGCCGACCAUUUUCCGGCUACCGGAAUACCACCGCCGUAGUUGCCGACACCCUUAUAUGAUAUCUCUAAUUUGUUUUAGUUAAACUCGUCCACUCAAUACAAUCCUAUUUUAUCUCAUUUUCACCAUUGUGUCUUCUUAGUGAUUAAAAUGAUCAUUGUCAACAAAUGGUUGUGAUAAAUUGCGCGUUUGAGAACAAGUAACCCAUGACCACAUUCCAUAUUUAUCAAUCCACACAAUGGCAAUGAGAGGUUAUUGUUAACUCUUUUAUUGAGCUAUGAAUUCCACUAUUGCUAGUAAUGCCAUGUUAUACACUAGUCAUGUACCCAAAAUAUCAGCUAUCGACUUGAUCGUCUUUAGAGCAUAAACCUCUGCUUAUAUCAAAGCACAUGAGUUACAUAAGCAUAGUUAGUGACUAACUCAGAAUUUAGGUCAAUCACUCCAUUAAUGUGACAAGUGAAUUAAUUCACAAAUGAAUUCAAAUUUAACUCAUCUUGGGUCCAGUGCAAUACAUCAUUGUGCCAAUGAAUACAUUUAUAUCUUUACUCGUAGAUUUAACAGCUCCGGUAGCCAAGACUAGUUAUCUUCUCAAUUGGAAUUGUAGACGACAUAAUAAUCAUUCUCAGUAUUUUUAUCAAAUGAUUGCUUUGAUUCUUUUACGAGAUUAUGGACUCUUUUAGAUUAUCUACUGAACUAAGUUGUCUUUCUCACAAUGUAAACAUUCUUACAGUGCUGCUGAUCAUCAGUUUGAACUUAGACAAUAAAUGAGUUAAUAUUUUCUUGUCACAAUUUCGCUAUGCAUGCAAAAUAUUAAUGACAAAAAUACAAAAGGAAUAACAUUGAAAUGUGAAAUUCAUUUAUUCAUCUUUCAAAUAAAUAGAAAACAAUUACAAAAAUACAUCAGUCUACCCAUUGACGCCUCACAUAGACCCAAUCAUCGACUGUGAAUUUCAAGUUGAAAGAAAAUUCCAGCACAAAGGGUAUGGCUGCGGGUGUCGUAAAUAAGACAAGAAACUGAUUCCACCGUAGGAAACAAAUAAGGUCCUAAAUUUCGUGGCAAUCCUCAAAGGCUAAGUCAAAACCACAUUAAAAAAUGAACAAUCGACUUUGAAUAGAUUGAAAAUAUUCUUAAGCCUCUUCGAAAAUAGAUUUAUCGCUAUUGUAUCCUGACAAAGGGAUAAGCUCGAUUUGGGUACAAGUUUGUUUGGUGAUUGUUGGUGGCAUUUUAACAAAAAUCAUCUCUUUCUAUCACAACAACACAACACUAUAAUUCUAGUGUAACACCCCUUACUUGAGUUCAACGUUGAUACCCGGUACGAGGCAUUACCGUUCACAAAUCACAUACACAUGUACUAAGUCAGAUCAUACAAGCCCGUAAAAACUUAAAACAUUUUCAAACUUGUUUAAACUCCUCAAUAUGGGCCUAUGAGGCCUCAAACAUCUAUUGGAAGCCAUUCAGAACCAACUCGGGUCCUUAAACCGACUUUAUAAAAAUGACCAUUGAAACAGGGCACACGUCCGUGUAGAAGGGCAACACGCCCAUGUGGCCACUAUGACAUGGCCGUGCUGAUGGCCCGUGUGGUUCACACAGCCUAAGCACAAGAGGACACACCCAUGCCCCGAGCCCAUGCAAAUUAAAUUCUAAAUUUGAACCUACAGGGGUUUUAACAUGGCCUGACACAUGCCCUAGUCUAAGGCCCGUGUCCCUCACACGGCCAUGACACGCCCGUGUUCUAGCCCAUGUCUAAAAACCUUGACAGUUUGUUUCUAACAUCAGCAACUCUUUAAGGGUCACACGGCCAAGGCACACACCCGUGUGCUACACGCCCGUGUCUAUGGCCCGUGUCUCUCUCACGACCAUGACAUGCCCGUGUCUAAAAACCUUGACAUUCUGUUUCUGAUGUCAGCAACCCCUUAAGGGUCAUACGGGUAGACACAUGGGCGUGUGCUAGGCGGUGUCCUUCACACGGCUGAAAAACACGGCCAUGUCUCUGCCAAUGUGUUUACUACCAUGCAUACUAACUUAUCAAUUUAACAUGCAGGGGACACACGGCUGGAUAACACGCCCAUGGGGAUAACUAUGUGUCACACACGGCCUGGACACACGCUCGUAUGUUUCUGAUGUCAGCAACCCCUUAAGGGUCAUAAGGUUAUUUACCAAGCCUUUUUACCACCCUUACUUGCACUAACCUACAUAUCAUCUAACAUGACAAAUCCACACAACAAUACAAGAUCUAAUCAGCCAUUAUCCAAGGCUUUAUACAAAAUGAAGCGAUUCAUCCCAAGCCAACACAUUUGGCCAAUUAAACAUUGACACAAAACUCAAAAGUAUAAGCCCUAUACAUGCCAUAUUCAAAAUAAUAAAACUAACUAUACCAAGUGCUUCAGUUGAUAGUGUGAUCGAUGCCUCCAACGUCUAAUGAUCCUCGAGCUAAUUAGGUGGCACUAUAAGAAAAUGGAAAGGAGAGGGAGUAAGCAAAAAGCUUAGUAAAUUGUAUGCAAAAAAAUAUAUCAACAACUUUACCAUUCAUCAUCAUGCUCAUAAUACAAAAGUAGGCAUAAGCACAACUUACUCAUCACUAUCCAAUACAAUUCACAUAGCAUAUAUUGAGCUCACAUCUCAUAUAUUUCAAAUAGGUACCUGUACCACUCACAACAUGGUUAUGCUUUUCUCGUUUAACUUAAACUGUAACUCUUACCGUUGAACCAUUCUGAAUGCUAUUGGAUACUCACUAAGCCUCAAACAUAGGGUAUAACGCUGAUGCCAUGUCCAAAACAUGGUCUUACACUGGCUCAUCCGUCAAUUUGAUGCCAUGUCCCAGACAUGGUCUUACACUGCUAUUGAAAUCGAGGCUGAAGCCAUGCCUAGACAUGGUCAUACACUAGCUCUCACAUACCCGUGCCGAUGCCAUGUCCCAGACAUGGCCUUACACUGACACCUCUAUACGUGUCGACGCCAUGUCCCAGACAUGGUCUUACACUGACACAUCUCGUAGCCGAUGCGUGUCUCAGACAUGUCUUACAAUGGCUUACAAAUAACCCGAAUGUCAUGGCAUAAAUAUCUGAUUUAUUUCCUAAGGUUCAAACGGGAGUUCUACAUCUCAAUAUACAUCAUACGUAAUCAUUUCCACAAAAAAAAAAUUUAUGCUAUAUCAGUUCAAACACAUAUAAUAACAAUGUAGUUAUAUUAUUUACAUACAACUUACCUCGGUACUUAAAAUGUGGCGACUAGUCGAUUUAAUCUACUUGCUUGGCUUUUUUCGGUCCAGGUUCGAAUUUUGUAGUUCUUAAUCUAAAAUGAUUGAAAUUCAUUCAUUUCAUCAGCAUAUUAAUCUAGACACUUGAAAAUUCAUAAUUGGGCAAAAUAACCAUUUUGCCCCUAGACUUUUACAAAAAUGACCAUUUUACCCCUAGGUCUGAAAAUCGAUUUUUAUCAUAUUUUCUCAUUAAUCAAGCCUAGCCAAAUACUUUCUAUACUAGGAGCAUCCCACAAUUCUUAUUAUUUCACACAUUUAGCAACUAUUUUACAACUUAUGCAAAAUGGUCCUUAGUUAGGGUUUCCAUGAAAACUACUUCACAAAAGUUGUUUAUUUCACAACUAUGAUUCAUUUUCUUCCAUAAAAUUUCAAAAAACAACAUGAUCACUCUCAUGGGAAAACCCUAUACUUUCAAUCAUUUUUCAAAAUAGUCCCUUUAUUAGAAAGCUCAUGCGACAAGUAUUUUAAAAAUGUAAAAAUUUUCAAGAAAAGCCAUUAAAGUCACUUACUUGCAAGAGUAGAGAGUGGCUGAAAUUUUUGAAGCUCAAAAACCCUAACAAUGGCUGAGUUUUUGGUGGAGAAGGAGAUCGGGAAAAAGAUGAUAUCUUUUCUCUUUAUUUUAUUUCAUUUUGGUCAAAUAAAUUACCAAAUUUUCACCUAAUUUUGACUUUCUCUAUCUUUUGUCUCCUAUGGCCGGCCAUCACUUAUCCAAGGGUCUAUUUUCCUUUUAAAGACCCCCAAUUUUGGUUCUCUAGCUAUUUAACACCCUAGCUAUCAAAAUAGGACUUUUGCACUUUAUGCGAUUUAUUCCUUUUUCACACUUGGGCUCACAAUCACUAAAAUUAAUUCACCAAAAUUUUCAUACACUCAUAUAAUCAUGCCACAACACAUAAAAUAAUAUUAAAAAUAAUUUCUUCGAACUCGGAUUAGUGGUCCCAAAACCACAAUUUCGACUAGGCCCAAAAUCAGGCCGUUACAAUUCUCCCCCUUUAGGGGUUUUCGUCCCCGAAAAUCUUACCGAUGAAUAGAUUCGGGUAUUGGUCUCUCAUGGUCUCCUCAGGUUCCCAUGUGACUUCUUUGACUCCAUGUCUAUGCCAUAAUACUUUAACAAGUGCAAUACUCUUAUUCCUCAAUUAUUUUUCUCCCCGAGCCAAAAUCUUAACCGGCUCUUCGCUAUAAGUCAUGUCCGAGCUAAUCUCAACCUCUGUUGGUGAGAUCACAUGCGAGGGAUCUGAACGGUAGCGAUGUAACAUAGACACAUGGAAUACAUUGUGUAGCUUUUCUAACUCUGAUGGCAACGCUAAUCGGUAUGCUACCGGUCCAAUUCUCUCAAUCACCUCAUAAGCUAAUAAACCGUGGACUUAAUUUGCCUUUCCUUCCGAAUCGGAUAACCUUCUUCCACGGAGAUACUUUCAAAAACACUUUAUCCCCGACUUGAAACUCGAACUCUUUUCAUUUCAAAUCUGCGUAGGAUUUCUAUCUAUCUGAAGCGGCCUUCAAACUGUCGCGAAUCACUUUAACUUUCUCUUUGGUCUAUCUAACUAAGUCAACCCAGUGUAUUUGAUUCUCUCUAAGUUCGGUCCAAUACAAUGAUGUUCGACACCUACGCCUAUACAAAGCCUCAUAAGGCACCAUUUUUAGACUUGACUGAUAACUGUUGUUGCAGGCGAAUUCGACCAGCGGUAAAUUCUUUUCCCAACUGCCUUAGAACUCGAGAACACAACACCGCAACAUGUCUUCUAAUAUCUAAAUCACUCUUUUUGACUGACCGUCAGUUUGCGGGUGAAAAGCCGUGCUAAAAUUUAGUUUCGUUCCCAAUGCCUCUUGCAACUUUCUCCAAAACUACGAGGUAAUCCUCGGAUCUCUAUCCAAAAUAAACCUCGGAUCUCUAUAAAAAAUAAUCGAUAAGGGAACUCCAUGAAGUCUCACGAUCUCAGAAACAUAUAGAUCGGCCAAUUUCUCAAGGGAAUAGUCAGUACGCACUGGUAUAAAAUGUACCGACUUAGUAAGUCUAUCAACAACUACCCAAACUGAAUUCUUUUUCCUUGGUGUCAAAGGUAACCCUGACACAAAAUCCAUGGUUACUCAGUCCCAUUUCCACUCGGGAACCAUCACUGACUAGAGUAAACCUGAGGGUACUUGGUAUUUGACCUUCACUUGUUGACAAACUAAACACUUAGAAACAAAAUCAGAAAUGUCUCUUUUCAUCCCCAACCACCAGUACAUUUUCUUCAAGUCGUUAUACAUUUUUACACUACUCGCAUGGAUAGAUAAGUAACUAUUAUUUGCCUUUCGUAAAAUCCUCUGAAUAAGCUCAUUAUCCUUGGGUACACAAACUCUAUCUUGGAACAUCAAGCAUCUGUCGGUACUAAUCUGAAAUUGUAUUUCAACACCUGACUCACACUAAGUUCUCUUGGCUUGCAAUUCACCGUCGUUAUUCUGAGCUUCACAAAUUUCUUGGAGAAACGUCGGUCUAGCCUUUAACUCUUCUAGAACUAGCCAUCCUCUGACAAGGCCAAUUGGGCAUUCAUUGCUCUUAAAGCAAAUAAGGAUUUUCUACUCAAUGCAUUGGAGACCAUGUUCGCCUUUCCCGGCUAGUAGUCGAUAAUCAACUCAUAAUCCUUUAUUAACUCUAACUACCGCCGUUGCUGUAAAUUCAGCUCCUUUUGAGUCAUCAAAUACUUUAGACUCUUAUGUUCAGUAAAUACUCGGCAUCUCUCACCAUACAAAUGGUGCAUCCAAAUUUUCAAUGAAACACAAAGGUGGCCAACUCUAAAUCGUGUGUCGCAUAGUUUUUCUCGUGUGGUUUUAAUUGUCUCGAGUCUCAGGCUAUCACCUUUCCUUCUUGCAUGAGCACGCACCCUAACCCAUUCAAUGAUGCAUCACUAUUGUAAUAGCCCAAAAUUGGGUCUAGUUGGAACAGAGGUUUUGAGACCACAAAAUCUGAGAUAGAAAUAAUUAUUUUAUGAUUAUUUUGAGGUCUAUGAUAUGAUUUCAUGAUUGUGUGAAAAUUUCGUGAAGAAAUUCUAUGCAUAAAGUACUUAAUUUGAAGUUAGGGACUAAAUUGAAUAAGUUGCAAAACAUGCAUUCUAGAAGUUUCUAGUAUGAAAUUGCUUUGAAAUAUUAAUUAGGAGAUCUUAAAUAUAAAUUUGACCAAUUUCUAAGUGAUAGACAAAAAUUGGACAUGGAUGGAAUUUUUGAAAGUCUAGUAAGGAAGGGCAUUUUGGUCAUUUGGUAAUUAAAAGAAAUAAAAAGGGAAAAACAAAGUUUACAAGGAAUAGGCUCGAUUGCUAAUAUUUUGUAUCAAGGUAAGUUCGUAUGAUAAUAAUAAUGCAAUGUUAUGUUUGAAUUAUAUUUCUUACUAUUAUUGCAUAUAUUGUAUGAUUUAAUAUAUUGGAAAAGUUGAUGGAAUGGUGUUUAUGAUGUGGAAAUAUGACAUGAAAGAAUGUUACAUGAAAUGUAAGAAAAUGAUGAUACAUGACAAGUGAUAUAUGAAAUAUGUGAUUUAUGUUAUGUAAAUUCUUAAAAGCUGAUUUGCUAUUUGAGUUGUGUCUUAUUAUACUAUGAAUGGACAAUUGGUACUAUAGAUAGUGAGAUCGACACUUCGAGUAAGUUUGUAUAUAAAUAAUCUAUCGAUUCUUUUUAUGUUAAUAUAUUUUGAUAUCAUAUGAAAUGUGGCUGCCUAUCAAAUGGUUAUUUGAUGUAAAUUAUGAAUUUAAAUUGAUUACGGAUAAUUUAAUAAAAUGUUGAAAAGUGAGGAAUUUCCCGUUUGAACCUUCGGAAUAGAAACGAUACAAAUGAGCUAUUGCAAGGUCACGUGUGUAGUACUAACUGCAGGCUACUACGUGUACCAGAUUGUUGGUCGCAUGUGUAGUACUAAGUGCAGGCUACUAUGCGUACCUGAUAACUUCGAUCACGUGUGUAGUACUAAGUGCAGGCUACUACGUGUAUCAGAUGGUUAGGUCACGUGUGUAGCACUAAGUGCAGGCUACUACAUGUACCGGAUAAUUGGUCGCAUGUGUAGUACUAAGUGCAGGCUACUAUGCGUACCAGAUAGCUUCCGCUACAAGUGUGGAAAUGAGAAAAUGUGCAGGCAAUUGUGUAUCUGUUAUUAUUCCGAUGAGUUCAACGGGAAAUCGAUUAAAUGAAAAUACAUGUGAAAGUGAUUAUGUGAUGAACAAGUGCAAGUAUAUGUUUAUUUGAAUUUAUGAGCAAUAUGCUCGAUAUUUGAGUGAACCUCGGUAAAAUGGAAUGGAUUAAGUGAAUUGUGUAAAAGUGAACUUUAGUAGUAAAACAGUGUUGGACAUAAGUUGCGUGAUUUUAAAAGUUUCCCACAAAUCAUAGAAGUUGAAUAAAAAUGUGAAUGAUAUAUGAAAAUAAAGCUUAAUGAGUCUAUUUUCACAUAAAAGAAAUAGGGGAAGCAAAAGAAUUCUAUAUUGUGUGAUAUUUGAAUUCUUGUGAAACAGAGUCUCAAUGAAUUUGAGAUCCCCUGUUCUAACUUUAUAAAUUCACUAUAAAUUUUACAAAAAUUAUUAAGAGUCAUACCUUACAUUCAUGGAUCCCUUAUUGAGUCUAUUUUUAAGGGAAACAAACGGAAUGGUCGUUGGAAUUCUGUACAGGGAGAAAUUUAGUUCGUAGUGCACAGGGGUCAGAUUAGUCAUACCCUGAAACAGGGGAGACUUUAACUAAUAAACUGUACUAAAUGGCCCAACCAAUAAUUCUAGAAAACAAUUAGUAAGUAGAAAUAUGAGUCUAGCUUCAGGAAAAAUUUACGGAAUUGGAUUUUGAUUUUUUUACCUCGAGAUAUGAUUUUUUAUACACUGGGACUCCAGAAAACAGCCUGUCCUGAACAUGUGUAAUUGUACAAUUAUAGUGUUUUAUCUUGAAAAGCAUGGUAGUAAUUGCUUAUUAUUUUCAUAUGAACUUACUAAGCGUAAAGCUUACCCAUCCUCUCCAUUUCUUUAGUAUUGGCAGGUCGGCUCGGGGUUGGAGAUCGUCGGAGGCAAAAUCACACUAUCAAACUAUCAUUUUUGGGAAAAUUAAUUUAAAUAUUAGAAAUAUCAAGUGAGUGGCAUGUAUGAGAAGUUGGUUUGUGAUGUGUAAUUUUCAUUAUGAUUUUGACCAUACGUAUCAGUCUGCAUUGAGUUAUCGUAUAUGAUCAUGAGAUGUAGUUCUUAUCUAUUAUGGUUUAUAAGUUUAAUUAAUCAUGCCAUGUCCUAUGUUUUGAUGUGAUGAUAUAGUUAGCUUUGUUUGUUAUGCAUGUGUUCAAAAAGUUUUGAAUUAAAUGAAAUUUUAUGACCCGAUUUUCGUCUAUGUGUAUUGUUAAGUCUGGUAAUGCCUCGUACUCUGUUCUGGCCUUGGAUACGGGUAAGGGGUGUUACAUUUAGUGGUAUCAGAGCACGUUUAGUCGAUUCUCAGACUAACAUAGCAAGUGUGAGAGUUUAGUUAUACAUGCCACGAAUAUGUGAUAGUGUGAUGUCUCCCGACACUAAUGAGGACCAUUUUGUUUAAAAUGAAGUAUUCUUCAACCGAGCUACAUUUGACCAUUUAAUAGUAAUAUUGAAGUAUUUGAAUAAAGUGUAGCUAUGAUGUGUUAAACUCGGGAAGGUAUGAAUAAGAAUUCGUGAUAUAUGUAUAUGUGAUAAUAUGUGAGAUGAAAGUUUAUAUAGUGAUAUAUUUAUCCAUAUUUGUUUGGCCUACAUAUGUUGUUGCGUGCUUGACUAAAUUAAUUAGUAAAUGUGAUGACUAAAGUUAUUCAAAAUUCAUAGAAUGCACUUGUUUGAAAUGAGAUAAUUGGAAAUUUUAUGUAAGACAGAUAUGAAUAAUAAAUUGUUUGAAGUGGAUAGUAUGAUUAUAAUGACAUAUGUGGAUAAUGAAAAAAAUGGGUCAUAUAGAUAUAUGUCAGAAUCGAGUUAGAGACUGUACGACCUCACCCCCUUACCGAUGAGGUGUAUAUAACAAAAAUUCAUGAGAAUUAUGUUGACUAAGUUCCUAAGUGUGGAAUCAAAGAGUUCAGUGAUAAAAUAAUUAUAGAUAUGACCAGAGACUGAGAAUGGUUGACAAAUGAAGGACAAAGUUAGAGAAAUAUCAGAGUUGACUGAGUUAUCUUGGGAUUCAAAUUGAUGACAGAGUGUUUCUGAAAGUACUGUCUUGAAAACAAUUAGUUAGUAAUGCUAGAAAUUAUGAGAAAGAUACUAAACUUCACUCCGGUAAGAUUUUCGAGGACGAAAAUCUCUAAAGGGGGGAGAGUUGUAAUAGCCCAAAAUUGGGUCUAGUUGGAACAGAGGUUUUGGGACCACAAAAUCCGAGAUAGAAAUAAUUAUUUUAAGAUUAUUUUGAGGUCUAUGGUAUGAUUGCAUGAUAGUGUGAAAAUUUCGUGAAGAAAUUCUAUGCAUAAAGUGCUUAAUUUGAAGUUAGGGACUAAAUUGAAUAAGUUGCAAAACUUGCAUUCUAGAAGUUUGUAGUAUAAAAUUGCUUUGAAAUAUUAAUUAGGAGGUCUUAAAUAUAAAUUUGACCAAUUUCUAAGUGAUGGACAAAAAUUGGACAUGGAUGGAAUUUUUGAAAGUUUAGUAAGGAAGGGCAUUUUGGUCAUUUGGUAAUUAAAAGAAAUAAAAAGGGAAAAACAAAGUUUACAAGGAAUAGGCUCGAUUGCUAAUAUUUUGUAUCGAGGUAAGUUCGUAUGAUAAUAAUAAUGCAAUGUUAUGUUUGAAUUAUUUUUCUUACUAUUAUUGCAUAUAUUGUAUGAUUUAAUAUAUUGGAAAAGUUGAUGGAAUGGUGUUUAUGAUGUGGAAAUAUGACAUGAAAGAAUGUUACAUGAAAUGCAAGAAAAUGAUGAUACAUGACAAGUGAUAUAUGAAAUAUGUGAUUUAUGUUAUGUAAAUUCUUAAAAGCUGAUUUGCUAUUUGAGUUGUGUCUUAUUAUACUAUAAAUGGACAAUUGGUACUAUGGAUAGUGAGAUCGACACCUCGAGUAAGUUUGUAUAUACAUAAUCUAUCGAUUCUUUUUAUGUUAAUAUAUUUUGAUAUCAUAUGAAAUGUGGCUGCCUAUCAAAUGGUUAUUUGAUGUAAAUUAUGAAUUUAAAUUGAUUACGGACAAUUUAAUAAAAUGUUGAAAAGUGAGGAAUUUCCCGGUUGAACCUUUGGAAUAGAAACGAUACAAAUGAGCUAUUAUGAGGUCACGUGUGUAGUACUAAGUGCAGGCUACUACGUGUACCAGAUUGUUGGUCGCAUGUGUAGUACUAAGUGCAGGCUACUAUGCGUACCUGAUAACUUCGAUCACGUGUGUAGUACUAAGUGCAGGCUACUACGUGUAUCAGAUGGUUAGGUCACGUGUGUAGCACUAAGUGCAGGCUACUACAUGUACCGGAUAAUUGGUCGCAUGUGUAGUACUAAGUGCAGGCUACUAUGCGUACCAGAUAGCUUCCGCUACAAGUGUGGAAAUGAGAAAAUGUGCAGGCAAUUGUGUAUCUGUUAUUAUUCCGAUGAGUUCAACGGGUAAUCGAUUAAAUGAAAAUACAUGUGAAAGUGAUUAUGUAAUGAACAAGUGCAAGUAUAUGUUUAUUUGAAUUUAUGAGCAAUAUGCUCGAUAUUUGAGUGAACCUCGGUAAAAUGGAAUGGAUUAAGUGAAUUGUGUAAAAGUGAACUUUAGUAGUAAAACAGUGUAGGACAGCAGCAGUUGCGUGAUUUUAAAAAUUUACCAAAAAUCGUGGAAGUUGAAUAAAAAUUUGAAUGAUAUAUGAAAAUAAAGCUUAAUGAGUCUAUUUUCACAUAAAAGAAACAGGGGAAGCAAAAUAAUUGUAUAUUGUGUGAUAGUUGAAUUCUUGUGAAAUAGAGUCUGAAUGAAUUCGAGAUCCCCUAUUCUGAAUUUAGAAAUUCAACAUAAAUUUUACAAAAAUUAUUAAGAGUCAUACCUUACAUUCAUGGUUUCCUUAUUGAGUCUAUUUUUAAGGGAAACAAACGGCAUGGUCGUUGGAAUUUUGUACAGGGAGAGAUUUGGUUCGUAGUGCACAGGGGUCAAAUUAGUCAUACCCUGAAACAGGGGAGACUUUAACUAAUAAACUGUACUAAAUGGCCCAACCAAUAAUUCUAGAAAAACAUUAGUAAGUAUAAAUAUGAGUCUAGUUUCAGGAAAAAUUUACAUAAUUGAAUUUCGAGUUUUUUACCUCGAGAUAUGAUUUUUUAUACACUGGGACUCCAGAAAACAGCCUGUCCUGAACAUGUGUAAUUGUACAAUUAUAGUCUUUUAUCUUGAAAAGUAUGGUAGUAAUUGCUUAUUAUUUUCAUAUGAACUUACUAAGCGUAAAGCUUACCCAUCCUCUUCAUUUCUUUAGUAUUGGCAGGUUGGCUCGAGGUUGGAGAUCAUCGGAGGCAAAAUCACACUAUCAAACUAUCAUUUUUGGGAGAAUUAAUUUAAAUAUUAGAAAUAUCAAGUGAGUGGCAUGUAUAGGAAGUUGGUUUGUGAUGUGUAAUUUUCAUUAUGAUUUUGACCAUACGUAUCAGUCUGCAUUGAGUUAUCGUAUAUGAUCAUGAGAUGUAGUCCUUAUCUAUUAUGGUUUAUAAGUUUAAUUAAUCGUGCCAUGUCCUAUGUUUUGAUGUGAUGAUAUAGUUAGCUUUGUUUGUUAUGCAUGUGUUCGAAAAGUUUUGAAUUAAAUGAAAUUUUAUGACCUAGUUUUCUUCUAUGUGUAUUGUUAAGUCUGGUAAUGCCUCGUACUCUGUUCCGGCCUUGGAUACGGGUAAGGGGUGUUACAACUAUACACCACAAACUCUUUUCCCGACUCUGGUUGCACUAGAACUGGGGCUUCGGUCAACAAGGUCUAGAGUUUCUCAAAACUCUGUUGGCACUUCUCCGUCCAUUCAAACUCAACAUCCUUUUGUAACAACCUUGUCAUUGGAGUAGCUAUCACGGAGAAUCCAUUCAAAAAUCUUCUGUAGUACCCAGCUAAACCCAAAAAGCUUCGAACCUCUGACACAUUCCUCGGCGAUUUCCACUAAACAAUAGCCAAGAUCGUACUUGGGUUAACUCUAAUCCCAUCACCCAGCACAAUGUGUACUAGGAAUCCGACCUCUUUAAGCCAAAAUUUUCUCUUACUGAAUUUGGCGUAUAACUGCUUAUCUCUCAAGGUUUGUAAAAUCGUUCUCAAAUGCUCGGUGUGCUCACUCUCAUCACGCGAAUAAAUCAAUAUGUCAUCGAUAAAGAUGACUACGAAAUUAUCUAAAUACAGUUAGAAAAUAUGGUUCAUUAAGUCUAUAAAAACUACCAGGGCAUUUGUUAAGCCAAAGGGCAUGACGAAGAACUCAUAGUGGCUAUACCUUGUCCGAAAAGCAAUUUUCGGUACAUCUUGCUCCUUAACCCUUAACUAGUAGUAGCCUGACCUUAAGUCUAUCUUAGAAAACACGGUGGCUCCCUUCAAUUGAUCAAACAGAUCAUCGAUUCUUUGAAAGGGACAGUUAUUCUUCACAGUCAGCUUGUUGAGCUGUCUGUAAUCUAUACAUAACCUCAUCGACCCGUCUUUUUUCUUCACAAAAAGUACCGGAGCACCCCACGGGGAAAAACUCGGUCUUGCAAAACCCUUAUCAGUUAGUUCUUGCAACUGUACUUUCAACUCUUUUAAUUCCAUCGGAUCCAUCCUAUACGGAGCGAUCGAGAUAGGUGCAAUACUAGGGACCAACUCGAUACCAAACUCAACUUCUCUAGUUGGAGGCAAUCCAGACAACUCUUCCAAAAACACAUACAGAUACUCACAUACCACCAACAUUCUCUCAAUUUUCACUUUAGACGCUUGGGUAUUCAACACAAAUGCAAGGUAGGACUCAUACCUUUUUUCUCAAAUAUCUUUCCGCAGUCAUGGAUGAUAUUACUACAGGUGAGUCAUCUGAUUCCUCUGGUUCAAUCCGAAGAACAUUCCCAUCUUCACAUUUCAACUCAAUAGAUUUCCUUCCACAGUCCACUACAACUCUAUGAGAAGUUAACCAAUUCAUUCCAAGGAUUACAUCAAAUUCAUCAAACGGCAAUAACAUGAGAUCAGCCAGAAAACUAUGACCCUUAAUUGUCAAGGGACAAUUUCUACAUACUUGGUCAACUAACACAUGCUUGCCUAACGGGUUAGACACUUUUAGUACAAAUUCAGUAGGUUCAACUAACAUAUUCAUACUGGGUACUAAUUUCAUGCAGACAUAAGAAUGGGUAGACCCCAAAUCAAUUAAAGCAACAAUAGAAAUAUCAUGAAGAGAAAAAGUAUUCGUAAUCACAUCUGGUGAAAAUGCCUCUUCGCGAGCGCGAAGGGCAUAAGUCCUUGCAGGCGCUCGGCCCUUGGACCUCAUAGAUGUAUCUCUAGGAGCACCUCUACUACUAACCCCAUUGCCUGGGUUCUUUUGUGGUCUACCCCUCGAAAGAGUAUUACUUACUCUCUCAUCCUGCUUUUUCUCUUUCUCAUCUAAAUCGGGGCAGUUUCAAAUGAAGUGGUCUAGAGAUCCACAUUUGAAGCAACCUCUUUCAUCCCCUCAGAACUUGUUGAAAUAACACCUAUCAUACUGCGAACAAUCCGGCCUAUUUGGCCGAGUACUACCAACACUUGCGAUAGAAGUAGUUUGGGCUUUAGACGUCGUGUACUGCUUAUUCUUCUUUCUACCUGAGAACUCCAUUGAAACAUUCGAUCGGGUAGUGAAUUCCCUCGAUCUCUUAGAUGAGGAUUGAUGCGAUUUCCCCAUCUGUCUUUUCCUAGAGUUUCGGGACUCGAUGUCAGCUUUUCUUUUCUCUUUGGCCAAUUCCUCGGCCUUACAUGCUCUCUCCACGAGCACCACAAACUCCCUCAAUUCUAAUAUGCCAACUAGUAGACGGAUAUCUUCGUUCAGACCAUCUUCAAACCUCUUGCACAAGAUAGCUUCUGUAGAUACGCACUCCCGUGCAUAUUUGCUAAGUCUCACAAAAUUACGCUCGUACUCCGUCACCGUCAUACGGCCUUGCUUUAGCUUUAAAAAAGCUUUUCUUUUUUGGUCUGUAAACCUCUGGCUAAUGUACUUCUUCUGUAAAUCUUCCUGAAAGAAUUCCCAAGUUAUCCUUUCUCUUGGUACAAUGGACAUGAGAGUAUUCCACCAUUGGUAGGUAGAAUCUCGUAGGAGUGACACUGCGCACUUCAUGCACUCCUCAGGCAUGCAUGAUAGCUUAUCAAAUACCCUAAUAGUAUUUUCUAGCCAAAAAUCUGCUCUCUCCAGGUCAUCAUCAAUAUUCACCCGGGAUUCCUCGGCUCUUUACUUAUGAAUCUUGUCUACCGAAGGUUUUUCUCUCCUAACCGUGUCUACUCCUUAAGAAGUUACAGAGGCAUGCUGAAGAAUCAGAGGAGGUGGGGGAGGUGGAGUAUUCGGAUUCGCACAAAUGAACUCCGAAUACCAUGCAUCCAUCAUAUGGAGGUAAGCUUCUCUAGCUCCUCCGCCCUGACUCAUUGUCACGGGCCCACUACCUACAGGCGCGAUUCUUUCAACGGGAGCCAACGCAUUACUCUCCACAUCAUCUGCCGUAGCUACGUCAGAAUCCAUCUACUAUAUAAAUAAAAACAUAAUUUAUCUCGUUAGGAGUCGUCACACUAUCAAAAUACAAUUAUGGCAUGUAUAACUAAACUCGUACUCACACUAGGUUAGUCCUAGAACUGACUAAACUAUAGCUCUGAUACCACUAAAUGUAAUACCCCUUACCCGAGUUCGACGCUGAUAUCGGGUACGAGGCAUUACCAUUCACAAAUCACAGAUACAUUUACUAAGUCAGAUCAUACGAGCCCAAUAAAAUUUAAAACUUUUUCGAACUUGUUUAAACUCCUCAAUAUGGGCCUACGAGGCCUCAAACAUCUAUUGGAAGCCAUUCAGAACCAACUAGGGUCCUUAAACUGACGUUAUAAAAAUGACUCUUGAAACAGGGCACACGCCCGUGUGGAAGGGCAACACGCCCGUGUGGCCACUAUGACAUGGUCGUGCUGAUAACCCGUGCGGUUCACACAGCCUAAGUAAAAGGGGACACCGCCCGUGCCCUGAGCCCGUGUGAAUUAAAUUCUAAAUUCAAGCCUAUAGGAUUUUCACACGGCCUGACUUACACCCAUGUCUAUGGCCCAUGUCUCUCACACGACCAUGGCAUGCCCGUGUUCUAGCCCGUGUCUAAAAACCUUGACAUUCUUUUUUUGAUGUCAGCAACCCCUUAAGGGUCACACGGUCAAGGCACAUGCCCAUGUGCUAGGCCGUACCCAUCACACGGUUGAGAAACACGGUCGUGUCUCUGCCCAUGUGUUUACUAUCAUGCUUACUGACUUGUCAAUUUAACGUGCAGGGGACACACAACCGGAUAACACGCCCAUAGGGCUGACUGUGUGUCACACACGGCCUAGACACAUGCCCGUGUGAACAAAAUAAGGUUAUUUACCAAGCUUUUUUACCACCCUUACUUGUACUAACCUACAUAUCAUCUAACAUGACAAAUCCACACAACAAUACAAGACCUAAUCAGCCACACGAGACAUUAUCUCAUUCAUGAAAAUAUCAUCAUUUGCAUCUAUCAAUAAUUAACCUUAGCCACUAUCCAAAGCUUUAUACAAAAUGAAGGGAUUCAUCCCAAGCCAACACAUUUGGCCAAAUAAACAUUGACACAAAACUCAAAAGUAUAAGCCCUAUACAUGCCAUAUUCAAAAUAAUAAAACUAACUAUACCAAGUGCUUCAGUUGAUAGUGUGAUCGAUGCCUCCGACAUCUGAUGAUCCUCGAGCUAAUUAGGCGACAGUAUAAGAAAAUGGAAAGGAGAGGGAGUAAGCAUAAAGCUUAGUAAGUUGCAUGCAAAUAAAUAUAACUACAACUUUACCAUUCAUCAUCAUACUCAUAAUACAAAAGUAGGCAUAAGCACAACUUACUUAUCACUAUCCAAUGAAAUUCACAUAGCAUAUAUUAAGCUCACAUCUUAUACAUUUCAAAUAGGUACCUAUACCACUCACAACAUGGUUAUGCUUUUCUCGUUUAACUUAAACUGUAACUCUCACCGUUGAACCAUUCUGAAUGCUAUCGGAUAUUGAUUAAGCCUCAAACAUAUGGUAUAAUACCGAUGCCAUAUCCCAGACAUAGUCUUACACUGGCUCAUCCAUCAAGUUGAUGCCCUGUUCCAAACAUUGUCUUACACUGACUAUCAAAAUUGAGGCCGAUGCCAUGUCCCAGACAUGGUCUUACACUAACACCUCUAUACAUGCGAUGCCAUGUCCCAGACAUGGUCUUACACUGACACAUCUCGAGGCCAAUGCAUGUCCUAGACAUGUCUUACACUUCCUUACAAAUAACCCGAAUGUCAUGGCAUGAAUAUCUGAUUUAUUUCCUAAGGUUUAAACAGGAGUUUUACUAUCUCAAUAUACAUCAUACGUAAUCAUUUCCACAAACAAGCAAUUUAUUCUACAUCAAUUAAAACACAUAUAAUAACAAUGUAGUUGUAUUAUUUACAUACAACUUACCUCGGUACUCAAAAUGUGGCGACUAGUUGAUUUAAUCUAUUUACUUGGACUUUUCCCGGUCUAGGUUCGGAUUUUGUAAUUCUUGAUCUAAAAUUAUAGAAAUUCAUUCAUUUCAUCAGCAUAUUAAUCAAGACACUCAAAAAUUCAUAAUUGGGCAAAAUGACCGUUUUGCCCCUAGACUUUUCAUAAAAUGACCAUUUUACCCCUUGGUCUAAAAAUUGAUUUUUAUCAUAUUUUCUCAUUAAUCAAGCCUAGCCAAAUACUUUUAAUACUUGGAGCAGCCCACAAUUCUCAUUAUUUCACACAUUUAGCAACUAUUUUACGACUUAUGCAAAAUGGUCAUUAGUUAGGGUUUCCAAGAAAACUACUUCACAAAAGUUGUUUAUUUCACAACCAUGAUUCAUUUUCUUCCAUAAAAUUUCAGAAAACAACAUGAACACUCUCAUGGUAAAACCCUAUACUUUCAACCAUUUUGCAGAAUAGUCCUAUUAUUAGAAAGCUCAUGCUACAAUGAUUCUAAAAAUGUAAAAAUUUUCAAGAAAAGCCAUUAAAGUCACUUACUUGCAAGAGUAGAGAGGUUAAAAUUUUUGAAGCUCAAAAACCCCUACAAUGGCUAAGUUUUCGGUGGAGAAGGAGAUAGGGAAAAAUAUGAUAUCUUUUCUCUUUGUUUUAUUUUAUUUUUGUCAAAUAAAUUACCAAAUUUCCACUUAAUUUUGACUUUCUCUAAAAUUAAUUCACCAAAAUUUUCAUACUCUCAUAUAAUCAUGCCGCAACACAUAAAAUAAUAUUAAAAAUAAUUUCUCUGACCUCGAAUUAGUGGUCCCGGAACCACAGUUUCGACUGGGCCCAAAAUCGGGUCGUUACAUCUAAGCCACUAACCUACAAUCAACAACAAUAACACAAGUAACAAAAAUUAAAACUAACAAUAAUAAUCAAUAAAAAUCCAAAGAUAAUAAAAUAAAAGGAAGUCUAAACCAUAAGGAAUCCAUGUUGGCAUCAUGGGAUGAGUCGAUAAAGUGUUACUCCAAUGCAAGGAGUAGCGAACCUAAAAAAAAAGACAAAAGAAAGCUAAAAGGAAAAAAAAGUGUAAAGAGAUGGAAGGGGAGUUAAAUGAAAAUAUGAGAGGAAAGAUGAAGAGAGAGGAAGAAUUAGGGCAACUAGGGCUUAGAAUGAAUGAUUUGGGGAUUUUGGGGUGUUUUAAGGGUUAAACCCUGAAAAACACACGAAUCAUGAUACCCAAACUUGUUUCUGGCGUAACCCGAUUUGGAUAUCACGAUAUCUUGAAAAAUUUUUGACCCACAUGUUGACUCUUUUGGUGAUAUCACAAUAUAUAGGGUUGGAUAUCGUGAUACUACUGUGUUGCCCACAAAUUUUUAUUUUUUGAAAACUUAAAGGAAAUCAUGAUAUCAAUGUUGGGUAUUGCCAUAUCCACAAGGUUUUUGGCCCCUCUGUUCAAACUGUCAAAGGUAUCCCGAUAUCCCCUCUCAGAUAUCGCGAUAUCAUUGAAUGAAGCCUAAAAAGUUUUCAAUAAAUUUAUCUUUUACCCCCAAACAUGCAAAAUUAACUCUACAAGUUUAAAUUUUAAAGGUGUGCGAAUGUAAACCUAAUCUAAACGAGAAAAAAAAUUAAGUCCAUGCUCAAGAAUUUAUAUAUGCCAAUUCAGAAAGUUAAAAAUUCAUCUUAGGGCAAUAAGUUACUCUCAUGUGAUGGUGUUCACACAAGCUUUUGAGCACUAGCAUGCGUCUCAUUCUCUUAAACCCAACAAGUUGCAUCGACCACAUCGUUACGACACCUCUUUUCUUCACUUGAAUGGCUCACAUCCUUGCUUGGGAACCUGCAAACACACACCACUUGAAACAUCUUCCCUCAUUAAAAGCAUAAUCAUACAACACACUAAUAGAUUGACAUUGACCUGUAUAAAAGGAAGCCUCCCUAAGCUUAGGGUCGAGGUCAGCACACCUAAAGAUUUUUACCUCCCUACCUACUUCCACUGUCAAUUCUCUCUUGCCCACAUCUAUCGUGGCCUUAGAAGUGGUUAGGAAUGUUAUCCCUAAGAGAAUCAGGAUUUCUAAAUCAUCCUCAAAAUCUAAGAGAAUAAAGUUUAUGGGAAAUAUAAAUCGUCGAACCCUUACCAAAACAUCCUCUAAGACUCCUUUUGGGUGAACUAAGGACUGGUUGAUAAGUUGAAGGGUCACCGUAGUCUCCUUAUGGUCACCUAAGCCUAACUUAUGAUAAAUAGAUAAAUGCAUAAGGUUAAUGAUUGCUCCUAAGUCGUAAAAGGGCUCUUCCAAAGUUAACUCCACCUAUUUCUAUGGGAAUCGUGAAACUACUGAGAUCAUUAAGUGUAGGGGACACCUUAUGAUAAACCGUAAUAUAUACAUAUUUUUACCUCAUGCUUGGCAUAUUUAUGAAUUAUUUUUCCUUGGUUUUAGUGAAAUUGAUGCUCCUAAUCCUUUAAUUUCAUGUUUUAUACUUAGGAGAGCUUAGGAUAGCAAAAAGAGAGAGAAACGGGCUAAAAAUGGACAAAUUGGGCCUAAAUUAGUAUUUCACAUGAUAAACCGUAAUUUAUGCAUAUUUCUGUCCCAUGCUUAGACAUUUUAUAGAUGAUUUUUCCUUAAAAUUAGUGAAUUUGAUGCUCCUAAUGCCUUAAUUUCAUGUUUUAUACUUAGGUGAGCAUAGGAGAGUGAAAGGAACGAGAAACGGGCAAAAAACGGAAAAAAUGGGCCAACGUACGAAAUCAACACAGCCUGGACUUCCUCACACGGGCAAACCACACGGCCAUGUCAAUUUGGCAGAAUCGAAGCACAACGCACACGGGCAUGUCCUUGCCAAGCCCAAGUUUAGUCCAAUUCAGAAAAAGCCAAUUUUGAGGGUUCUUAGGCAAUCCAAAACCUAUAAAUACACCCUAGAGGAGGAGGAAAGAGGACACACAGAGAGGAAAGCAGGGAACUGCUCAAGGAAAGCCAAUUGAUCCAUCUCAAAAGCCAGAUUCAUUAUUAAGACUGAAGAUCUCCCCUCAAUUUCCCUUCAGGAGUUUUGGGUUUUUCUUUAUGUUUUGUAUUCAUUAUUUUUCUGAGAUGUUUACCAUUUUAGUUAUGAACUAAAACCCCUAAAUACCUAAGGGGAAUGAAACUUAAGAUAGAUCUUGUUAUUAUUAUCUGAAUUGUAUGAUAAAUAUUUGUCUUGUUCUUAAUUAUGUCUCCUUAAUUCUUGUUUUGAUUCAAGUUAAGCUCUUAUUCAGAGGAGGAAUAGACCCUGUCUAAAAGUACAUUUGUCAUAAUUAAGCAGAGUUGGUUGCUCGCCUAGAGAUAGGGUGACAAGAUUUUGCUAGAUUAGGGUGACACCUAAUAAGGGGAUCCAUAGAUCGAGUUAAUGCAACCCUAGAGAGUUAAUUAGAAAGAGAUUUCAAUUAUUCAACCUAGGGUUAGACGUUGUUAGUCUCGAGAGAGAUAAUAAUAUAACUUAGGGAUUUCUACGGAUCAAGUCAAGUGAAUAAAUCAUCCGAUUCAGAGUCAAAUAACAAGUGAAGUCUAGGUAGAUUUUUCCUUAGGUAUUGUCUCAAUCAAUCGAGUUUUCCACAAGUAAUUCCCCAAUUCUAUUUUUUGUGAAUUCUUAGUUUAGUUAAUUAUCUAGUUAAAACAAAUCCCAUUAUUCUUAGGCUAGAUAAUAAAAAGAUAGUCAUUACAAGUACUUUUAGUUCCUUUGGGUUUGACAAUCCAGUCUUGCUAAAGCUAUACUACUGUACGAUAGGUACACUUUCCUUCAUCGUGAUAAUAGUUACUUUCAAGAAUGAUUCAUUAAAAAAAUUUAAAACCUAUCACGAAUAUCAUGUAUCAUCAUACGGCCUAGGCACUUCCACACGGGUGAUCCACAUGUCCGUGUGUGACACACGGGUAAACCACACAUCUGUGUGUCAUGGCCGUGUCAACAUUAAUCCAAGUCAGAAUUGCACACGGCUUGAGCACCUUCAUACGGGCGUGGUACACUACCGUGUCCCUGUCGAGCCCAAGUCUAGUCCUACUCGAAAAAGGCUACUUUUGGGCAUUAAAAAUUUUAUAUAAACACCCUAGAAGAGGAUUAGAGGGGACACGAAGAGAGGAAGACUGAAAAUACUCAAGGACAGCCAUCAAAUUCACCUCAGAAGCAGGAUCUACAUCAAGACUGAAUAUUUCCAUCCAAUUUCCUAGAAGUUCUUUGGGUUUCUUUAUGUUUUGUUGUUUUCCAAACUUCGAGAUGUUUUCUAUUAUUAUUAUGAACUAAACUCCCUAAAUACCUAGGGGAGAUGAAACCUAAGAUGGAUCUUAUUACUGUUUGGAUUAUAUGAUAAAUACUUGUUUUUAUUCUUAAUUUUAAAUUCUGAUUCUUGCUUUAAUAUUCUAGGAUAUUAGUUCAAGUUUUUGAUGUGCUUAUUCAGUGGAGCAAAAGUUCCUGUUUAAGAGUAGAUCAUUCAUAAUUAAGCGGAGUUACAUGCAAUCCUAGAGAUAGGAUGACAUAAAUUUGCCAGAUUAGAGUCAAAUCUAAUAAGGGAAUCCAUAGAUCGAGUUAAUGUGACAAUAGGGGUUUUAAUUAGAAAGAGAUUUCAAUUAAUCAACCUAGAGUCAGUUGUUCUUAAUCUCGAAAGAGAUAUUAACAUAAAUCAGGGAUUUCUACGGAUUAAGUCAAGUGAAUAAAUCGUCUAAUUUAGAAGUAAUAAGUGAAGUCUAGGUGGAUUUUUCCUUAGGUAUUGACUUCUCCAUCAGUUUUCCAAAAGUGUUUCCCAAUUUUAAUCUCUGUUGCAAGCUUAGUUAAUUAGAUAAAUAGUUUUAGGUUAAAACAUUCCUUUAAUUAUUAAGCUAGAUAAUAAAAAGAUAGUAAUUGCUAGUACUUUUAGUCCUUGUGGAUACGAUAUUUCCGGUCUCACCAUAACUAUACUACUGUUUGAUAGGUGUGCUUGCCUUAGUCGAAUUUUGUUAGUUAGUUUCAUGACCAUCAAGUUUUUUGCGUUGUUGUCGGGGACUAAGAUAUUAGGAACACUUAAUUUUUAUUACUUUAGCCAUUUUUAUUUUAUUGCAAUUGAAUUUUGUUUUUAUUUACUAAAUUUUCUUUUCUUUACUACUGGCAGGUUUUUGACAGUUUAUUACUAGAAGAAACCUGUCAUGACCUUUGCUUAGGAUAGUGAAAUUGAGAGCAUAGCUUGCAGAAAUGAAGAAAAAUAAGGAAAAGCUUACAAUACAUAGAGGAAGGGCACGAGGACGACACCAAUAAUACCAAGGAGAUAGCUGAAAAUAAAAAUAAUCCGCUACCUCUUGUGGUUGCUGCAAAUCCAGUAGAUCAGAAUCCUGCUCCUCGUACUAUGUAUGAUUAUGCUAAACCUACUUUAACUGGAACUGAAUCGAGUCUAGUUAGACCUACUGUUGCUACAAAUAAUUUUGAGCUGAAACCUAACACGAUUCAAAUGAUACAACAGUUUGUUCAGUUUGAUGGUUUACAGGACGAGGACCCAAACACUCAUUUAGCAAAUUUUCUGGAAUUCCGUGACACCUUUAGAUCAAUGGCAUUUCUGACGAUGCCAUUCACCUUCGGUUGUUUCCAUUCUCAUUGAGGAAUAAGGCUAAACAGUGGUUGAACUUGUUACCGCGAGGGUCAACCACCACUUGGGAAAAAAUGACCAAAAAUUUUUUGCUUAAAUAUUUUCCGCCAGCUAAAACGGCUAAAUUAAGGAAUAAUAUCUCUUCUUUUUAUGCAGAUGGAUCUAGAAACUCUUUAUGAUGCAUGGGAGAGAUACAAGGACUUAUUAAGAAGGUGUCCUCACCAUGGGUUACCUCUAUGGCUCCAGGUUUAGACUUUUUACAACAGUGUGAACCCCUCAACGAGACAACUUAUUGAUCCAGCCACCGAUGGAACUUUAAAUAACAAAACACCUGAAGAGGCUUAUGAAUUUAUUGAAGAGAUGUCACUGAAUAACUAUCAGUGGCAAGUCAUGCGAACAAAGCCGACAAAAGCAGCUGGUGUUUUCAACCUCAACACGGUCACUAUGCUAUCCAACCAGGUAGAACUUUUAAAUAAAAAGAUUGAUGGUCUGCAUGGUUCUACUCAGGUACAUCCAGUAAUGAGGUGUGAUUCAAAUGGAGGAGGAAUGCACAAUACAGAUUAUCCAUCCGUCAACUCUAGCACCGAGGAAGAACAAGUCCACUAUAUGGGUAAUAAUUCUAGACCUCAAAAUAACUCGUAUAGUAACACUUAUAAUGCAGGUUGGAGGAACCAGCCCAAUUUCUCAUGAGGUGGUCUAGGAAAUCAAAGACCACAACAUCCUCUAGAUUUUCAACAACCACAUUACCAAUAAGAUAAGAAAUCGAACCUUGAAGAUAUGCUUAUAAAAUUCAUCUCGGUGUCAGAAACUCAUUUUCAGAAUACCUAAACAGCACUUAAGAAUCAACAAGAGUAAAUUCCAGCUUAAGGCGUCCGCAACCACAUUAGCCUUUCCCGGGUGGUAAUCAAUGACAAGCUCGUAAUCUUUCAACAACUCAAGCCAAUGUCUUUGUUGCAGAUUUAAGUCUCUUUGAGUCAUCAAAUAUUUGAGACUUUUGUGAUCCGAAAAUACAUGGCACUUUUCACCAAAUAAGUAAUGUCGCCAUAUUUUUAAAGCAAAUACAAUGGCAGCUAGUUCAAGAUCAUGGGUAGAUAAUUUUUCUCAUGUGGCUUUAAUUGUCUCGACGCAUAGGCCACCACUCGACCUUCUUGCAUCAAUACGCAACCCAACCCAAGUAGGGAUGCGCCACUAUAAAUGACAAACUCUUUGCCAGAUUCGGGUUGCACUAAAAUUGGAGCUUCAGUCAAAUAAGUUUUUAGUUGAUCAAAACUUUUCUGACAUUUCUCCGUCCAUUCGAACUUAACAUCCUUUUGAAGUAGCUUCGUCAUUGGUGUGGCUAUCAUCGAGAAACCUUUGACAAAUCAUCGGUAAUAACCGGCGAGCCCUAGGAAGCUCCGAACUUCAGUAAUAUUUCUUGGAGGCUUCCAGUUAAGUAUGGCUGAAAUUUUGCUCGGGUCAACUCGAAUACCCGAUGCUGAUACCACAUGACCCAAGAAGCUAACCUCUCUUAACCAGAACUCACACUUACUGAACUUAGCAUAUAACUGCUUAUCCCGCAAAAUUUGCAACACUAGUCUCAGGUGCUCAGCAUGUUCGGUCUCAUCUCUUGAAUCGACCAAGAUGUCAUCAAAGAACACAACUACGAACCGAUCCAAAUAUGGUCUGAAGAUCCGAUUCAUCAAAUCCAUAAAUACCGCAGGGGCAUUAGUGAGCCCAAACGGCAUCACUAAGAAUUCGUAGUGACCAUAUCUCGUUCUGAAGGCAGUUUUGGGUAUGUCCGAAUCUCGAAUUCGCAACUGAUAAUAGCCCGAUCUCAAAUCUAUUUUUGAGAACACUGAGGCUCCUUUCAGUUGGUCGAACAAAUCAUCGAUACGCGGUAACAGAUAUUUGUUCUUUAUCGUCACUUUAUUCAGUUGACGAUAGUCAAUGCACAACCUCAUGGUUCCGUCCUUCUUUUUCACGAACAAUACUGGUGCACCCCAAGGUGAGAAACUUGGUCGAGCAAAACCUCUAUCCGUCAAUUCUUGCAACUGAGCUUUCAACUCUUUUAACUCGGUUGGUGCCAUACGAUACGGAGCUAUCGAAAUCGGCGUAGUCCCAGGUACAAGCUCAAUACCAAACUCUAUCUCCCGAACAGGUGGUAAACCCGGUAAUUCUUCAGGAAAAACAUCCGGGUAUUCACAAACCAUCGGCACAGAUUCGGGUUUCUUUUCUAAUUCUUUGUCAUCAAGUACAUACGCAAGGUAUGCUUCGCACCCUUUUCUUACAUAUUUCUGGGCCAACAUUGAGGAUAUUACAGCUGGAAACCCCUUUAAGUCCGUAGACUCAAAUCGGAUCAUCUCGUUAUUUGCGCACCUCAAAUCAAUAGUCUUGCUUUUGCAAUUCACAACCGCAUCAUGCGCGGUCAACCAAUCCAAACCAAGAAUAACAUCAAAUUCAUUAAACGGCAAAAGCAUCAAGUCCGCCGGAAAACAGGAACCUCGAAUUACUAGGGGACAUUUCUUACACACUUUGUCAACAAGCACGUAACGACCCAAGGGAUUUGACACCCGAAUUACGAACUCAGUAGACUCAAUAGGUAAAGUCUUACUGGAUGCUAAGGUUUCACAUAUGUAAGAAUGAGUAGAACCGGGGUCAAUCAAAGCAAUUACAUUAGUAUCAAAGAGAGUAAAAGUACCGGUAAUAACAUCAGGCGAAGAAGCAUCCUCGCGGGCACGUAUAGCAUAAGCUCUAGCAGGCGCACGAGCCUCGGAUCUGGUCGUAGCAUCUCUAGAUCCUCUCUGACCACCACUAGCAUUGCCCGUAUUUCCAGAUGGUCUACCUCGAGCAGUGGUAGCACCCGGUUUCCUACUCUGAUUUACAUUCUGUUCAGACAACCUCGGGCAAUCUUUAAUGAAGUGGUCAACUGAUCUGCACUUGUAACAGGAGCGGUCAGGGAAUCUACAACUCCCCGAAUGCCAUUUACCGCAAUAUCGACAUUUCGUUCUGUCUCGACGUUCAUUCCGAACACUGGCGACCGAAGUGCCUCGUGUACCCACAAGGGGUCGAUCACAAUCUCGUCUAAAAAGGCCCGAAGUGCCUCUCGACCAGCCCACAUCAUCUCGAAAUUUCUUCGAUGCCUGUUGAAGAGACUUUCCCAAAGAUCUUUUACGAAACUCUCCAGUUCCCACAUCAACUUUUUGUUUUUCUUUUCUAAGCUCUUCGGCUUUACAAGCUCGCUCGACAAGUACUACGAACUCUCGUAUUUCAAGAAUGCCAACGAACAUUUUUAUAUCUUCAUUCAGCCCAUCCUCGAAGCGUCUACACAUGAUAGCCUCGGACGAAACACAUUCCCGAGCGUAUCUACUAAGUCUAACAAAUUUUCGCUCGUAAUCAGUAACCGACAUGGAACCUUGCUUAAGCUCAAGAAAUUCCUUCCGUUUUUGAUCAACAAAUCUCUGACUGAUAUACUUUUUCCGAAACUCAGUUUGGAGAAACUCCCAAGUUACUUGCUCUCGGGGCACAAUAGAAGUCAGAGUACUCCACCAAUAGUAGGCAGAAUCACGCAGCAAGGAGAUAGUACACUUUAAGCAUUCAUCGGGUGUACAAGAUAGCCCAUCGAGUACCCGGAUAGUGUUGUCCAACUAAAAUUCAGCUUGUUCGGCAUCGUCGCUAUCCGUAGCUUUAAAUUCGGUAGCCCUAUGUUUUCAGAUUCUGUCAACUGGAGGCUUAUUUGACCUUAUUUGGUCAGUUACCGGAGGUAUUGUAGGUGCGGGGGUGGUAUUAGUCGGGAAUGGAGGUUGUGGAACAGCCGUAUUAGUUCGAAUGUAUUGGUUGAACCAAUCAUUCGUCACGCUAUAGAAAGCUUGUCUAGCUUCAUCAUUCGGGUUACUAGCAUUAGGUUGAGAGUCCGCCGGUGCUGUCCCUUGUGCGGGAGCAGGCGCUACACUCUCAAGAUCAUCAGCUACCUCUCGGUCGGGAUCGGGAUCCAUUACUAUAAAUAAACACAUUUACAAUUGUCAGAAAUCACCACACUAUCAAGUAAUCACAUAAAAUGGCAUGUAUAGCUAGACCCAACGCAUUACGGUAGUCCUAGAAUCGACUAAACCGUAGCUCUGAUACCAAUCAAAUGUAACACCCCGAACCCGAGACCGUCACCGGAGUCGAACACGAGGUGUUAACAGACUUUAAAAAUUUUCCAGAUACUGCCAAUCUGCGUAAUAGUCACUUUAAAAAUCAUAUCUUGAGUUCAGAAACUCGGAACCCAGUUUCGUAAAUUUUCCCUGAAACUAGACUCAUAUGCCCAUCUACAUAUUUUUUUCUAGAAUUUUUUGUUGGACCAAUUAGUACAGUUUAUUAGUCAAAGUCUCCCAUGUUACAGGGAUUGACUACACUGACCUUUGCGCAUUACGACUUGGAUAUUUCCCUGUACAGGGAUUCAAUACUGAUUUCGUUUGUUUCUAUAGAAACUAGACUCAAAGAGGAAUCUAUACAUAUAUGUCUUGACUCCUAAUUGUCUCUGGUUAAUUUGUAAUGAAUUUCCAAAGUCGGAACAGGUAAUCCAGAAACCGUUCUGGCCCUGUCUCACGAGAACCUGAAUAUCUCUUAACAUACUAUCCGUAUGAUUGUUUCGUUACUUUCCUAUGAAAACAGAUUCAUCCAGGUUCGUUUACAUAAUUUAUUCACUAUUUAAUUCCAUUCCUACUAUUUUUAGUGAUUUUCCAAAUCUACAUCACUGCUGCUGUCAGCAUCUGCCUUUAAGGUAGACUUUACCUAUUUCAUGGUUUCCAUGAUUCAACUAGCCCUUUUUGCAUAAAUAGCACAAUUUAUGAUAGUGAUUAACCAUUCCCAUGGCCAAUCCUUGUCAAGCAUAUCCACACCAAAUGAUUAUAACAUUAUACUCAAACACAUAUAAGCCAUUUUCGCAUGGCUAUCCAAAAUUAUACAAGUCCAAAGGGUCCAUGACCCACAACAAACGGGUAGUCCUAUACAUGCCAUUUCGAAGUUCAACCAAAAUUGUACCAAAAGGGGGGGCUUUGAUAGUGUGGGCGACUUCGACUUCAAAAUCCCGAGUCCGAUAGCUGGAGAACCAAAAUCUAUAAAAUAGAGGAUCAAAGAAACGGAGUAAGCAAUUUAUGCUUAGUAAGUUUUGAGCAAGGAAUUCCAGCACAGCAAAAGUAUAGCAUUCAUAUAGCUAAACGAAUAAUUUCAUAUGCACAAAUUUUCGAUAUCAUACUUGCUUCACAUUACCAACCCUUAUGUACAUACACAAAAGAUCAACUUAGCCAAAGGCCGGUAGCUCGUUUAUCAACUGAGCGAAUACUUAUUUGUAAGGGCUCAACUAAAUUCAAGCACAUACGAAACAUACCUCAAUGUUGGGAUGUUUCUAGAGUAUUUACUGAAAUUUUUACAGCAAGAUCAUUCAUUCCCAAAUCACGUACCUUCGGAAUUUAACCGGAUAUAGCUACUUGUUCAAAUGCCUUCGGGACAUAGCCCGGUUAUAGUAACUCGCACAAUUGCCUUCGGGACUUAACCCGGAUUUAGUAACUCGCACAAAUGCCUUUGGGCUUAGCCCGGAAUUAGUAUCUCGCACAAAUGCCUUCGGAUCUUAGUCCGGAUAUGGUCACUUAGCACAAAGCCUUCGAGACUUAGCCCGGACAUCAUUCAAAUAACCAUGCACAUUUAACAAUAAAUCAUGGCACAUUCGUAUUUCGUUUUCGUUAGUAAAACUCAAACACAAGACAUUUAUCAUUCUUGCAAUUUCGGCUCAAUAGCCACACAAAGAGCAUGAUUUUGGUUUGCUUAAAACAUGAUCUAAUCAAAUCAUAAUUUAAGCUCUUUUACUCAAGAACUUACCUCGGGUGUUGUCGAACGAUUCCGAUAGCUAUUCGACCACUUUUUCCUUCCCUUUAUCGGAUUUAGUUCCCCUUUGCUCUUGAGCUUAAUUAAACAAAUAAAUUGAUUUAAUCAUUUGAGCAUCGAAAAGAGGAACACAAGGCACUUAGCCCAUAUUUAUACAUUAGACAUUAAAGUCACAUAUGUACGGAAUCAUGAAUCAAACUCAACAUUUUAGCUAAUUUUUCCCCCUUGGCCGAAUAUGCAUGUCUAUUUUGGGGCCGAUUUCAACACUUAAUACAUUCUACAAGUAUGGUCACUUGUAUUGACUAAACACCCUUUUGUUUCAAGUUCAAAACUUGGCUAAUACACACAUAUAUACACUAGUAAAGCAUCCUCUCCUUUCCAUCAAUUUAACACAUGCAUUACUCAUUAAUAUACAAAAUUAUAUUCGGCCUUAGCACACAACUUGCUAGCCGAUUCUUCUCCAUAGCAACCAANNNNNNNNNNNNNNNNNNNNNNNNNNNNNNNNNNNNNNNNNNNNNNNNNNNNNNNNNNNNNNNNNNNNNNNNNNNNNNNNNNNNNNNNNNNNNNNNNNNNNNNNNNNNNNNNNNNNNNNNNNNNNNNNNNNNNNNNNNNNNNNNNNNNNNNNNNNNNNNNNNNNNNNNNNNNNNNNNNNNNNNNNNNNNNNNNNNNNNNNNNNNNNNNNNNNNNNNNNNNNNNNNNNNNNNNNNNNNNNNNNNNNNNNNNNNNNNNNNNNNNNNNNNNNNNNNNNNNNNNNNNNNNNNNNNNNNNNNNNNNNNNNNNNNNNNNNNNNNNNNNNNNNNNNNNNNNNNNNNNNNNNNNNNNNNNNNNNNNNNNNNNNNNNNNNNNNNNNNNNNNNNNNNNNNNNNNNNNNNNNNNNNNNNNNNNNNNNNNNNNNNNNNNNNNNNNNNNNNNNNNNNNNNNNNNNNNNNNNNNNNNNNNNNNNNNNNNNNNNNNNNNNNNNNNNNNNNNNNNNCACCCCGAACCCGAGACCGUCACCGGAGUCGAACACGAGGUGUUAACAGACUUUUUUAAAAAAAUUUCCAGACACUGCCAAUCUGCGUAAUAGUCGCUUUAAAAAUCAUAUCUUGAGUUCAGAAACUCGGAAUCCAGUUCCGUAAAUUUUCCCUGAAACUAGACUCAUAUGCCCAUCUACAUAUUUUUUUCUAGAAUUUUUGGUUGGGCCAAUUAGUACAGUUUAUUAGUCAAAGUCUCCCAUGUUACAGGGAUCGACUACCCUGACCUUUGCGCAUUACGACUUGGAUAUCUCCCUGUACAGGGCUUCAAUACUGAUGCUGUUUGUUUAUAUAGAAACUAGACUCAGAUAGGAAUCUAUACAUAUAUGGCUUGACUCCUAAUUGUCUCUGGUUAAUUUAUAAUGAAUUUCCAAAGUCGGAACAGGAAAUCCAGAAACCGUUCUGGCCCUGUCUCACAAAAACCUGAAUAUCUCUUAACAUACUGUCCGUAUGAUUAUUUCGUUACUUUCCUAUGAAAAUAGAUUCAUCAAGGUUAGUUUACAUUAUUUAUUCACUAUUUAAUUCCAUUCCUACUAUUUUUAGUGAAUUUCCAAAUCUACAUCACUGCUGCUGUCAGCAUCUGCCUUUAAGGUAGACUUUACCUAUUUCAUAGUUUCCAUGAUUCAACUAGCCCUUUUUGCAUAAGUAGCACAAUUUAUGAUAGUGAUUAACCAUUCCCAUGGCCAAUCCUUGUCAAGCCUAUCCACACCUCUCAAUAACCGUAUCCAUACCAAAUGAUUAUAACAUUACACUCAAACAUAUAUAAGUAAUUUUCGCAUGGCUAUCCAAAAUUAUACAAGUCCAAAGGGUCCAUGACCCACAACAAACGGGUAGUCCUAUACAUGCCAUUUCGAAGUUCAACCAAAAUUGUACCAAAAGGGGGGGCUUUGAUAGUGUGGGCGACUUCGACUUCAAAAUCCCGAGUCCGAUAGCUGGAGAACCAAAAUCUAUAAAAUAGAGGAUCAAAGAAACGGAGUAAGCAAUAUAUGCUUAGUAAGUUUUGAGCAAGGAAUUCCAGCACAGCAAAAGUAUAGCAUUCAUAUAGCUAAACGAAUAAUUUCAUAUGCACAAAUUUUCGAUAUCAUACUUGCUUCACAUUACCAACCCUUAUGUACAUACACAAAAGAUCAACUUAGCCAAAGGCCGGUAGCUCGUUUAUCAACUGAGCGAAUACUUAUUUGUAAGGGCUCAACUAAAUUCAAGCACAUACGAAACAUACCUCAAUGUUGGGAUGUUUCUAGAGUAUUUACUGAAAUUUUUACAGCAAGAUCAUUCAUUCCCAAAUCACGUACCUUCGAAAUUUAACCGGAUAUAGCUACUCGUUCAAAUGCCUUCGGGACAUAGCCCGGUUAUAGUAACUCGCACAAUUGCCUUCGGGACUUAACCCGGAUUUAGUAACUCGCACAAAUGCCUUCGGGCUUAGCCCGGAAUUAGUAUCUCGCACAAAUGCCUUCGGAUCUUAGUCCGGAUAUGGUCACUUAGCACAAAGCCUUCGGGACUUAGCCCGGACAUCAUUCAAAUAACCAUGCACAUUUAACAAUAAAUCAUGGCACAUUCGUAUUUCGUUUUCGUUAGUAAAACUCAAACACAAGACAUUUAUCAUUCUUGCAAUUUCGGCUCAAUAGCCACACAAAGAGCAUGAUUUUGGUUUGCUUAAAACAUGAUCUAAUCAAAUCAUAAUUUAAGCUCUUUUACUCAAGAACUUACCUCGGGUGUUGUCGAACGAUUCCGAUAGCUAUUCGACCACUUUUUCCUUCCCUUUAUCGAAUUUAGUUCCCCUUUGCUCUUGAGCUUAAUUAAACAAAUAAAUUGAUUUAAUCAUUUGAGCAUCGAAAAGAGGAACACAAGGCACUUAGCCCAUAUUUAUACAUUAGACAUUAAAGUCACAUAUGUACGGAAUCAUGAAUCAAACUCAACAUUUUAGCUAAUUUUUCCCCCUUGGCCGAAUAUGCAUGUCUAUUUAGGGGCCGAUUUCAACACUUAAUACAUUCUACAAGUAUGGUCACUUGUAUUGACUAAACACCCUUUUGUUUCAAGUUCAAAACUUGGCUAAUACACACAUAUAUACACUAGUAAAGCAUCCUCUCCCUUUCCAUCAAUUUAACACAUGCAUUACUCAUUAAUAUACAAAAAUUAUAUUCGGCCUUAGCACACAACUUGCUAGCCGAUUCUUCUCCAUCUAGCAACCAAUGCACAUAUGUGCUCACUCAAAAAUGCUAAAAAGAAGAUUCAAGAAUCAUCAAUCCACCAUCACAUGCAUCAUUACAAAGCUUUACACUUAGCAUGCAAAUGACAUCAACACAAAUCCACCUUAGCCGAAACUUAACUCAUCUUCAUGCCUCAUCACCACAACAUCAAAACAUCAACCAAGAAUGAUGCAUCCAUGGCCGAGUGUCAUUUCCAUCACAUAGCAAGAUUUAGACCAUGGGCUAGGUAGAACUCAAGCUAACAAAAACAUGCAUGCAUCUCAUGGAACAUCAUCAACAUACCUUAGCCUAGUUACAUGCAUGGCCGAACCUCUUCAACCUUUCUUCUUCCUUCCUCCUUAAAAUUUUUGGCCAAGGAUGAACCAAAGGAUGAACACCUUCUUUGUGUUUUCUUUCUAGUUUCGGCAAAAUGGGGGGGGAGAAACAACCACACACUUUUUUUUUUGUUUUCAUCAUAUUCCCUUUCUUUAUUUAAUUUCCAUGCUCAUUAUUUUAUUUUUUUUUCCACCCAUGAUGCACCAACCCAACAUGUCUAUGACAUGUCUUGCCCAUCACACUUGGUCUACCAUGCUUGUCAUGGCCGGCCACUACUAAUAGGGGGAAAUUGACAUGCAAGUCCCCCCUUUUUCAACAUGCACUAAUAGGCCCUUAUGCUUUGACCUAUCACAUUUCAAAAUUUUCUCACAUAAGUCCUAUUGACUAAAUUCACAUGCAAUCGACUAAAUCGAAGCUUGAAAUUUUCACACAUUCAUAAUUACAUAUUCUAGACAAUAAAUAUCACAUUCAAACAUUUCGGUGACUCGGUUUAGCGGUCCCGAAACCACUUCCCGACUAGGGUCAAUUUUGGGCUGUCACAACUCUCCCCCACUUAAGAAAUUUUUGUCCCCGAAAAUCUUACCGGUAAAUAGGUUUGGGUAUCGUUCUUUCAUCGAGCUCUCGGUUUCCCAAGUAGCUUCCUCGAUCCCGUGUUUGAGCCAUAACACCUUAACUAACGGAACCCUUUUGUUUCGCAACUCUUUCACUUCACGAGCUAGGAUACGAAUCGGUUCUUCUUCAUAACUCAAGUCAGAUUGAAUUUCAACUUCUGAGGGAUUAAUCACAUGUGACGGAUCGGAUCUAUAACGUCGAAGCAUCGAAACAUGAAAGACAUCGUGAAUCUUUUCAAGUUCAAGGGGCAAAAUCAAUCUAUACGCAACCGGACCAACUCGUUCAGAGAUUUCGUACGGCCCAAUGAAUCUCGGGCUCAACUUGCCCUUACGGCCAAAUCUGAGUACCUUCUUCCAAGGCGAAACUUUAAGAAACACUUUAUCUCCCACCUGAUAUUCAAUGUCCUUUCGUUUCAAAUCCGCAUACGAUUUUUGACGAUCUGUGGCUGCUUUCAGACUUUCACGGAUUACCUUUACUUUCUGUUCGGCAUCUUUAAUCAAAUCAACUCCGAAAAUUUUACUUUCACCGAGCUCGGUCCAAAACAAUGGUGUACGGCAUUUACGACCGUACAAAGCCUCGUAAGGUGCCAUCUUAAUACUUGAUUGAAAACUAUUGUUGUAAGCGAAUCAAUCAAAGGUAAAUAUCGUUCCCAUGAACUACUGAACUCGAGGAUGAAACAUCUCAACAUAUCCUCAAGUAUCUGAAUUAUCCGCUCAGAUUGACCAUUGGUUUGGGGGUGAAAAGCAGUGCUAAAAUGCAGCUUGGUACCCAAAGCUUCUUGCAAUUUCCUCCAAAAUCGUGAGCUGAAUCUCGGAUCUCUAUCCGACACGAUAGAAAUAGGUACCCCGUGUAAUCUCACAAUCUGAGAAACAUACAAUUCGGCUAGUUUAUCCAAUGAAAAAUCCAUACGCACGGGGAUAAAGUGAGCCGACUUAGUCAGUCUAUCAACAACAACCCAAAUCGCAUCCUUCUUACUUGCUGACAAUGGCAGUCCGAACACAAAGUCCAUUGUGACUCGAUCUCAUUUCCACUCGGGUAUCAUGAUCGGCUGAAGUAAUCCUGAAGGCACUUGAUGUUCCGCUUUCACUUGUUGACAUAUUAAACAUCUCGAAACAAAGUCGAAGAUGUCUCGUUUCAUACCAUGCCACCAAAACCAACAUUUCAAAUCGUUGUACAUUUUCGUACUCCCCGGGUGAAUUAACAUUCGACUACAAUGGGCUUCGUUCAGAAUCAUCGAAAUGAGUUCUAAAUUCCUUGGAACUGCACAAACGACUUCUGAACCUCAAACAAUCAUCAUCAUCAAUUUGAAACUCCGAUUCCUUGUUCGGAACACACUCAGCCCGUUUUGCAACCAAUUCAUCAUUAACUUUCUGGGCUUCACGAAUUUGAUGAAUCAAUAAUGGUUUGGCUUUUAAUUCAGCUACUAACACAUUGUCAGGGUAGAACAGACAAGUGCACAUUCAUCGCUCGUAAAGCAAACAAUGAUUUUCGGCUUAAGGCAGUCCGCAACCACAUUAGCCUUUCUCGGGUGGUAAUCAAUGACAAGCUCGUAAUCUUUCAACAACUCAAGCCAACGUCUUUGUCGCAGAUUUAAGUCUCUUUGAGUCAUCAAAUAUUUGAGACUUUUGUGAUCCGAAAAUACAUGGCACUUUUCACCAAAUAAGUAAUGUCGCCAUAUUUUUAAAGCAAAUACAAUGGCAACUAGUUCAAGAUCAUGGGUCAGAUAAUUUUUCUCAUGUGGCUUUAAUUGUCUCGACGCAUAGGCCACCACUCGACCUUCUUGCAUCAAUACGCAACCCAACCCAAGUAGGGAUGCGUCACUAUAAAUGACAAACUCUUUGCCAGAUUCGGGUUGCACUAAAAUUGGAGCUUCAGUCAAAUAAGUUUUUAGUUGAUCAAAACUUUUCUGACAUUUCUCCGUCCAUUCGAACUUAACAUCCUUUUGAAGUAGCUUCGUCAUUGGUGUGGCUAUCAUCGAGAAACCUUUGACAAAUCGUCGGUAAUAACCGGCGAGCCCCAGGAAGCUCCGAACUUCGGUAAUAUUUCUUGGAGGCUUCCAGUUAAGUAUGGCUGAAAUUUUGCUUGGGUCAACUCGAAUACCCGAUGCUGAUACCACAUGACCCAAGAAGCCUAACCUCUCUUAACCAGAACUCACACUUACUGAACUUAGCAUAUAACUGCUUAUCCCGCAAAAUUUGCAACACUAGUCUCAGGUGCUCAGCAUGUUCGGUCUCAUCUCUUGAAUCGACCAAGAUGUCAUCAAUGAACACAACUACGAACCGAUCCAAAUAUGGUCUGAAGAUCCAAUUCAUCAAAUCCAUAAAUACCGCAGGGGCAUUAGUGAGCCCAAACGGCAUCACUAAGAAUUCGUAGUGACCAUAUCUCGUUCUGAAGGCAGUUUUGGGUAUGUCCGAAUCUCGAAUUUGCAACUGAUAAUAGCCCGAUCUCAAAUCUAUUUUUGAGAACACUGAGGCUCCUUUCAGUUGGUCGAACAAAUCAUCGAUACGCGGUAACGGAUAUUUGUUCUUUAUCGUCACUUUAUUCAGUUGACGAUAGUCAAUGCACAACCACAUGGUUCCGUCCUUCUUUCUCACGAACAAUACUGGUGCACCCCAAGGUGAGAAACUUGGUCGAGCAAAACCUCUAUCCGUCAAUUCUUGCAACUGAGCUUUCAACUCUUUUAACUCGGUUGGUGCCAUACGAUACGGAGCUAUCAAAAUCGGCGUAGUCCCAGGUACAAGCUCAAUACCAAACUCUAUCUCCCGAACAGGUGGUAAACCCGGUAAUUCUUCAGGAAAAACAUCCGGGUAUUCACAAACCAUCGGCACAGAUUCGGGUUUCUUUUCUAAUUCUUUGUCAUCAAGUACAUACGCAAGGUAUGCUUCGCACCCUUUUCUUACAUAUUUCUGGGCCAACAUUGAGGAUAUUACAGCUGGCAACCCCUUUAAGUCCGUAGACUCAACUCGGAUCAUCUAGUUAUUUGCGCACCUCAAAUCGAUAGUCUUGCUUUUGCAAUUCACAACCGCAUCAUGCGCGGUCAACCAAUCCAAACCAAGAAUAACAUCAAAUUCAUUAAACGGCAAAAGCAUCAAGUCCGCCAGAAAACAGGAACCUCGAAUUACUAGGGGACAUUUUUUACACACUUUGUCGACAAGCACGUAACGACCCAAGGGAUUUGACACCCGAAUUACGAACUCAGUAGACUCAAUAGGUAAAGUCUUACUGGAUGCUAAGGUUUCACAUAUGUAAGAAUGAGUAGAACCGGGGUCAAUCAAAGCAAUUACAUUAGUAUCAAAGAGAGUAAAAGUACCGGUAAUAACAUCAGGCGAAGAAGCAUCCUCGCGGGCACGUAUAGCAUAAGCUCUAGCAGGCGCACGAGCCUCGGAUCUGGUCGUAGCAUCUCUAGAUCCUCUCUGACCACCACUAGCAUUGCCCGUAUUUCCAGAUGGUCUACCUCGAGCAGUGGUAGCACCCGGUUUCCUACUCUGAUUUACAUUCUGUUCAGACAACCUCGGGCAAUCUUUAAUGAAGUGGUCAACUGAUCCGCACUUGUAACAGGAGCGGUCAGGGAAUCUACAACUCCUCGAAUGCCAUUUACCGCAAUAUCGACAUUUCGUUCUGUCUCGACGUUCAUUUCGAACACUGGCGACCGAAGUGCCUCGUGUACCCACAAGGGGUCGAUCACGAUCUCGUCUAAAAAGGCCCGAAGUGCCUCUCGACCAGCCCACAUCAUCUCGAAAUUUCUUCGAUGCCUGUUGAAGAGACUUUCCCAAAGAUCUUUUACGAAACUCUCCAGUUCCCACAUCAACUUUUUGUUUUUCUUUUCUAAGCUCUUCGGCUUUACAAGCUCGCUCGACAAGUACUACGAACUCUCGUAUUUCAAGAAUGCCAACGAACAUUUUUAUAUCUUCAUUCAGCCCAUCCUCGAAGCGUCUACACAUGAUAGCCUCGGACGAAACACAUUCCCGAGCGUAUCUACUAAGUCUAACAAAUUUUCGCUCGUAAUCAGUAACCGACAUGGAACCUUGCUUAAGCUCAAGAAAUUCCUUCCGUUUUUGAUCAACAAAUCUCUGACUGAUAUACUUUUUCCGAAACUCAGUUUGGAGAAACUCCCAAGUUACUUGCUCUCGGGGCACAAUAGAAGUCAGAGUACUCCACCAAUAGUAGGCAGAAUCACGCAGCAAGGAGAUAGUACACUUUAAGCAUUCAUCGGGUGUACAAGAUAGCCCAUCGAGUACCCGGAUAGUGUUGUCCAACUAAAAUUCAGCUUGUUCGGCAUCGUCGCUAUCCGUAGCUUUAAAUUCGGUAGCCCUAUGUUUUCAGAUUCUGUCAACUGGAGGCUUAUUUGACCUUAUUUGGUCAGUUACCGGAGGUAUUGUAGGUGCGGGGGUGGUAUUAGUCGGGAAUGGAGGUUGUGGAACAGCCGUAUUAGUUCGAAUGUAUUGGUUGAACCAAUCAUUCGUCACGCUAUAGAAAGCUUGUCUAGCUUCAUCAUUCGGGUUACUAGCAUUAGGUUGAGAGUCCGCCGGUGCUGUCCCUUGUGCGGGAGCAGGCGCUACACUCUCAAGAUCAUCAGCUACCUCUCGGUCGGGAUCGGGAUCCAUUACUAUAAAUAAACACAUUUACAAUUGUCAGAAAUCACCACACUAUCAAGUAAUCACAUAAAAUGGCAUGUAUAGCUAGACCCAACGCAUUACGGUAGUCCUAGAAUCGACUAAACCGUAGCUCUGAUACCAAUCAAAUGUAACACCCCGAACCCGAGACCGUCACCGGAGUCGAACACGAGGUGUUAACAGACUUUAAAAAUUUUCCAGAUACUGCCAAUCUGCGUAAUAGUCACUUUAAAAAUCAUAUCUUGAGUUCAGAAACUCGGAACCCAGUUUCGUAAAUUUUCCCUGAAACUAGACUCAUAUGCCCAUCUACAUAUUUUUUUCUAGAAUUUUUUGUUGGACCAAUUAGUACAGUUUAUUAGUCAAAGUCUCCCAUGUUACAGGGAUUGACUACACUGACCUUUGCGCAUUACGACUUGGAUAUUUCCCUGUACAGGGAUUCAAUACUGAUUUCGUUUGUUUCUAUAGAAACUAGACUCAAAGAGGAAUCUAUACAUAUAUGUCUUGACUCCUAAUUGUCUCUGGUUAAUUUGUAAUGAAUUUCCAAAGUCGGAACAGGUAAUCCAGAAACCGUUCUGGCCCUGUCUCACGAGAACCUGAAUAUCUCUUAACAUACUAUCCGUAUGAUUGUUUCGUUACUUUCCUAUGAAAACAGAUUCAUCCAGGUUCGUUUACAUAAUUUAUUCACUAUUUAAUUCCAUUCCUACUAUUUUUAGUGAUUUUCCAAAUCUACAUCACUGCUGCUGUCAGCAUCUGCCUUUAAGGUAGACUUUACCUAUUUCAUGGUUUCCAUGAUUCAACUAGCCCUUUUUGCAUAAAUAGCACAAUUUAUGAUAGUGAUUAACCAUUCCCAUGGCCAAUCCUUGUCAAGCAUAUCCACACCAAAUGAUUAUAACAUUAUACUCAAACACAUAUAAGCCAUUUUCGCAUGGCUAUCCAAAAUUAUACAAGUCCAAAGGGUCCAUGACCCACAACAAACGGGUAGUCCUAUACAUGCCAUUUCGAAGUUCAACCAAAAUUGUACCAAAAGGGGGGGCUUUGAUAGUGUGGGCGACUUCGACUUCAAAAUCCCGAGUCCGAUAGCUGGAGAACCAAAAUCUAUAAAAUAGAGGAUCAAAGAAACGGAGUAAGCAAUUUAUGCUUAGUAAGUUUUGAGCAAGGAAUUCCAGCACAGCAAAAGUAUAGCAUUCAUAUAGCUAAACGAAUAAUUUCAUAUGCACAAAUUUUCGAUAUCAUACUUGCUUCACAUUACCAACCCUUAUGUACAUACACAAAAGAUCAACUUAGCCAAAGGCCGGUAGCUCGUUUAUCAACUGAGCGAAUACUUAUUUGUAAGGGCUCAACUAAAUUCAAGCACAUACGAAACAUACCUCAAUGUUGGGAUGUUUCUAGAGUAUUUACUGAAAUUUUUACAGCAAGAUCAUUCAUUCCCAAAUCACGUACCUUCGGAAUUUAACCGGAUAUAGCUACUCGUUCAAAUGCCUUCGGGACAUUGCCCGGUUAUAGUAACUCGCACAAUUGCCUUCGGGACUUAACCCGGAUUUAGUAACUCGCACAAAUGCCUUCGGGCUUAGCCCGGAAUUAGUAUCUCGCACAAAUGCCUUCGGAUCUUAGUUUGGAUAUGGUCACUUAGCACAAAGCCUUCGAGACUUAGCCCGGAAAUCAUUCAAAUAACCAUGCACAUUUAACAAUAAAUCAUGGCACAUUCGUAUUUCGUUUUCGUUAGUAAAACUCAAACACAAGACAUUUAUCAUUCUUGCAAUUUCGGCUCAAUAGCCACACAAAGAGCAUGAUUUUGGUUUGCUUAAAACAUGAUCUAAUCAAAUCAUAAUUUAAGCUCUUUUACUCAAGAACUUACCUCGAGUGUUGUCGAACGAUUCCGAUAGCUAUUCGACCACUUUUUCCUUCCCUUUAUCGGAUUUAGUUCCCCUUUGCUCUUGAGCUUAAUUAAACAAAUAAAUUGAUUUAAUCAUUUGAGCAUCGAAAAGAGGAACACAAGGCACUUAGCCCAUAUUUAUACAUUAGACAUUAAAGUCACAUAUGUACGGAAUCAUGAAUCAAACUCAACAUUUUAGCUAAUUUUUCCCCCUUGGCCGAAUAUGCAUGUCUAUUUUGGGGCCGAUUUCAACACUUAAUACAUUCUACAAGUAUGGUCACUUGUAUUGACUAAACACCCUUUUGUUUCAAGUUCAAAACUUGGCUAAUACACACAUAUAUACACUAGUAAAGCAUCCUCUCCCUUUCCAUCAAUUUAACACAUGCAUUACUCAUUAAUAUACAAAAAUUAUAUUCGGCCUUAGCACACAACUUGCUAGCCGAUUCUUCUCCAUCUAGCAACCAAUGCACAUAUGUGCUCACUCAAAAAUGCUAAAAAGAAGAUUCAAGAAUCAUCAAUCCACCAUCACAUGCAUCAUUACAAAGCUUUACACUUAGCAUGCAAAUGACAUCAACACAAAUCCACCUUAGCCGAAACUUAACUCAUCUUCAUGCCUCAUCACCACAACAUCAAACAUCAACCAAGAAUGAUGCAUCCAUGGCCGAGUGUCAUUUCCAUCACAUAGCAAGAUUUAGACCAUGGGCUAGGUAGAACUCAAGCUAACAACUAAAACAUGCAUGCAUCUCAUGGAACAUCAUCAAACAUACCUUAGCCUAGUUACAUGCAUGGCCGAACCUCUUCAACCUUUCUUCUUCCUUCCUCCUUAAAAUUUUUGGCCAAGGAUGAACCAAAGGAUGAACACCUUUUUUUUUUGUUUUUCUUUCUAGUUUCGGCAAAAUGGGGGGGAGAAACAACCACACACUUUUUUUUUGUUUUCAUCAUAUUCCCUUUCAUUAUUUAAUUUCCAUGCUCAUUAUUUUAUUUUUUUUCCACCCAUGAUGCACCAACCCAACAUGUCUAUGACAUGUCUUGCCCAUCACACUUGGUCUACCAUGCUUGUCAUGGCCGGCCACUACUAAUAGGGGGGAAAUUGACAUGCAAGUCCCCCCUUUUUCAACAUGCACUAAUAGGCCCUUAUGCUUUGACCUAUCACAUUUCAAAAUUUUCUCACAUAAGUCCUAUUGACUAAAUUCACAUGCAAUCGACUAAAUCGAAGCUUGAAAUUUUCACACAUUCAUAAUUACAUAUUCUAGACAAUAAAUAUCACAUUCAAACAUUUCGGUGACUCGGUUUAGCGGUCCCGAAACCACUUCCCGACUAGGGUCAAUUUUGGGCUGUCACAUUUUAUGCAAGAACAGUGACCCACACGGCCUAAAAACACGGACGUCUAUUUGGCCGUGUAGAAACAGGGCUGAAAUUUCCCAAAAAUUGACAUACAAAUGGCCUGUGAUACAUCCACAUGGACGUGCGACACAGUCGUGUGGACCACACAGCCAGGACACACGGGCGUGCCCUAGGUGUGUCCUGGCCCUGUGAAACCUAGAGCUUAAUUUUUCAAAUAUUCAAACAAGUCAGAGAGUUACACGGGCAAGGCACACAGCCGUGUGUUCGGACACACGGGCGUGUGGGAUACCACACGGGCGUGGGAGAAAUGAACAACAAAGAACACAGCCAUGUGAACCACAUGGCCUGGACACACGGGCGUGUCCAUAAGCCGUGUGGCAAAUAGUCAUAAAAAUUUCGCGACUAACACAGGCAAUAGUCGAGCCACACAAGCGUGUGACACGGCCGUGUGGCCCAACACAGGCCUCACACAGCCGUGUCCCCUUUAAAACCCCCAACCGUAACUUUAUUUUUGUCUUCUUCUUCUUCAAUCUUUCCCCUCAAACCCUAGCGCCGAAGCCCCUUUCCCCUACUCUGGCCACCACCUAGCUCUUCUUCUUGCUCUCCCUCUCUUCUUUUUUCCCUUCUCUUUCUUUCCUUCUCUUUUCUUUCUUUCUUUCUUCUUUCCUUCACUUUUUCCCCUCUCCUCUUUCUUUCCCAUUUUCCUCUUAACCUAAUAGCCACUCCCCACCCUAGCCCUCUUUCGCGCUGCACAGCCUAGCCCCCACGCCCGUGUGUUCCCCAUUCACCCAUCGUCGGCUUUAACCCCCCGCCAGCGUUGUCUGCACCUUCGGUCCCACUGACGGUUUCCCCUUUUACCCUAAUUAUUAUUAUUGUUAUUAUUAUUAGUAUUAGUAUUAUUAGAAUUAUUUUUAUGUUAUGCAUUUUAUUUCUUUAUCUUUAUCCUUGUCUUUAUUUUAAUUUUGUUUUAUUAUGCCUUUAAGUUAUUUUAGUUUUGUCUUUAUUUAGUUUGCUACAAAUUAGUUUAGGUUAAUUCUAUUAUGUUUAGAUUGCUACUACUACUCUCUUAGAAGCUCCAUAUUUAGUCUAUCAUGUUGGACUUAUCUGUCUCCUGCCAAUUCAUAUAAGUUUAAUUUCGUUAUUUUGUUAACUUCAUCCUUCAUUACCAUUCCUCUAAAUAUAUUUAUGGUUUAAUUAGCAGCCACUCAUAUGUUCCAUCCAUAGUUUGCCUACAUCGUUAUUAAUUCUUUACUUGUUAUUUUCUAGGUGUUCCCUGAUAGGGAUUCUUUUACUCUUGCAGGUCUAUUAUGACAAACAUACGAGGCAAGAAGACUGUCGUUCUCACUUUAAAAAAGCAAAAGGGUCCUGGCCCAACCUCCUCGAGCGCCUUGAUCGAAACUCGUCAUCCUCUGCUUCGAUUCUCCUUCAGCCCACAGGAUGACUUGUUUCAGCUUUUGCACGUGCAACCACUAGGAAUGGGCCGCUGAAUUGAUUGGGUCACUUUGGAGCAAGUUCACCUUGCUCACCUUGUUCGAUUCCAUCUCGAUACUGCCCCGUGGGAUCAGUUCUUUGCAAUUAUCGAGCCCACAUAUUUAGAGCUGACCUUAGAGUUUUGCACUACGUUCCAUCUACAACAUGUGAUAAAUACACAUGACGAGGCUGGUACUAUUGUUUUUAGACUUGGUGGACUCGUAAAGCACAUAAGUGUACUAAAAUUUGGAGCUGCUUUGGGCCUUUACACGGAGGAGUUCAUGGCUUCUGAGAAUUUUUUACAACUUCACCGGCACAUACACUACUCGCCCUCUUACUGUUGGACUGACCUUACGGCAAGUACUGUUCCCUAUGACGUAAGUCGCUCAAAGGUGACUUCUCUUCCUCCAGCAUUACGCUACAUCCAUGUCAUCUUGGCUCACACCUUCACUAGGAGGAGAGAGAGCCCUAAUGUCGUUAGCACCACCGACGCUUACUUCUUAUGGAGCAUGGCGAUUGGCCAUGUAUUUGAUUUGGCAUACUUUAUUGCCCUUACUUUUCACCACCAGAUGGAUCACCAUAGGAGGGGCCCUAUUUGCCUUGGCCCUUCUAUGACUCGCCUUGCUUGACACUUCGGCCUCUUUGACACUCCAGAGAUGUCAUUGACACUCACACUAGUAGGACAGAUGUCUCCUCAAUGAAUAUAUAGCAUGAUCCACAUGAGGAUGAUAGAGCGACGCUAUGGAUUCGACCCCCCUCAAUACAGAUUCUUUUAGUUUGAUGACCAUGAUGAGCUCGAGGACAUUACUGAUGAUGUCCCUCCCCCUCACGAGGACCCACCCCACCAAUACCACCGAGUCACAGACGUCCUGCUGCCACUUUGACAGAUUUUUCUGAGAGAUUCACUCACUUUGAGCAGCAGUGCUUUGAGCGGUUCGACAGCAUCGAUGCCACUCUUUGAUAGAUUUGCCACCACCUUCACAUCUCUCCUUCGGCACCAUCGACCCACUAGGCAUCUGAUGAUAAGGACCUUUGAGGCCCUUUAUUUUACUAUUAUUUUUAUGUCUAUUUUCAAUUCUAUUUUAUCUCUUAUUUAUUUUUGAAAACUUCUGUUUUAUAUUUUGAACCAUGUUUAUCUUUAUAAUUAUUAUCAAGUGAUCCCUUUAUUCUCUUCCACAGUGGUAUUUAUUUUCUUAUUGGUAACUCAGAAUCAUGUCUUUUAUUCAGCUUUCUCCACACUUCUUUCUUGCGUUCUUUCAAGGAUUUCAUCCAAAUCCAGGGUAGUUUCACAUCUCUCCUUCUCUUCUGAUAUUAUGCUUAUAUUUCUAUUCUCUAUAUUUGUACAUUAAGGAAAAUGUACAUCUUAAGUGUGGGGAGAUUUUUUAUGUGAUUAUCAAAAAAUCCCUGAAUUUUUAUCUUGUUCUGAAAUAAUUUUCUCAUAUCAUUAUUAGAGUAAAUUUUGAUUGAUUUAUGAUUUUUUGAUAUGUUUUGAAUUAAAUCAUAGGUAACUGUGCAUUGGUUGUUUAAACUUUAAGACAUUAGAGUAUCAAGCAUGAUAAGUUGACUUUUGAGAAGUAAAAUUGCUAAGUUGUUUCCCUGAAUUGAAGUAUUAUCUUGAAGUUUUGAAUUUACAGGAUCGACAUUAAUUACCCAUAAUUUUCGUGAGACUUUGAGCUUUUUAGAGCAUAUAUCUUUCAUGCUCACUCAUUUUAUUGGUUAUGAGUGUGUCAACAUUGAUUUGUUAUUCUAGAACUUGCAUUGGUUAUACAUGUCGAGACCACACCUUUGAUUUGUUAUACUAAAAUGAUAAAGACAUUUAGGUUUUACCCCAUUUACUCCACAAAAAGCCUACCCACAUAAUUGACCCCUAGUGAACCCCGUUGGGCCUUAACUAUUAUUUCUUGAUUUUUUCAUUAAUAUUAACCCACAACCUAACCCUUUUUUGAUUCGUUAAGGAUUUUUUUUUUAUUAACUCCCUUUUUAUCGAGAUUUAAUUUGAUUAAUUACCUAAUUAUGUUCGUUCAUUCCAGUUGCUAGAUUAUUUUUCGUUAUGUACUUUCCAUUAUUGUUCUUAUUCUUAAAAAAAUCGUAUAUUCAUUCAAAUUACAUCUUGUUCUAAAGAGCUUGGAUAAGUUAUCAUAUUGAGAGAAAAGCUCCCUUCAUUAGUUUUCAUUAGUGUUAAUUCUGACACUUGUUUGUAAUUUAGUUAUUAGUUUUGUUUUUUUUCUAAGUUUGGUAAUCUAUUAAAUUAAUCUCGAUCCUAACCCUCUUUUGUAGCCUUUAUCCACACCUUUAACUCAAGUCCCAUUACAACCCUGUUAAAGACCUUUUGAUUUGUGUAUCAUUUCAUUAUAGUGGUGGAGACUUGAUUUUCAUGCAAGCCUAUGGUAAUAACUUUUCAUGUUUGACUAUUGAGUGCUUAAUUAUUGAACCUUAAACACUUUGAGUGAUUUGAGUGAAUCAUUAGUGAGGAUGUCAACCUUGUCGAUUUGGAAUUAAAGGUGAUUACUUGAUAAAAGGGGAUACCUAUGAUUUUAUGAUUGAAUGCUUAAUUUGGAUUGUUUAAAACUUUAAUGAUCUUUUCGUUAAGCUCUUAACGUAUGAUUACUUGUGGAUUAUUUCAAACAUUAUUGAUUAGAAUUAUAAGUUGAGAAGAAUUUAUUUUAAUUGUGGGUGAAGGAUUUUGUUUGAGGACAAGAAAAUGCUUAAGUGUGAGGAUAUUUGAUAAACCGUAAUAUAUACAUAUUUUCACCCCAUGCUUGGCAUAUUUAUGAAUGAUUUUUCCUUGGUUUUAGUGAAAUUGAUGCUCCUAAUCCUAUAAUUUCAUGUUUUAUACUCAGGAGAGCUUAGGAUAGCAAAAAGAGCAAGAAACGGGCCAAAAACAGACAAAUUGGGCCUAAAUCAGUAUUUCACACGGACUAGCACUUCUACACGCCCGUGUACGCCUAUGUGUGACACACGGGUAAACCACAUGCAUGUGUGUCAUGGCCGUGUCAACAUUAAUCCAAGUCAGAAUUACACACGGCCUGAGCACCUUCACACGAGUUUGGCACACUAUCGUGUCCCUGUCGAGCCCAAGUCUAGUUCUACUCGAAAAAAGCUACUUUUGGGCUAUUUUGGGCAUUAAAAAUUCUAUAUAAACACCCUAGAAGAGGAUUAGAGGGGACACGAAGAGAGAAAGACUGAAAAUACUCAAAGACAGCCAUCAGAAUCACCUCAGAGGCAGGAUCUACAUCAAGACUGAAGAUUUCCAUCCAAUUUCCUAGAAGUUCUUUGGGUUUCUUUAUGUUUUUUUGUUUUCCAAACUUGGUGAUGUUUUCCAUUAUUAUUAUACUAAACUCCCUAAAUACCUAGGGGAGAUGAAACCUAAGACGGAUCUUAUUACUAUUUGGAUUAUAUGAUAAAUACUUGUUUUUAUUCUUAAUUGUGAAUUAUGAUUCUUGCUUUAAUAUUCCAGGAUAUUAAUUCAGGUUUUUGAUGUGUUUAUUUAGUAGAGAAAAAGUCCUUGUUUAAGAGUAGAUCAUUCAUAAUUAAGCGGAGUUGCAUGCAAUCCUAGAGAUAGGAUGACAUAAAUCUGUCAGAUUAGAGUCAAAUCUAAUAGGGGAAUCCAUAGAUCGAGUUAAUGUGACAAUAGGGGUUUUAAUUAGAAAGAGAUUUCAAUUAAUCAAAUUAAAGUCAGUUAUUCUUAAUCCUGAAAGAGAUAUUAUCAUAAAUCAGGGAUUUCUACGGAUUAAGUCAAGUGAAUAAAUCGUCUAAUUUAGAAGUAAUAAGUGAAAUCUAGAUGGAUUCUUCCUUAGGUAUUGUCUUCUCCGUCAGUUUUCCAAAAGUGUUUCCCAAUUUUAAUCUCUGUCGCAAGCUUAGUUAAUUAGAUAAAUAGUUUUAGGUUAAAACAUUCCUUUAAUUAUUAGGCUAGAUAAUAAAAAGAUAGUAAUUGCUAGUACUUUUAGUCCUUGUGGAUACGAUAUUUCCGGUCUCACCAUAACUAUACUACUGUUUGAUAGGUGCGCUUGCCUUAGUUGAAUUUUGUUAGUUAGUUUCAUGACCAUCACCUUAUAGGUCACCAUUGCACUACAUUCAGCAUUGAGAGCUAUUUGCUCUCCUCUCCCCAUAUUUUCCCUUUUAUUUAUUACAUCUCUAAGAAUUUUUGCAUAGUUGGGCAUUUUUUCUAGGACCUCAAACAAAGAGAGGUUUAUGUUCAAAGCUUUAAACAUUUUGAGUAAGACUAAAAAAUCCUCACUUUCUUUCUUUUUUCGCUCUUCUAAAUGAGAUAAAAAGGGAAUCGAUUCUUAAUUAGGGGAUUUAAUCGACUUAUCUUGACUUUUUUUUUGGCUUAAGUUUUACUUCCUCUUGUACCCCUUCUCCAACACUAGGGGUACGGGUACCAUCUUCCUUCUUACCUUCUUCUUUAACACUCAUUAACUUAAUCAAAUCUUUAACCACCACUCUUGAUCUAAGUGUUAUGGGCUUUGCAUGAUCUUUUUGUUCUCGUUUUAGAUUCAGCUCGGUAUUGCUUGGUAUGCUAGAGGAGGUGUGGGUUUGCAUCCAUUGAAACAUUUGGUCUAAUCGACCAUGUAUUUGACACAUAUCAGCUUGCAAAUUAUUCACAUUAUCCUCUACCUUACUCACUCAAAUGGUAGAGGAGGGUUGCCAUGAAAGGUUGACUUCCUCUUGGCCUCUUGCGGUGACCUAUAAGGUAGUUGAGGUUGUUAUUGAGGAUUACGUCAAGGGGCAUUAAAGUUUUGGACUCUUUGAUUGGAGGGACCACCUUAGUUCCCUCUCCACCUAAAGUUGGGAUGGUCACAUCAUCCUGGGUUGUGUCUACCCAAUAUGUACCUUCACAUUCAUUACCUACAUGAGAAGUGGUUAAAAAAGGCGAAUUUGGAGCUUGCAUUCUUUCCAAACUCAUCUCAAGUGAUUAAAAACGGUAGAUUUGUUGGUACUUAUCCUCACUACCGGCCGCAUUUACGGUUGAUUGCUUGGCUCGAUAUAUGAACUGCUCAGCAGACCACAUAUACAAAUUCAUUGCCAUAUCUUCGAUAAGUUAGCAAGUUUCCGCGUAUGUCUUUGACCUAAACGCACUAACAGAUGCUCCAUAAAGACUUGAACACAAGUUCCCAUCUAACCCAUUAUAAAAGACUUAAAGUUGUAACCAAUCUUGUAGGCCGUGGUACGGGCACUUAUGGAGCAUGAAUUUGAAGCACUCCCAUGCCUCAUAGAGUAACUUACUUUCUAGUUUCUAAAAAUUCGUUAUGUCCAUAAGAAGCUUCAUUAUUUUACUCAGAGGGAAGUACUUAGCAAGAAACUUUCUAGCCAACUCGUCACACAUAUUGGUUGAAUCAAUCGACUGUGAAUCUGGCCACAUAAAAAUAUCAUCAGUAAGAGAAAAAGGAAAUAACCGAAGAUGUAUAGCGUUAUCAGAUACCCCUAUUGUAUUUGAAUGUAUUGUAAAUGGUUAAGAAUCUCUUGAGAUACUAGUUAGGAUCCUCGUUCAUCGAUCUCAUAAAUUGGUGAUUAGCUUGAAUCAUUGCAAGCUUGAUCUUGAAGUGAUUCGCAUUAAUCACAAGGUGAUUAAUGCUUCCUCGGACAGCCUCCAAGUUGGGUAUAGCAUAGUCAUGUAAGGUUCUUUUUUCUAUCAGUGGUGGUUGUGGACAACAAGAUUACCUCUCGAUCUCAGUUGCCUAAAUAUUCCCUUAAGGGUGUCAAUACUAGGUUUUUAGGUUUAUUCAAUUUAGUCCAAUUUUUUUGCAACUUAGUCCCUCAUCAAAAAAUCAACUUACCCAAAUCUCUAUCAACCAAUCCCCUGAAGGUUUAGUUAUCCAUACUAAAAACUAAACUAAUAAACAUGCAAGCAAAAGAAAUGACAACCAUUAACAUAAAGCUUGAGAAAAAGAUGACAACUUGGAUUUUUAAUCUACAGAACUUAAAAGAAAACUAUAGAUGAACAUUAAAUAGUAAAAUGUAGUACAAGAAACAUAAAAGUUGAAGUCUUUAACAAAUUAAACUAAAAAAAAACUUAAAUAUAUUAAACUAAAGGCUGAAAUGUCAUUACAAGCAAAGAAAAAGGACUAAAAGUGCAAAUAAACCAUAGCUAUAGCAAUAACUAACUUAACUAAUAUAAAGAAUAACAAGAACAAGAAGAAAAGUUGUAGAAAAAUGACUCUACAGUUAAGGAAGAUGAAAAUUAAUAAACCCUAAAAAGUGGAUAAGAAAACCUAAAAGAACUAAAGAGAAAAACUAAGCUAAACUAAAGCUAAUAUGUGUAUAUCUCUCCUUAGUUUUAACAGUAAUUUCUGACCCCUAUCUUGUCACAUCCCAAAAACCAGGUUAGUAAAAAUUGGGUUAAGGAACCGAGAGUGGUCCAGCUCAAAUUUUUUUUAGUGAUUGAGUAGUGGUGGAGUUGUCCUUAAUGAUCAAUGUUUGAAUCCCUUCCCUCUCAUUAUUUUCUGUGGUGAAAUUUUGCUUCUAACCUUAGUAAAGGUCACAUGCCAUGUUUUAAUUAUUUUCUAUUAAGUUAAGAACAAGGAUUAAAUAUGGCCUAGUGGUUAAGAGCUUUAAAAGUUUCCUAAAAGUCCUAGGUUCAAGUCUCCUCAGUACCACCUUUUUAAUUAAUUUUGUGAAUUUUCCAUAUGCUUAAUUACCAUUUCUGUCCAACCUUUCUUACCAUACUUAGGGGAGAUUCUUUCCUUUCUUUUUAGUCAACAUACCAUACUUAUGAUAACAUGAUCCCCUUUUUACUCCAUUUUCCCCCUAACUUGCCAUUCUCUUCACCAUUACCAUGAGCGUGAUACAUUGAACCUAGACUAGUUGUGAACCUCCAUUAUCAUCCAUCUUUUGAUCCCCCUAAUUCUAAUUACCGCACCUCCCUUAGUUCUUCCACUUUUUUUUCUCUCUUUUGUUUAGUUAUCAACUACCAUUUCUCUCUAAUUUCUCCUCUCUUCCACCACUUCUUGGCUUAAAAAACUUCUACCAUUCACUAAGCCACCACCUUUCCACCACUCAUCUUCUUUUUUUUUCUUUAUUGUUGCCCAUAGCGCCACUCUCCACCACCGUGAAAACCACUGUACACCACUUCUCUUCUUUUCUUUUUCUCUUCUUUUUCUUUCUCCUUCUUUUAGUAAGAGACUGAAUCCUUCUCUUUUCUUUCUCCUUCGUCGUAGCUCCAUCGUCGAACUUCCAUCAUUAUCGUCCUUGCUGCCACCAUCGUCCCUAUUGCACCACCGCCAGUGGUUGAUUUUUACUUCCUCUUUCUAUCAUUUUUUCCAUCCCUUAUUAGUGAUCCAAAAAUUCUACACUGUUUAUUUUAUUUAGUUCUUAAUCCUAAAUAUAUUUAUCUUGGACUUACUUUCAAAACGAUUAUUCUACCUAGAUUUUUCAACUUCUUCGAUUUGAAACCAAGAUGACCUAUCAAUCCUAUCGUUCCAACUAAGAUAGUGUAAGUGCAAGGGAUGUUUAUAAACCCCUUUCUCCUCACUAUUUUCUCUCUUGACCGGAUGUUCAUAGGGACAAGGUGAAUUAUUCUCUCAUGUAUUAACAUUUAGUUAUAACGUAUUUUUGAAGGAUUGAUCGAUAUCAACCCAGAAAAUCAUUAAACUUGGGAAAGAAAUCACGAUUCUCAACAUUCAGUAGGGUAAGUGUCAUUAGGGAGAUCCAUUUAAUUAACUUGUCUCUUACAAUGUUCAUAACAACAUUAACGAGAGAUCAAAAUUCGUGUGAUUAUGUAAUCCAUUUGUUAGAUUCAUGUGUAGGCAUCCUUAGAGAGUUGAGACACAUCGGAUCUACAAUCAAGUGUGGGUUUUAACAUUAAAAAAAUAAAUCUAUGUUUUAUAUUGAUUAAAAAUCAUUAUUAUUUAAAUUGUGUUUGAUGAAGAUACUUUAAGUAUCCAUUAAGAGGGAUAAAACCCAUCAACAUUGACUAUGUCAAGUAAAUGAUUCCAAACUGUAUAUGUUGUGAAAAGCACGUUGUGUGAUCUUGAUGAUUAUUAUUGAUAUGAAAUGUAUGAAAAACUCAUUAUCAUGUUAUGUGAUCUUAUGACAUGUGAUUUUCGCAUGAUUUAUAAAAUGAGAAAUAUUGAUAUAAAGUGUAUAUAUGUGAUUUGCAUGUUAAGCAUACCUACGUUAUUUUAAGUGAAAAGUGAUAUAAUGAGCAUGUCUCACAUGCCAAAGUGAAAACUAAUUUUGUGGUCAUAUCACAUGCAUGGGGUGAGAUAUGUGAAAGGUGGAAGAACGUGACAGUUUAUCUACAAAAGUGGUAGCUUGUCCUCAAUUAUAUUAUAUGGCAGUUUAUCUACAUUACUAUGACACUAUUUACAACUUGGUGUGUUAUCGGUUGGACAAGUUCUAGGGAACUCGAUUGUGGUAUGUAGCGAAGAUUGGUAGGACCAUUUUCAUAAAACUUGCAUCAUUUUACGAAAUGUUCAUUGACAUGAUCAUGCAUAGUAUAAAUGUGAAAUAUUGAGUUAUAUGAAACUAAUAUGGUUAUUAUGAUUGUAUAAUGUAAACGUUUAUAUGUAUGUGAUUGUGUUUAUGUUAAUCUCACACUGGGCUUAAAAAGCUCACCCCAUUAGUGUUAUAAUCUUUCAGGUAAGACUCAGACAUAGGACUUGGAUUCAGCAUUCGGUGGAGUCUCUCGGAUUUUUUUACCUUAUGAACAUUUUUUAUGAAUUUUAAAAACUAUUUGGAUUUUGGUUUGUGGACUUUGGACUUUGGUGACAUUUCUUUUUAUUUUUGGGUUUGGUAUUUUUAUAAACUUUAGAACUGUCAUACAUGCAUGCAAAUUUUAUGAGAUUUCAAGUAUUUUAAAUUAUGGAAUUUAUUUAAACUAUUUACGAUUUUACUUGGUUUUCAAUAAAAUUAUAACUCGUAAUUUUCUAAGUAGUUUUAUAAGUCCAUUGGUAAAAUGAUUUACCCAAAAACAUUUUUAUAAAUAAUUAAAGUGCAAAUUCUUUAUUUUCAAAUAACUUAAAAUGACAUUACAAUAUAAUGUCGCCCUUUCCUUUUAAAUGAUUAUAUUUUUAAGUAUUUCUCAAAGAAACAAAAUCAAUAAAUAUUCAAAUUCUUUUAGUUUUCACAGAACAACUCAAACCUAGUUAUUUUCAAUAAGUAAAUAAUUUCAAGUGCUGUUAAUGUAACUUCCAAAAUUCAGUCAUAACGUCUAAGCUAGGUUUGGAGUGUUACAUAUUUUUUGACCAAAAGGCCCUUAAAUAGGCCUUCUCUGAUUGGUGCUUCGGUUGGACAAAUAUUACCCCUGGAAUUAUUUUUUUCUCUUCACGAUGUGGAUAUCGUGAUACCUAGGGUAGGAUAUCUCGAUACCGUGAUUAGUAUUGAAAUGGGGUCCCUCUUGGAAGGUGGAUAUCGUGAUACCUAAGGUGGAUUUCGCGAUACCACUAUAGGUGGUCUUCAUCUCGGUCCUGUUUGGGGUAUUGUGAUUCCUAUGAUUUGAUAUUUUGAUACCCUUUUCUUUGGUGAUGUUUUUGUACAAUUUUGGGCCAAGCGUCGAGUACCUACAACACUCCAUUAGACGUUAGGGCCACCAAUGACACAAUUGGCCAAUUUGAGUUUCAAAAUGAUUAAAAAGAGGUAUUUGCACUUAUUAAAUUGGAAAUCUAAAAUAUACACUAAGCUAUGGAAAAGACAUUAAUUUGCCCAAAAACAAGCUCCUUAAGUAUAACGGGGAAGCCUAAUUUAACAUAUCAAAUUAUGACAGAUCAUUACACACAAAGAACCUCCUGUAUCUUUUUUUCAAAGAUCUAGUCAUAUCCAACACUCAAAGUCUCCUAAUCUCUAAUUAGCAACCACCACUAUUUGGAUCAUACCAUCUCAUCUAGUCAUCCAUAACUCCAAGUAACAUCCUAUCAAGAUAAGGGUAUAACACUAGAAUUUAUGCACAAAACCUUUAUGUCUCAUUUGGCCUAUAAAAAGGGUUCCCCUUCCCUAUUCCAUAUAUGAUAUACAUGACAACAUGAACUUCCUUUUUCACAUUUUCCAUUCUUUUUUGCAAGAAAAUCUCCUUCGACGACUUUUGACACCUAAAAACGUGAUGUGAACUACCUUCAACCACCAACUCGAAACCACAUAUCAAUAUGUAUAUAUCCAUGCUAUGAUUUAAGUGUAUGAUUAAGUUAGUGUCACGAGUCAACUCGGCACUAACUCAAUAAAGGAAAUUAAUAAAAUAACCUUACAUGUUUUAAAUAAGUUAUAUUAUUACAAGGGUAUUUUAUCUUCUUCUUUUUUUAAACUAAACCAUAAAAAGUUACUAAUGUUGAGGUUUGAACCUGUGCCCCUAAAAUCUAUAAAAUCUUUUCAUUUUUAGUAAAUAAUAAAUAGCUCUAAGCGAUUAUAAUAAAAUCAUAAAUCAAAACUCAAAUUAUCUUUUUGAAUCAACCCCUAUAUAGCUUGAGGAGGGAUGGAGAACACCUAGAUACUUGUGAAGCUUGGAGCAGCAUGUUUAGCCAUAAAGUCUGCAACUUCAUUGUGAGCUUUGGGAAUGUGACGAAUCUGAACUUUUCAAUUUCUAUAAAAUAUUAUACAUUAUUAUACAUUUUAAUGUUAUUAUACAAAUUGUUUUUUUUAAUUUAUCUAUACUAUUAUUUGUAUGAUUGAGUUGAUCUUAUGAGUCAACUUGACACCAACUCAAUCAAUGAAAUUACUAAAAUAAUCUUACAUAUUUUAAAGAAGUUAUAUUAUCACGAUAGUAUUUUUGUCUCUUUUUUUUUAAUCAAUAAAAAAUUUACAAAAGUUAAGAUUUGAACUUAUACCACUAAUAUUUAAAAAAAAUUACCACUUUAACCAAAGAUUUAUUUUGAUAUUUUUAUGCAUUAUCAUGAUAAACAAUCAAAAUGUAAUUAAUAUUAUUAAUCUAAUGUGGUUACCUAUUUAAAUUUUAUUUUACAAAAAAUUUAAAAUAAUUUUUUAUUUUAAUUUUAUACAUAUUGCAUAUGUAUUAUUAUUAUUUUCAAAUAAUACAUUUUAUUAUGUAUUGUAUGAUAUUUUGAAAUGUAAAGGAAUAUUCUAAAUAUGCAUGUACAUGUGUUAGAAAAUAACAAAUCCUCCACCUUUAAAUUAAAUUUAAGUUUGCAAACUUUAAUGUUCAGAUUCGUUGAAUUUUCAAAUUUUGGGUAUUAUUCAUCAUGGGGAACACUUUACUCUUAGGAAAAAAGCUACAAUCAUGCCUCUACUUACUGUUUUCAUGCUAUAUUUUUGUUCCAAAAUUUCUUCGUACAGUGUGUUACGUAAUCAAGUUUAAAUUUUGAGGUCAUUCACUAGAUCUAAUUCGAUAAGCAUUCAUGCUAUUGUUAAUAUAAAAUAAAAAUAUCUUUUUAUUUAAAAGUUGAAAAGUUAUUGAUAGAGUCUUAAUUUAGUGUUAUCAAUAUAAGAUGACAUAUAUUCGAAUGUAUUGAAAUAUAUUAUCUUCUUAUUUAUAGAUAUAAUUUUAGAUAUUCUUAUGUCAAAAAAAUAAAUAUAAUUAAAACGUAAAAUGAAAUUAUUAAAAAAAUUUAAAAGUUAAACUAGAUAUGGAAGAAAAAUACUGAGGCUGAAAGACAACCACGUUUCCUGAAAUUUAUGUCCAUGCAAUCUAAGUUGAAGGACCCAAACAUUAAAAUCACAGCUGAUAUCCUCCACAAAUUUAAUGGGACAGUUUUUCCUUUUUCAUAUCUUAAAAAACGUUUUAAACUAAAACAAAUUAAAAAAUGUGGAACUUAAAAUUUAGAUUUUUUUUUCCCUUUUUCCUGGUAGAUAUUACUAUGUAUAGAUAUAGAGAGAAAUGAUAUGUUUGUAUUAAUGAAGAACUAAAUUAAUUGUAUAUACCAAUUAUAUUUGUUAAUUAAUAUAUCAUACUCUACUUAAUUAUAUAGAUUGUACAACGUUAAAGUUUUAGUGAAUUAAAAAUCUAUAUAUAACUUUUGAUUGUUAGAUAUAUAUUAAAAAAUCAUUUAUCAAUCCAUGUGACAAAAAUAUUAAAUUUAAUUGCAAUUUUGUAUGUGUCAUAACAACAAUUAUAUUGUUAAAUUUUAUUAUUAUUUUGGGUCAUGGGCAAGGUCAAUUUGAUUUAGGAAAUUUUUUCUUAUAUAUAUAUUUUUUUUAUAAAAGUUGUGGUAAUUAGUAAAUAUUUGGAAUUGUCAUAGUAAACAUUGCAACUGUUUGUGGUGAUACUAGUGUUUAACAAGGAGGACUUGGUCGCGGUAGGGGUUUACAAUAAUUCACCCUUAUAGGGCGGAGUCAUAAAUGGAGGAGAUGAGGGAGAUUAGUAAUGGAGAGCUUCCAUAUGGGAAACGAGGAAAGGAGAUGCCCAUUGCUAAAAUGUAGAAUAGAGAAAGAACUAGAGGUGUCCAUAUGCCGAGUCAGGCCAGGCCCAAUCAAAAUUUUAGGCCCGUUUGCUAAGCUCGGGCCUAGCCCAAAAAUGGGUUUAAAAUUUUAUUUAAACCCGACCUGGAUAAAAAUGUUAAAACCUAGAUCCGACCUGACCAUAUCAAUUUUUUAUAUAAAUUUUUUAAAAUAUAUAUAAUAUAUCAAAAAUACUAAAAGUAUUAAAAUAAUUAUUUCCUAACAAAUUAAAAAUAAAUUAAAAACAAUAUUUAUACUUAAAUAACACUAAGAUAGGUGCAACUUAACAAGCAAAUGCCUCUAAAAUAGUAACAAAAUUAACAAUAAAAUAAGAGUUAUAUAAUAUUCAAACAAUAACAAUAAAAUAAUAACAACAUAAUAGUGAAAUAGUAGUAAAAUAUUAAUAAAAAAACCAGGAAAAUACGAAGAAAAUAAUAAAAAAAUAGCAAGAAAGCAAUAAAAAAUAGCAGUUUUUUUUUCAUAUUCGGUCUAGGCCAAAAAAGCCUAGGUUUAUUUAAAUUUUGGGAGAGAGAAAGUAAAAUGAUUUGAGGGGUAGGAAGAAGGUAAGUAAAAAAAAUUUAUAUUUGAUUUAUUUAAAUUAUUUAAAUUAUUUGAAUUUAAAAAUUUAAUUUAGUUUAAAAAAAUUAAUUAAUUCAAUUUGAAUAAUUCGAAUUUUUUUACUGAGUGACACUGCUUUAAGCCAGGCUAAUGUUUUUAACGGAAAAUACAUGGUGAUGGUGUAAUUCUUAGGAAUAUUAGUAAACAUAUUUUGAUGGGUACCGACUACGGACAAAGUGAGGUCGUUGCUAAUAGGAUUGUUGGCUUGUAGCUGAGCUGGAUGCAGUGGCAAUCAGUAAAGGAUCUUCCUUCACUAACUUUGGAAUGAUUUACUUACAUGUGAAAAAAAAAAAAAACACCGUGUUCGAAAUUAAAUAAAUGCAAUGAACGUGUUAAAACAAGAGAGGGGAAUGCAUGAAAAUGUGCUAAAAUUAAGGAGCCGCUGAGACAAACAUCAUCUAUAAAUAGGGGCUCACGCAACGUCUCUUGAUCACCAUAACAAGCUUCGAGAGAUCGUAAUUACAGAGAGAUAAAAGACUUAUCGAGAUGGAAGUAGUUCAAGUUCUUCAUAUGAAUGGCGGAGUUGGAGAAACCAGUUAUGCAAAGAACUCUUUACUUCAGGUAUGUAUGUAUGUAUGUAUGUAUGUAUGUAUGUAUGUAUGUAUGUAUGUAUGUAUGCUGUGAUUUUUUAACCUGAAAUAUCUUGGACAGCAAAAGGUGAUAACCAUGACAAAGCCAAUCACAGAGGACGCAAUAACUAAGCUUUAUUGCAGCAAAUAUCCGGAUGAAAUAGCCAUCGCAGAUUUGGGUUGUUCUUCGGGACCCAACACUUUCUUUUUGGUAUCUGAACUUCUCAAAGUGGUGGAUAGUGUUCGCCAAAAGAUAGGCCAGAAAUCCCCCGAGUAUCAAGUGUUUCUGAAUGAUCUUCCUGGGAAUGAUUUCAACACCAUUUUCAGGUCCUUGUCCGACUUCCAAAACAAACUGAGGAAGCAACUUGGACCCGGCAACGGACCAUGUUUUUUCACGGGAGUACCUGGUUCUUUCUACGGAAGGCUUUUCAGGAAAAACAGCCUUCAUUUCGUACACUCUUCCUAUAGUCUUCACUGGCUAUCCCAGGUUUAGUUUAUAUAUUAAUGUUGUAUUGUGUAUAUAUCAUUAAUCAUUUUAGAAUCGAAAAGAGCCUUUAAUUUAUGAGUGAACUAUUUUGAUUUGAUCCAGGUUCCUCAAGGGCUGGAAAGUAAUAAACGGAACAUUUACAUGGCUAGCACAAGUCCACCAGACGUGCUUAAGGCAUAUUAUGUGCAAUUCCAAAAGAAUUUUUCCUUGUUUUUGAAGUGUAGAUCAGAGGAACUGGUGGAUGGAGGGCGUAUGGUUUUGACACUUAUAGGGAGAAGAAGUGAUGAUCCUUCAAGCAAAGAGUGUUGUUACUUUUGGGAGCUUUUGGCCAUUGCACUUAGUGAUAUGCUCGUUGAGGUAUAGAAUUAAUAAUUGGUGAAAUGACUUUGUUCGCCCUCUAACUUUUCAAAAAAAAAAAUCAUUUUAACUCUCCAUUUAAUUUUUCAUCUCUUUUAAACUUUAAACUUGCAUUUUUUUGUCAAAUCACCUCAAAAUAGUUGAAAAAAGUUAACGCUUGUUAACUUUGAUUACGUGACAUACAUGUGGAUUGCCAUGUAAAUGACAUGUCAUAAUUUAAUUACAUUUUUAAAAAUUUAAAAAUAAUUUUUAUAUAUUUUUAAUGAUUUUUAAGUAUAAAAAUAAUUUUUAUUGAAUUUUUAAAAUUUUAAAAACAUUAAUUGAAUGAUGAUGUGUCAUUCACGUGGUAAUCAAUGUGUAUGCCACGUCAAUAAAGUUAAAAAAAUGUUAAAUUUUCUAUUUAUUUUGAAGUAAUUUGACAAAAACACAAGUUUAAAGCUAAAAAAAUGAAAAAUUAAAUAAAAAACUAAAAUAACUUUUCUUUAAAAUUAGAGGAUGAAAUAAAUUAUUAUCCCUUAAUAUUUCUCCUCAAGUAAUUCAUGAUACAAUCACGAGUAUUUGAAACAUAUCACGUGCGCAAAUACUUAAUUUUGGCUUAUGUCAUUUUCAGCACUUAAAAUCUAGUACUGACGCGCCCAUAAAAUUGAAAUCUAUUUUAGCUUACACUUUCUAUUUAUUAUCGGAUUCAUCACCGGUCAUUGUUCAACAAUCUACAGAAUACUUUGUUAACGUUUAGUUUGCUGCAAAUAUAAAGUUGAUUACUAGUAAUUAAUUAAAUCAGAAGAAACCAUAAAGAAAUCAUGGUUAAAUGCAGGGACUGAUAGAAGAAGAGAAACUGAACUCCUUUAACAUCCCUAUGUACACACCAUCUCCGGCAGAGGUUAAAUAUGAGGUUGUAAAGGAAGGGUCAUUCAACAUCGAUCGAUUGGAAGUAACUGAAGUGAACUGGAAUGCUUAUCAGGAUGAAACUGACUUAUCUGAUGCAUUCAAAGAUGGUGGGUACAACGUCGCCAAGUGCAUAAGAGCUGUGGCUGAGCCACUGCUUGCCAGCCACUUUGGUGAAGGAAUCCUCGAUGAAGUUUUCCGUAGGUACAGAGAGAUUAUUUCUGAUCGCGUGUCCAAGGAGAAGAAUGAGUUUGUGAAUGUCACUGUUUCUCUUAUAAAAGCUUGAUCAUUAUCGUCAUCAUGAUCUUCCUUUAUUUUAUUAUUAGAUAAAUAAUCACUGGUUAUCUAUGCUAGAAAUGAACUGUUCGAAGCAAACCGCAGUAUCCAGUCAAGAGUAAUCUCUUGCAAGCAUAUUGUUUUUAAUUAUAGCUCUCUCGCAUGUAAUUUGAUUAAAUCGAAACAACAAUUUUAAAUAUUUUUGUCUCUUUGGAUCAAACUCUACUCCUUAGACUGAUAUUUAUUUACUGCUUAGGUGUAUAAAUAUUUUUUGAUGAAUUCAACACCCAUCAAGCAAUAAAGACCUAAAAUAUAUGAAUUAUGAGUAAUUAUUAUACCCCACACUUAAACAUUUUGUUUGCCCUCAAACAAAACAAACAUUAAUGCACAUACAAACUAAAGAAAUAUUCAACUUGAAUUAAUAGUCGAAAAUAUUGUCACACACCAAUGAGACACGCAAACGUGUUUUCAAGGACACUGACAAAAUUCUAUAUGCUAAGCAAAACAAGUAUCAACAACAAUUCACACAAUUAGGAAGAAUUAGAUACAGUACAUCUCUAUGCUCGUAUGCAAUCAUCCUCCUUAACAAUGUGUUGUGUAUAAGAAGUACUAGAAUAAUCAAGAAACAUAACUAAAUUUUACCAUGAUUUUAAGGUCACUUGGUGUUUAAGGUUUAGGGUCAAAUAUAACAAUAAGGAAAGAUUAGGCUCACGCCCAAAGCACGCAGCUACCUUUGGAUUCGAUUAAGGAUAAAAUAUUAAAUUUCUUUUUCCAAACAACUUAAUCCUCCAAUACCCUUAAACAAGCAUAAGAUAGAACUCAAGUUCAAAAUAUUUAACAAUAUAAACAAUUAAGCAUUUAUUCAUCAUUAAUUUUUUUUGGCACAGUGUAGAUGAUAACCUAAGCACUUAUCCUAAAUUACUUGAUUAAUCACACAUAAAUAGCCUUUGGUUUUAUUCAUAACUAGAUUAGUAAAACAUACUAGGAAACACCAAACUUUUUGAUGCAAAAACAAAAAGGCAGCUAACUAUCUACCCCAGUUACUUAUUCAGACCACUAGUUCUUUCGAAGCUCAUGAUAUAACUAGUGGAGUAAUCAUACUUAAGUUUUAUUACCAAUUUAAUAUUCAUUUAAGCCCAAACAUCAAUCCUGUAAUUCAAUACGUUAAGUUCAAAAAUAAAUCCAUAAGCACUAAAUGCUUAAGCAUCAAAAUAAGGAUAAAACUUUUACGGGUAAAGGCUAAAAUAUAGGCGAUUACGAACACGAGUUAAGUCAAAGAAAAAAAAAGAUAAAUUAGCUCAAUAAACAGGCUCAACAGUUCAAACAAUCCAAAAAAAUUGUCUAGUUUAUUCUUUAUAAGCUUGUUUCAAAUAAGAUCAUUCUGUCAAAAUUUCUAAAAUUGAUUAUACAAAAUACACUAUUAGGGACGGCAAUGUGAAUUACAAAAUAUUUAUCAAUGAAACCAUAUAAAGAAUCCAUGGCUCUAACAAACAACCUAAUGGAGUAUAUCAAUAAUGUAUAACUAUAUAAAGUCAACAUGUAGGUUUCAGAAGCAUUCACUACAAUAUACGAUCUUAGAAGUAUAUAAAAAUAUGUCAAUCUCUCAUCAAGUUAAAAUUUCAUGCAAACUACUAUACAUCAAGAAAAAGUUGAAAAAAGAUGCAACCAAAUUAUGCUAAAAUAAAAAAAAACAAAAAAAAAACCUAAAAGCAUGCAAAUAAUUAAACUAUCCCUCUACACAUAAACUGAAUAUUGUCCCCGAUGUUUCAAAAGUAGAGAAGAGUUUAGGUCAUUUCCUUGUUUAGGCUCCCAUAAAGUAGAGUUAAAGUCAACCUAUCUUUUUACGCCCUUUUAGCAAUUAAAAUGUAUUUGCUCCAAGUGAGGAGUACUUACAACAGAAGGAAAAGUGAAAACAACAUUAAAUAAAAAGAAAAUAAUAAAGAAAAGAAAAGAAAAUACAAAAGCAAAACAAAACUAAAGAAAAAUAUCCUAGAAUUAAGCAACAGAAAUCACUCAUUGGUGUUGAGGUGCAAUGGUCGGCUUUAGGGCAGCACGUAUUGUGUGUUGGAUGCUUGGUGCACGAGGUGCUUCAGGGCUUCAAGGUGUGAUUGAUGAUGUCACAGUUUGCGCCACUAUGCAUGUAACAAGUCGAUUUUUAGUGCUGCUAAAAAAGGCAAUUUCAAAACUCUAUUUUUGUAAGUUGGGUUCGUAAAUAUUAAAUAUAAAUAUUUACAGAGUUGGUAUAAAAUUUUAUUAGAGUUUGGUGUUUCAAUUUUGUCUUUUAAUUGCUUAAUUAAGGUACGGGAACUAAAUUGUAAAAGUUUAUUGUCAUAGAUUUUUAAAUAGCUAAAGGUUCAAAUUGGUAAAUAAACCAUUUUGUUUUGAAGGAUGAUGUUAACAUCCAUUAAUUUUAAGUAAUUAUUAUUAAGUUUAAUUAAUUUUGAUUAAUUUAAGUUAAUUAGGUGAUUAAAGAAAAAAUUGAGGUAUAAAAGACUUGUGAAAGUGGAAUUUGUCAUCUUUUUCUUUCUUCUUCACCGAACAAGCAUGGAGAAAAACCUAAGGAAGCCAUUUUUAGUUUAAAGCUUUCAAUCCUCAAAUAUUGAUGAGUACAAUUAAGUCAUUUUCUUGAAUUUUUUAUGUUUUUGAGGCUAUGAGAACUUGAUUUAGCUAGCACAUAUAUCAAUUUGUAAAACUAUUAAAGUUUUUUAAAGUUUCUAUUAUUGAUUUCUUGAAGAAAUUUGUGCUAAAUUGAUAUAUUUUAAGCUUAGAUGUGAAAAAUGACUAGACUGUAAAGUUUAAUUAUUAGUUUUGCUCAUAAGGACUAAAGUGAAUAAAAUGUAAAUUGAAGUGAAAUUUUGAUAAUAAUUGAUAUUAGAGGGUCUAUAAUAAAUGUAAUUGAAAUUUGUUUUAAAACCAAAGCUCAAAAUUUAAAACCAGAGCUCAAAACUUUAAGGGCAUCGAAAAAUGAAGUUUCAUAGGUUCAUUCAUAUCAUGAUACAAUGUAUAAAUAUUUGGUAUUGAUGAAUUGUCUACAAUAACUGCUUAGAUCAAGAAUUGGAUCAAAUCGGAGAUAAUAGAGGAAAAGCCAAAAUUGUCAAUUAGUCCUUGAAGAUUCAACUAGUUUGUUGUUUUUUCUACAGGUAAGUUCAUAUGGUAUAAAUGUAUUUAGGUUUUUAUGUAUUUGAUUUGUCUAUAUACGUUUGAUUUUGGGUUGAUUGGUGGUAAAUUAGUAUGAAAGGUGAGAGUUGGACUAUAUUGUAAAGAAAUGUUUAAUGUGUUAAAAAGUGCUCAAUUAAAUUGUAAAGAAAUGUUUAUAUGUGUUAAAAAGUGCUUGGGUGAACUUAGUAAAGGUUAGGAUACGAUCAACAUGUCAAUAGAGUUUUUUGUGCGCUUGUACGGGAUUGGUUACAGAUAUUACUGAGACCUAACAUUUGUUGCCGACUUAAUGAUACAUGUGACACAAGUUUAGCUUAAACUGGUAACCUGACAUGUAUGUAUAUUCAGCUUGGACAAGCAAUCAGCUGUGUCAUUAUACAGGUUUAGCCUAGAGUGGUAACUUGACAUGAAUACAUAUUCAACUUGGAUCAGCAAUCGGUGUAAUGUAGUUACAUGUGUAUCUAAGUCCAUUUACUUGAGUUCAUCAGGUUAAGUAGUUAAUGUAAAAUGAAAAAUUGAAAUGGCAUGAUAUGAGUUUGAUGUUCAAAUGGAUAAAUGUUGAAUUGAGCAUGAGCAUGAUAUUGAGAUGUUGACUUUAAAAUAAAUUGGAUUGAUAUAUGGUUGAGAUGUCAUUUGGUUUGAUUAUAUAUUAAGCUCAUUUUUUUUAUGUUGUGUUUUGCUAUGACUAGCCAACUAUGUUAAAGUAUGGUAGCAUAUUGUAUUUGAUUGUAAGAUAAGGUAAGUCUUGUUUAAUGCCUAUGAACUUACUAAGCAUUUUAUAUGCUUACCUCGUUUGUUUUUAUUUUCCUUGUAGAUCGCUAUCUUGCAGGACGUGUCAAGCCAGUUGACUUGAAGCUCACACUAUCCUAUCAUCAAAUUGGUAGACGUUUAAUCAUUUUGAACCUAGGGUUGUGGCAUGUAUAUGGUUUCUUUAUGUAUAUAAGUCUUUAUGAAUUGAAUAUGGUAUUGAACUUGGUUUAUGUGAUUUAAAUGUUGGUUUUGUAUUUGGUUUAAAAAGGCAUGAUUUGGCAUUUGUGAUGCCUAGUUGAAUAUGUAUACUUUGACUUAUAUGCUUGAGAUAUGUAUGGAAAAUGAAAUUUCGUGUUUUAAAGUGGAUUGUUAUAGGUAAAGUUGGUAUGGAAUGACUUAGUGAUUGAAAUGAAAAUGUAGUUGAACAUAAGUAAAUUGAAGUAUGCUUGAGAAAUGUAGUUUAAUUUGGAUAGUUAUUGGUUAUGCUUAAUGUUAUUAUGUCAUAUAUUUGUCUAUGUGUUUAUAAUGAAAGGAAAUGACAUGUUCCAAGAUGUUUUGGCAUAAGUAAGAUUAGUAAUUAAAUGAUUUAGUAGGUAUGCCUUAAUGAUAUUGUAAUGCUUAAGAUUUGUUGAUGUUAAAAUAAUGAAUACUUUGAUGUAAAGUUGAAUAUGAGUAUUGAGCUUGUUUGGUAAUAAGGUUAAUGCUUGAUUCAUAUUUUUGAAUGAUUGUUUAAAGCAAUUGAAAUAGGUACCAAAUUUGGAGUGAAAGAAGAGAAAUGCAUAAAUGUGCUAAAGCGAUAAAAUCUAUUUUAAGAUUAAGAAAUUCUUUUGCUUGCUUAAUGCACCUAAACUUGUUGGCUUUUAUAUUUGCUAAUAUUAAACCAUGUCCUAAUCACUUGGAAGAUAAAUGGAAGGUGAGAGAAAGAGAGAUAAUAAGGUGAACUUAUUGAUAAAUUGGGAAAGAAAAGGUAACAAUGUCAUGUGCUUCACUAUUUAUAAUACUUGAAACCAAUUUGAGUUAACUUUUCUUUUGAAUCCAAACUAUCCUAAGCCUCUGAACAUUACAAGCAUUGAAGACCAAUGUGACUUAAACAUUUCCUUUAUAUGAAUUUCCUAAAUUGUUCAUGCUUGAAUUGAUGGAUGCUUGUGAUUCACACUUGAGUGUCCAUAAUGCAUCUUGCUUAUUCAUCUUGAUGGAUUGACACAAUUUAACACACAUUCACUUGAAUUGGCUUUUUGUUUAUUAACUCUGAAACCUAGUGAACUAAGGCGAAUUUACUUUAAAGUACUUGAAUUAACUAGUCAUCAAUCUUGAUUUGGAUAUAAUAUAUGUCUUUUACAUGUUCAAUGUUUAAUUAUCAUAUUUUCUAAUGUUCAAUGUAGCUUGAGGGUCGUUAUUUCUUGUGUGUUUUGUGUGUUUUUUUCUUAUAGACAAUCAAAUACUUAAGUGUGGGGGAGUUUGAUACGGUGAAUUAAGCCAUUUUCACACUUAAGAAGCUUGAUUUCACGUAGCAUUUAGAGUUAUUUUUAUUAGUUUUUGCAUUAGUGUUUGGAUUUAGUUUAAAUGUUUUUUAUUAAUUUUUUAUUAUAUUUUGAAUAAAUACUUUAAUUUCCCUCAUAAAUGGACUUAAAUAUAUGAAAAAGGGGAUUGUAGGGCUCAAUGAAGGGAUGCAAAUGAAAAAAAAAACAAGGCAAAGAUCCUUUUAUCUUUAGUACUUUAAUUUCCCUCAUAAAUGGACUUAAAUAUAUGACCACAGGUUGCCUUGUCGCAACCAUGACCUUGUUGACUUGCCAAGAAGUUCCCUCGACCAAGCCCUUAUCUUAACCGCGACCUUGCUAACUUUCUAAGAGGUUUCUUCAACCAAGUCAUUAUCGCAACCAUAGCAAUGUUAGGUGUGGGUCCCACUAUGUGGGAAACCCAUAAUUUCUGCCACAUUUUAUUGUCUCUUUUUGGUUUUGUCAAAAGCCAUUUUUGGGGGGCUUUUAACAGGUGAUGUGAGCAAAAAUUUUUGCAGAGCAAAAAUAAAAAAAAAAUCUCAAAUUAAAACAGAGAGAAAGAGAGAAGAAAAUUUCAGUUUUUCAAGUUUGGUGUAGUAGUGAUCAACUCUUCGAUCGAAGGUUCAUCCGUGGUUCGAUUGAGCUGAUUUUUUGACAGCAGCUAGGCGAUAAGGUGUUCUUGACUUUGUACGGUCGGAUUUUUCAUCCGAGUCUUGUAGCAUCGAAAAUACCCAUUUUUAGCAGCUGCGUUUUUUGUGAUAUUCUCUCAUUUUUCUCUCUUUUGCUAAAGAUUAUAUAUUCUUAGCCUUGUUGGAGUUGAAUGCUUGUUGUAGGCUUGAUAUUGUGAUCUUGUAGUUGAACAUUUGAUGAUAGUGGAACUCUUGAUCGGACUCUAAAGUCCCGUGGUUUUUACCCUUGAUUUAAAGGGGUUUUCCUCGUAAAAAUACCGGUGUCUCUAUUUAUUUUUGUUGUGGUUGCAUUAGUUGAUUUGUGGUUGAUUAAGGUUGCUAGAGAACAUAUCUUGUGCUAUUGUGCUUGCCAUAAUUUUUGACAGGAGUUAUAAGGAGAGAAAGAACACCGGUUGUGCUUUCGCUUUGUUUCGGUUGUUCGGUUUCUUCUCAACAAACUGGUACCAGAGCUUGGUUAUUGUAUCAGAUAAUUAUGGAAAUUAAUACAAGCAAGAUGAUUAUGUUGAAUGGCACAAAUUAUUAACUUUGGCGGAAUAAAAUGAAGGACUUGUUGUUUGUGAAGGCUUUGCAUCUUCCGGUCUUUACUACUCAAAAACCCGAUUCGAAAAGUGAUGAAGAAUGGGAAUUUGAGCAUCAACAAGUGUGUGGCUUUAUUCGGCAAUUUGUUGAAGAAAAUGUUUACAACCACAUUGAUCAGGAGACACAUGCUCAAACAUUGUGGGAGAAGCUUGAAAGCUUGUAUGCUUCGAGGUCGGGCAAUAACAAGUUGUUUUUGCUGAAGAAAAUGAUGGCACUGAAAUAUAAAGAAGGAAUGUCUAUAGCUGACCAUGUUAGUGAAUUUCAGAAUGUGAUGAAUCAGUUGCUUGGUAUGGGUGUCAAAUUUGAUAACGAGAUUUUAGGACUUUGGUUGCUUGCUACUCUACCAGACUCUUGGGAGACCUUUCGAGUCUCACUCAUUAAUUCUACCCCACAGGGUAUUAUUACUUUGGAUUUGGCUAAGAGUGGUGUGUUGAAUGAAGAGGUUAGAAGAAGAUAUCAGGGUUCUACAUCACAGUCCGAGGUGUUGGUUAUCGAGAACAGGGGGAGAAACAGAGACAAAGAUGGAAAGGGUAGAGAUAAAAGCCGAAGCAAGUCAAGAUCGAGAUACAAGAAUCUUGAGUGUCAUCAUUGUGGGAAGAAAAGUCAUAUCAAGAAAUAUUACUUCAAGUGGAAGAAAGAGAACAAAGGUGGUGGUGAUAAACACGAUCGGAAUGACGAUGAAAAAUCCGAGCGUUUUGCUACUGUUACUCGUGAAGAUCUGUUAGUUAUUUGUGAUGAGAAUUUGGUCAACCUAGCAUGCGACGAGACUAGUUGGGUGAUUGAUACUGGUGCAUCACUUCAUGUCACGUCGAGGAAGGAAUUCUUCACAUCUUAUACUCCUAGUGAUUUUGGGGUAUUGAAGAUGGGUAAUGAUGGUUUGGUUUCGGUUAUUGGUAUGGGAGAUGUUAGCUUGGUGAGUAACAAUGGAACAAAGUUAACUCUCAAGGAUGUCAGACAUGCACCGGAUGUCCGUUUGAAUUUGAUUUCUGCAGGAAAGCUUGAUGAUGAGGGAUUCUGUAACACCUUCAGUGAAGGGCAGUGGAAGCUGACUAAAGGCUCCUUGGUUGUGGCUCGAGGAAAGAAGAGCUUAAAUUUGUACUUGAUACAAGCUUUGACUUCUCGAGAGACGGUGAAUGUGACACUGAAUGACAGCUCAACUGAGUUGUGGCAUAAACGACUCAGUCACAUGAGUGAGAAGGGGCUUAGCUGUUUAGCGAAGAAGAAUCAACUUUCGGGUUUAAAGAAUGCUACACUGAAGAAUUGUGCUCAUUAUCUAGCAGGAAAGCAGAGAAGAGUUUCAUUUAGAAGCCAUCCUCCUCAUAGGAAAUCAGAGUUGCUAGAGUUGGUCCAUUCAGAUGUUUGUGGUCCGAUAAAAGUAUGAUCACAUGGUGGUGCACUUUACUUUGUGACUUUCAUUGAUAAUUGUUCAAGAAAGCUAUGGGUUUACACUUUGAAGUCUAAAAAUCAAGUCUUUGAGGUGUUUAAACAGUUUCAAGCAUCAGUUGAAAGGGAAACUGGGAAGAAGUUGAAGUGCAUUCGUACUGAUAAUGGUGGCGAGUACACAGGGUCGUUUCAUGAGUAUUGUCUGCGACAGGGAAUCAGACAUCAGAGAACACCACCAAAGACUCCACAGUUAAAUGGGUUAGCUGAAAGAAUGAACCGAACAUUGAUUGAGAGAGUCAGAUGUUUGUUGUCAGAUGCAAAGUUACCAAGAUCGUUUUGGGCUGAAGCUUUGAAUAUAGUGACACAUGUGAUAAAUCUGUCUCCUAGUGUUCCUUUAAAAGGUGAUGUGCCAGAUAGAGUUUGGUUUGGUAAAGACGUGUCAUAUGAUCACCUACGUGUGUUCAGUUGUAAAGCAUUUGUUCAUGUUCCAAAGGAUGAAAGAUCCAAGUUGGAUGCCAAGGCUCGACAAUGCAUUUUUAUUGGUUAUGGUCUAGAUGGUGAGUUUGGUUAUAGACUCUAUGAUCCAGUUCAGAAGAAACUUGUGAGAAGCAGAGAUGUUGUCUUCAUUGAGGAUCAGACCAUUGAUGACAUUGAUAAGACGGAGAAAGUGGAUUCACAAGGUAGUGGUGACUUGAUCGAUGUGAAUCCGAUUCCCCUAGACUCCUCACCAGAUCCUAUCCAGGAUGAUGUGCAUAGUGAUGUUAGUGGUGACCAUCAGACUAUAGGUGACUUUGAUACUCCCAUGGAUGAUGUUGUGAAUGAUCAACAACAAGCACCUAUAGCUCCACCAGCAGUUCCACUUCGAAGGUCUUCCAAAGAUCGACGAUCUUCUGUCAGGUAUUCUCCUGAUGAAUAUGUUCUUUUGACUGACGGGGGAGAACCUGAAUGUUAUGAAAAGGCUAUGGAGAGUGAAUGCAAAGAUCAGUGGGUUGAAACGAUGAAAGAUGAACUUCAAUCCUUGCAUGAGAACCAUACUUUUGAAUUGGUGAAACUACCCAAGGGCAAAAGAGCUUUGAAUAAUCGGUGGGUUUACAGGUUGAAGCAAGAAGAGAAGUCUUCAUCUCCAUGAUACAAAGCUAGAUUGGUCGUCAAGGGUUAUACUCAGAAAAAGGGGGUUGAUUUUGAAGAAAUAUUUUCUCCGGUUGUGAAGAUAUCCUCUAUCAGAACUAUACUGAGUUUGGCAGCUUGUUAUGACCUAGAGGUUGAACAAAUGGAUGUAAAAAUUGCUUUUCUUCAUGGUGACUUGGAAGAAAAGCUUUACAUGGAGCAGCCAGAGGGUUUUGUUGCACAAGGGAAAGAGGACUAUGUGUGCUGAUUGAAGAAGAGCUUGUAUGGUUUGAAGCAAGCUCCAAGGCAAUGGUACAAGAAGUUUGAGUCUGUUAUGGGGGAGCAAGGCUACAAGAAGACUACUUCUGAUCAUUGUGUGUUUGUUAAGAGAUUCUCUGGUGAUGAUUUUAUUAUUCUUUUGCUCUAUGUUGAUGAUAUGCUUUGUUGGUCAGAAUGCUUCUAGAAUUGAGAAGUUGAAACAAGAGUUGAGUAAAUCCUUUGCAAUGAAGGAUUUGGGGCUAGCAAAGCAAAUUCUUGGCAUAAGACUGACACGUGAUAGAAAGGCCAAGAAAUUAUGGUUAUAACAAGAGAGGUACAUUGAGAAAGUACUUCAAAGGUUUAGUAUGGACAAAGCUAAAGCGGUGAAUACUCCCUUUGCUAUGCACUUUAGAUUGAGUGUUAAGCAUAGUCCUUCCACAGAAAAGGAGAAGGAAGAGAUGCAGAAAAUUCCUUACUCUUCAGCCGUGGGUAGUUUGAUGUACGCAAUGGUUUGCACGAGACCAGACUUGGCUUAUGCCGUUGGUACAGUUAGUCGGUUUCUUUCUAAUCCAAGCAGAGAGCAUUGGAAUGCAGUGAAGUGGAUUAUGAGAUAUCUUCGUGGCACUUCCAACAUGAAACUUUGUUUCGGCAAUGAGAAACCUGUUCUUGUUGGUAUACAGAUUCAGACAUGGCCGGAGACAUUGACUCGAGGAGAUCUACUUCAGGUUACUUAAUCACUUAUGCAGGGGGAGCUAUGGCAUGGCAAUCAAGACUGCAAAAGCGUGUUGCAUUGUCCACCACCGAAUCAGAGUUCAUUGCAGCAACCGAAGCGUGUAAGGAGAUGCUUUGGAUGAAGAAGUUUGUGCAUGAGCUUGGUUUUACUCAGGAGAAGUAUGUCCUGUACUGUGAUAGCCAGAGUGCUAUUCAUCUUGGUAAGAACUCAACUUUUCAUGCUAAAUCUAAGCAUAUUGAUGUGAGGUACCAUUGGAUACGAGAUGUUCUUGAAGCUAAGCUGUUAGAGCUUGAGAAGAUACACACUAAUGAUAAUGGUGCUGAUAUGUUGACGAAGGCCUUACCAAGAGGAAAGUUUGAAGCAUGUUGUUUGACCUCCGGCAUGGAGGCAUUCCCCACAUAGUUGGAGUGGGAGAUUUGUUAGGUGUGGGUCCCACUAUGUGGGAAACCCAUAAUUUCUGCCACAUUUUAUUGUCUCUUUUUGGUUUUGUCAAAAGCCAUUUUUGGGGGGCUUUUAACGGGUGAUGUGGGCAGAAAUUUUUGCAGAGCAAAAACAAAAAAAAAUCUCAAAUUAAAACAGAGAGAAAGAGAGAAGAAAAUUUCAGUUUUUCAAGUUUGGUGCAGCAGUGAUCAACUCUUCGAUCGAAGGUCCAUCCGUGGUUCGAUUGAGCUGAUUUUUGGACAGCAGCUAGGUGAUAAGGUGUUCUUGACUUUGUACGGUCGGAUUUUUCAUCCAAGUCUUGUAGCAUCGAAAAUACCCAUUUUUAGCAGCUGCAUUUUUGGUGAUAUUCUCUCAUUUUUCUCUCUUUUGCUAAAGAUUAUAUAUUCUUAGCCUUGUUGGAGUUGAAUGCUUGUUGUAGGCUUGAUAUUGUGAUCUUGUAGUUGAACAUUUGAUGAUAGUGGAACUCUUGAUCGGACUCUAAAGUCCCUUGGUUUUUACCCUUGAUUUAAAGGGGUUUUCCACGUAAAAAUACCGGUGUCUCUAUUUAUUUUUGUUGUGGUUGCAUUAGUUGAUUUGUGGUUGAUUAAGGUUGCUAGAGAACAUAUCUUGUGCUAUUGUGCUUGCCAUAAUUUUUGACAGGAGUUAUAAGGAGAGAAAGAACACCGGUUGUGCUUUCGCUUUGUUUCGGUGGUUUCUUCCCAACAAGCAAGCCCUUGGCACAACCACAAAGGCCUUGAAUUGAGCUAGGAAGCAAUCAGAGAUCUUGUUGUUGCAACCAUGGACCUUCAAUGUCACAACAACGAUCAAUCAAUUGGAGCAAGGUUUGGGAAACAGACAACCCGUUAUCAUGACAACGCUUUUUGUAACUACAAAAUCUAAAAUCAUUAUUAGGGACAAUCAAUAGAAGAUUGAAUAAAAAUUGCAUUAGUUUAAUAUUUCUAUUGAGGUUAUUAUUGUAAUUGAAUUAUUAAUUAGGUUUAGUAUAAAUAUCACUUCUUAAUCAGCAAAUGGGGGAUAUAAAGGAUAUCAUUUUUAGAAAAUAAACUUUAUUUUUAGUUUUUGUUGAUAAUUUUUCUAAGUUUAGUCUUUUAAAUAAAUUUCAAAUAUUUUUCUCUUUCAAUUGGCUUUUAUUGUUAUUGGGCAUCAAGACAUUUAGAAGAUCAAAUACAAUCGAAUUUCUCAAAGCAAAGGAUUUCUUGUUUUAAAGAGCAUUUCUUACACUCUUUUUAAUUUUCCUUUAAUUUAAUUAUAUUGGAUUGAAUGGAAGAUUAUUGUAUUUUUGUAUUUGCCAUGGAAAUGAACAAAAUUCUCUAUGUAAUUGGUUAUCUUGAUCGCUUGUGAUGUUAUUUUAUGUCUUUUGUUAAUUUGAAUGUAUGCUUUUUUUUUUAAAUUAAUAGUGUUAAUAACUUGAAAUUAACAACUUUGAGUAAAAAUUGAGAUAGGAUAGGCCGAGAGGAAACCCUAUCGAAUAGGUAUCGAUUUAGUUAGGCUUAUUUGAAUAAGAUCUUCUAAUAGUUAUUUGAGACCGAGAGGUGAAAGUAACUAGGUAAAGAAUCAUGUGUUUAGAUUCCUUAAGUAUAAAUCCAUCACAACUGAGAGACAGGACCAAUCACUACUUGUUGCUAAUAGUAAUUUUUACCGAUCGAAACCAUUAGAUUAAUACUUUCUAGGGUAGUUAGUAUUACUACCAUUCUUCCCUUUUAUGAAUUGUUGUACUACUUUCUGUUUUGAGUAAAUUGAUAGCCUUCUUUUAGCAUAGAAAGCAUCUAAUGCAGAAAUCAUCACAUCUCCUAUGAGUUUGAUCCUCUGGAACAUUCCCAUGUUCCAUUAUAACAAUUAUAUUAUAACUAGACUUGCAUACUUGUAGUACACUGCGCUUAAAUAUUGAUUAUAUUUUAUUUGUUACAUGUAUACUGGUGGUCAAUUUUUUAUAAUGUCCUUUAAAGCUUGCAAAUCUUAUGCAAAUCUUGUCAAAAUAAUUGAUAGAUGAGAAAACUCUGACUUAAAAUUUAAACUGGAACUUGUCUGCUUGUUACACACAACAAAAUCGUGUACAUGAUUCAAUAGUUUGAAGGGGUAUUUGGAGACAUAAAAUUAAUACUAAUUGCAAGUCACCACAAAUGAAAGUGAUAAUAUCAUACAUCAUACCAUUGUAAUUUUUCUCUAAUUAAAAUAAAUAAUUUUUUUAUAAAAAUAUCAUAUUUUUUAAAAACAUUAUUUCUAAUUAACUAAAUUAAUUAAAAAAUAAAAAAAUUAUAAAACUCAAUUUGAGAAAUCAUAUUUUAUAUGAAUUUUACUGGAAAUGUUAAAUCCAGCCUAAAAAAAUAUUUUGAAACUUGAAACUCAUUUAAGUAAGUGUUUCUAAGGGUGUAAGAACUUAAAAUUUUCUAAACAAACUCCAUGUCGAUUCUCAAAAAGUCGCUAACAAGUCUUAAUCCGCUAAAAUUUAAUUUUCAAAAAUAUGUUUCGACACAAUUAUUAAGCAAACUCAACCAAACAAAAUCAUAUUUGAAGCACCUAAUCUUAUUCUUGUGACACAGAGAGAGAAACCUUGUCUUUUAGAAAAUUGUAACUUCCAAAUAUUAAAAUAAACAUUCUUUCUUGUGUCGGAAAUUUUCUGUGUCAUUUUCCUUCAUUAAAUUUGUGUGUACAAACAAAUUAAAGUUGAGCUUCAUCGCCAAACGCAUUUAUAUAUGCAUAUGGGUUGGGAAGAUGCUAAAAACAGCCAUGAUGGUGGGCACUGAUAUCAUUAGUCAUAGCUUGCAAUCCCACAAUGAUUUUACUUUCCCCUUCGUUUUACCAUCAUGUUUGUGCUCCUCUUUGUGCGGUGCGCGUAAUGCCUCUCCUGGUUGUAAUGGACUAUGACAGAUUCAUUUGAAUCACAAUGAAUUUUAAACUUAAAAAGGAAAAAGAAACAAGUAUACCCAAAUUGGGUACUCACAAUACCCAAAUUACAGCCGUGCACAUAUAUUUUAUGACCACUAAUUAAAUCUCUGCCCUCCAACUGAGUUGAACUGCAUGUGCUCUCUACUUCACCAGGACAUUUCCAACAGGUGUGAUCUGUGAUAGAUUACUUCCAAAUAUGAAAGGUCAAAUCAGUUGUGACUUUGAAGCAUAAGAUCAAUUGUGUUUAUCCAAGAACAGAUGUCAUAUUCUACACAGCUAGCUAAUAGCACACUGAAAACUACUUAAAAACCCACAAGGGAAUCUCUAAGCUCAUUUAUAUAUUCCUUUGUCUACCUUUUUAUAAAGCUUUUAAGCCUCUUGUCCUUAUAAUCCAUUCAAAAGUUGUGCUGAUCAAGCCUUUUGACUGUGCCUGGCUGGCUACCAACAAAAUGGUUACUGCCCUGAAAAACUUGAUGGUGUUUGAAUGCCCACAGCAGCAAUGGCUGGGGACAGUCCUAUUGGUGCAUCCCUUGCCUGCCAUUUGUCCAACUCUUGUACCACUUGAGAAGAAUCCCUGCUACACACUCUAAAGUUGGAACAGUAUUGAUGUGAUGAAGCUCCAGUUGCUUUGAUUCCUAGAGUAGUGGGACUCUAGGAAAGUCGAGAUCAAUCAAACCGAUACAAGACUCCACUUACAAAAAAGAACUCCUCUAUUCAAGAAAUCAAACGUCACACAAACUCUCACAAUAUAUACCCACCAAUUGCUUCAAAGUAAUGGGAUAUUGGCAAAUGUUUUACGGCUUUUUAUAAUUCAGCCAACCCAGCUUAACCUUUUGGAGAAGAUCAGGAAAGCACUGAGGACUUUUAUAAUAAAAAUGUUACUAAUAAGGGAGAUAUGAAUUGCACCUAACUUUUACAUUUCUCUUUUCAAUGGUAAUCUUUUUCAAACUGUUGAAGCUUCACGCCCUCAAUGCAUGCCAUAAAUAAUUGCAUUUUUUUCAACCGAUGUGAACAUCAUGAUAAUUGCAUUUUCAUCUCAAGUCAACCAAUUUACUCACAAUCCAAUUCCAAAAACUGUACAUGCAUCUUAAAUAUGUUGAUCCACCAAAAGAACAUUCUGAUUUAGCUCCAUAGAUCUUCUUUUACUUCAUUUACAUGCAAAUUAAGCUUUUAAUUUACAAGACCUUUUGAAUGGCUACCCCAUCAAAAAAAAAAAAAAAAACAAGAGGGGCACUAACAAAUCUGAGAUAGGCCUCGGUCCAGGAGGGGCCCUGCCAUGAUGGUUAAUGAUAAAAUGUAAAUUAUUGAACUGCAAUGACAAGUAAUAUAUAUUAAUAAAACAAGCAAUAACCCCAAAAGUUGAUCACGGGCUUUAUGAAUUAUGAUAAUAUUUUGCCUUUAAAAGGAGACUCAAAGCAAUCCCCCGCUAAUUCCAAUUCACCUCUAAACAUGGAUGUCGAGAAAGUCUUUCAUAUGACUGGAGGAAUCGGCAAGACUAGCUAUGCGCAAAAUUCUGCUUUCCAGGUUUGGCACGUUUGUUUUUUCCUUUCUUCUAUAUCACCAUUUUCUUUCAUUUUCUUCUCUACUAACUAUGUUUCUCCUACAGAAAAAGGCAUCAGAUACGGUGAAACAUAUAACCAUGGAAACGAUACAAGAACUUUACUAUGAAGUAACUCCCAAGAGCUUAGGCAUAGCUGAUUUGGGUUGCUCUUCUGGACCCAACUCCUUGUCCCUCAUCAAAGAUAUGGUCGAAGCUGUUGAAGGAACUAGCCAUAAAAUUUUCCAUCCCAUGCCAGAAUUUCGAGUUUACCUUAAUGAUCUUCCAACAAAUGACUUCAAUUCAGUGUUCAAGUCCCUGCCUGAUUUUUAUAAGGACCUUAAGAAAGACAGAAAUCAAGAGGGUCCAUCUAUUUUCAUAGCAGGCUACCCUGGUUCAUUUUAUGGAAGACUGUUCCCAUGCAAUUGCUUGCACUUCAUCUAUUCGUCUUACAGUUUGCACUGGCUUUCCAAGGUAUAAAAUUGUCUCUGUUCCAUUGUUUUUAGAUUUGAAUCCCAUGCAAUGACAAGAAUUUCAGUUAAUGGUCACUGUUAUACAUGCAGGUUCCUCCAGCUCUUUACGAUGAGCAUGGCAAGUCCAUCAACAAAGGAAACGUUUACAUUUCUGAAUCAAGCCCUCCAAGUGUGUCCCAAGCAUACUACAAGCAGUUCCAAGAGGACUUCUCAUUGUUCCUUAAAUCACGAUCAGAAGAGCUAGUCACAGGUGGGAGAAUGGUGCUGAUUCUCUUAGGAAGAAUAGGUCAAGAUCAUGUUGACAGAGGCAAUUCUUUCUUCUGGGAAAUCCUCUCAAGAUCCCUUGCCAUAUCUGUUUCUCAGGUACUCCUUGUUUUUCAUACAUGCAUAAAUAUUUCAUUUCUUCUUGUUGACAUCUUCUCCCCCUUAUGUUUUGCAGGCAGAGAUUGAAAAGGAAAAGGUUGAUUCCUACGACGUGCAUUUUUAUGCAGCAUCAAGAAAUGAACUAGAAGAUGAAGUGAGAAGAGAAGGGUCGUUCGAAAUAGACAAGCUUGAGAUGUUUGAGAUAGAGAGGGAAGUGAAAAAUGGGGAGAGCUAUGGCACCGCAGUGGCUAUGACUGUGAGGGCUGUUCAAGAAUCCAUGCUUUGCGACCAUUUUGGAGAUGGGAUAGAUCUGGAUUCCUUGUUUAACAAUUAUGGGAAAAUGAUUGAUGAGGAAAUGGUUAAAGUAGAUAUUAAACCCAUCACUUUUGUCAUGGUUCUUAAGAAAUUAUGAAUGUCAUGCAAUUACGAGAAACACCGAUUUGCCUCAGUCUAAAUCUAAUUAGUUUUAUAAUAUUUUUUCCAUAAUUUUGUCUAUGUUGAAUAAUUUAAUAGGGGAUAAACUACCCGUUUAGUCUCUGAUUUUAGAGAUAUUUCUUAAUUUGAUCUCUAAACUUUUUUAGUCUACACUAAUUUGGAAACUUGACAACUUUUUCCAAUUUGAUCCUUGAACUUGGGAUUCUUCCAUUCAUCACUUAAAUUUUUUAUAAUUUCUUUAUUAACUUUUUACUAUUAUUUUUGGGUUUUUUAGAUUAUAUAUAAUUCUUCUAAAAAUUUUACAUGAUGGAAUGACAUAAUCUCAAAGUGUCAUAUAAUCAUACUUUAAUUAAUUCUAAAUUCAAUGAUCAGAUUAAGAAAAAUUACCAAAUUACAGAACA
Molecule: long non-coding RNA, 167668 nt
Filed under: Gossypium barbadense (sea-island cotton)
Lineage: Eukaryota; Viridiplantae; Streptophyta; Magnoliopsida; Malvales; Malvaceae
Description: long non-coding RNA (GBAR_LNC011273)
Source: RNAcentral